Molecule: long non-coding RNA, 130147 nt
Filed under: Coffea arabica (coffee)
Lineage: Eukaryota; Viridiplantae; Streptophyta; Magnoliopsida; Gentianales; Rubiaceae
Description: long non-coding RNA (CARA_LNC003012)
Source: RNAcentral
GGUUCCCACCGACGUCCCUCGCAAAUGGCUCAUGCCUUCCCGCCAAAUCUCCCUUAAAGACUUCAAAACCCUUCUCCGACGUCGUUCCCGCGCCGCCCUCUCCCGCCUCCCCCAAUUGUCUCCGACCCCUAACCCUAACCCUGACCCUAAUUUCAGAGGUGCUGCUCAUGACAAUAAUAAUGAUAAUAAUAAUGACAGCGACAAUGAAAUGGUUAAUAAUAACGAUAAAAAUGCUUGCGCUGAGAUUAUUAUAGCUCAAACGAAGGAGGCGCCCAAUGAUAAAGAGGAGGAGGAAGAUGAGAUCAGGGUUGAAGAAGAAGGAUUAGUAGGUGAUCAAAUCGGAUCUGGCGCAUCUGAAACGCUAGUAUUAUCUGAUGAGGUUGCCCUGGAGAAAAAUGACCUGAAUGCUGCUGCUGCUGCUGUGGAACGGGGGCAGCAGCAGCAGCAGCAGCAUGAGGUCACAGAACAAGAGGACGAGAAGAAGAAUGAGCAGCAGCAGGAGGAGGUACCACUGCUGCUCAACCCUACCGCACCUCAGGUAAUUGGGGUUCCUUUUUAUCUAUUUGUGAGCUAGUCGAUCUCGGUUGCAUCUCAUGCUUUUUCAUGCGUUCAGUUAAUUUUGCCUACUCCGCUAUGUUUCAGCAACUUUAACUUAUCGAAGAUAUGAAAAUAUACUUGCAAGUUAUUCCUUUUUUUUUCUUUUUGGAUUAUUUUCUUGUCGAUAUGAUAUGUGUAUGGGCUUCUUUUUCUGUGCUGUGAAAGCAAUAAUGUCCCGUGAAUUAUUCUGAGCAUGUUGUUGUGACGAAAGAAUGCACUUUUGUUCGCUUUCAUAUGACUUGAUUUCUUGAUUCAUGGAUGUUGGUGACCACGGAAAAAAUUUGGUGUUUGAACCCACAUCUGGGUUCACUUCUGUAAAGAGAGAAAAGGAUUGUCUAUUGGCAUCUUGGUCGAGACAAUUGCUUUGGCAAACAGUUAUGCGUCCAAAAUCAUUUCUUUUUAAUGAGUGUUCUGAUUUACAAAAACGGAUUUUUUCACUUAGGGCUCCAAUUGAUUGAGGCUUUUAGUGAGACUAUCAUUUUGAGUUCUACAAUCCUCAUUCACCUUCUCUUUUUGUUGUUCUUCAAUGCUUCAAUAUCUGUUUUUCCUCGUUCUCUAAGUGUCUUAAAUAGCUGUAUUAGAUGCUUACAUCUCCUUAUUCCAAUUCUCAAACAUUGCCGUGUAGGAUUCUAUCUCUAUACUAAUUAAUAACUGAGAACAAAUGUAAUCCAUAGGCACAGAAUACAUGACCAGGAGAUUUUACUUGCAAACUCUAAUAGAUGCAUUACCAUUUUGAUGGGAAAAUCUGCUUCUCUUUGUACUUUUUAAAAUCAGAGGUUUGAAUCAGCUGGUGUAAGAUUGGGAUUGCCUGCAUUCCGUACUUCAAUUUCUCAAGAUUUGCACAUCUUUUUCUGGGAUUACGAGUUCAAGUCUGAUUUAGAAUUUUGAUCAAUGGUGAGAAACCACAAUGGAUAUUGAAGUUUUCUCCAUCUCAUGUACCUGGUUUCAAAUGAUUGUUUAACCUUCCCAUUGCACAUUUAUUAACGAUAUCUGCUUAGUCUGCCUUAGAAUCUCUUGUCUAGAAAAUUUUCAACAAUUUCAAGUAAUUAUGGGAACUUCAGAUUCAAGAUUUUUAAUCUGGUUGUUGAAUCCUGUGCAAGUAGCAGAUUAUUGUACCAUUGCUUGUUAGGGCUAAGUAUGAAUAUUAAUCAUUUGCUCAGAAGGAAAGAAAAUUGGCUAGAUAGUGUAUUUCUUGAAUGUAUUCCGGAGUCUAGCUCAUAAGCUCAAUAAAUGCCUAGUUAGUUAAGGCCCAUAUAUAUGCAUAUAUACACACAUGCACAAACACACACUAUCUUGGCUCUGUAGCUGUGGAGGGGGAAAAAUGUAAUUGACAGAGCUUUAUGGGUGCUGGGAUUUAGUGUUUUUCAAGCAGAUGGACCCUGCUGGUCAAAGGCUGUGCAUGCCAAGAUUUUUGAGUAACUGUUGCAUAUAUGUGCCUCUUAUAGGACCCAGUUAUAAAUGAGCCUUUUAAAGGUCAACUGUGUGACAUGAAGGUGGCCGACAGUUUAUUAGACGUCCUGAUGUGGAUUACACUUCUCUAGUGAUCUUAUUUUUCUCUUAUUUGUGCUUGCCAUUCAUGAUUAACUUUGGCUGAACAUUUUCUUUUUCUCAUUUUUCACAGACGACCAGCAAAGAGGAUGAAGAGAGUGAUAAAUACAAAAGAAAGAAGGAGGUUGAGGAGAAACUGAAGAUUUUGAAAGAAAAAAAGCAUGGUCUGGUGCAGGUGCUAAAACAGGUAAUGCUAGGUUAUUUUCUUCACUUGUAUGAUAUUCUAGAUGGAUUAUCAAACUCUUCAAUUUUAAACUUCUUUUUGAGUAUGACUUUAUAUUUAUCGGAUAUGCUGUUAUCCAUUGUGUUUAAUAGAUCCAAAAUGCAGAAGAAGAACUUAAGAGGCGAAGCAGUGGACAGGGCAUGGCGGUUUGCCCAUCUGUUCCACUUCAAGUAGACAUUCCAACUGAUACCGGGUCAAUGACUAGGCUUAACACUCCUAGAGUUGGCUCAGAUGGAACCCUUGGCGGUGAGGUGGACGGAGGGGAAAAUGAUGGCAUGUUGAACCAUAAUCCCGAUGCUCGCCAUUUGCUUCGUAUGAGCAGCAGCUCCCCUUCCCCUUCUUCAGAUUCUCAACCCAAGAAGCCUGCUUAUAAUGUGGUAAGUUGUCACUACUGUUUCAGAAAGCUUCUGUGAAAUUUUCAAGCCUCUCAUUAUCAGAUUUUAUAUCCAUCAAAGGUUAUUUUAUUGGAGUUCAGUUUCUUCACAUUUAAAAUGUUUACAACAAUUUGGAUCAGGUUCCGAACCCUGCAAGAGCCAGUUUAGGGGUCUCCAGUCCUUCACGCUUUGCGCCAACCGGUCAGCAGGGACUGACUUCAAACUUGCCAACCGUUUCGGUGUCAGGGACCAAUUAUGUUGCCUCCUCUCCCUCUCCUGCUGCAUCAGGCGGAACGUCAGUUUUUAGAGAGAGCAGGGUCCCAAGUCCGUGGAAUUAGAAGCAAUAUUUUGCUAAACUGGAGAGGUAUCGACAGCAUGAAGACAUUAUUUAGAAUAUGCCGUCUUUAAUGUUCUUAGAGCGUGAGUAAGUUACUACGCCUUUGUCAGUGGCAUUUCUGGUAUCCGAGUAGUUUAAUUGAAGGUAUUGCAAUGACCCAGUUUUGGUUCAGAGAGAGGUUGAAAUGAAUGUUUGCACUAUUGUAUAGUUAAGGACUGCGUAUCCAUGCGUGUGCAUCAGAUAAUAAAUAAAAAGUUAACAGCUCUUUAAUAAAGGGUCAUGUAAUGUAAUCUGUCUUUGUGCUACGAAGCAUUCAGCUUGAGUUGUCUGCUAAUUCCCUUUAGACUUUUUCUCUAAUCUGAAACCCAGAUGUGCCUAUGAGCUUUUAUUUAGGGUGCCUGUAAUGCAUUGAUGGUUUCUGUUAGAUCCCCAUGCAGUCGUGCUACAAACUGCUUGAUUGGUUCUUUAAUGAUAACAGUGGAUUGUUGUGGGGGGAGUUGUUAUAUCCACUAAUUUUGAAAGUUGACAUGAUGGUUAGAAGUUGAACAUGGUGAUUGGCUUCAUCAUUUGGCCGGUGGCAUUUCUCUAUCACUCCCCCGUACGGACCUUUGAAUUUCCACUCUAGCAACUAUCGCAGUUUGAAUAUCCGGCGUAGAAUUUUGGGCAUAUCUGUCGUCUUCACCUUUAGUGUCUCGACUCUUGGGGUAGUCUUGACUACUACAGCCUGGCUUUGAAUGAUGCAUCACAAAGGGUUCUUAUGUUCAUAAGCUUUUAAGUUCAUAGAUAUGCGUCCCCCAGAACAAUAGUUGCGAAUUACACCACAUGCUUGCCACAAACAACAGCGGACAAAUAGCAUAGGGGAAAGAGGUGCCACCAGCUGUAGGGUGUUGUGCCAAAACCAAUCAGGUAGACUAAGACCAGACUGUCCGCCUCAUUAUUGAACAAGCAUCAGUUUCAGGAUCAUUUGGAGCGUAUUCAAAGAUCUUCCAAACGUGCAUUGUGGGUUGGGGAAAGACGAAUGAGACGACAGCAACAACCAAACAAUCCCCCAACCCUUCAUCUUUUUCAAAGCUAUUUGUUAUGCUGUUGCCGAAAUUAUUGACUUUUGUUUGUGUGCAUAUCUAUAUUUAGCCUUAUUUGAUGUCUUGUUUAUUCUAAGAAGAAUUCCCUUUUAAGGCAGAAAAAUGGGUUUUCUUGCUGCUAACAAGCGUAAUUUAUCUGAACGACUACAGCUUUCUACUACUUUGGACCUUUGGUGGAUUCAACAAAAGAAGAUAAGAUGUGGAGGAGGAGGCGGAGAAAGUUGCCGGUGGUUCUUCGGUUUUGCUCUGGUAUCAGCAGUGUAGUUAGUAUUGGUGGUGAGUUUGACUAUCUUGUAUUGGAGUUUGGAGUGUGACAUUUUUUUAAAAAAAAAAAAAAAAAGAAGAAGAAGAAGAAGAAGAAAAGAUUUUUUCAAAGCAUGUCAAUCAAAAUUGUGGAAAUUUCAGGAUUGAAUGGAAGUGACUUGAUUGAUGAGUUAGUAGGUAGGGCGAUGGUACGUUUGCAAAAAGGGCUAUAAUAUUAAGAGCAAAUUAUCUGGCUGGCCAUUAAACUUUUGCCAUCGUUGAGUUUUGGUCACUCAACUAUUAAAAGUCUGAUUUUGGCCACUCAAAUAUAUAAAGUUAAGAUAUGAGGCCAUUCUGUUAGAUUUAGCCGUUAAAUUCGUCGAUAUAUCCGUUCGCGCGAUUUCCAAGACAAAAGGUAGGGUUAAUUUAGGAAUUCAAUAUAGCAUUCAAUGCUUCUCUCAAAAAUUAUCGUUCUUCUUCCUGCCCCUCUUCAAAUCUUCGUCAGACCCUUUUCAUCCACCGCAGGCAUCACUCCUGCAACGCCACCACCGGUAUAAAGCUUGAAAUUAGUUUCCUGUCUGGAAAAUGCUUGUUGAAAAUUAGGAUAAUUCAGGAAGAAUAAAAUGAAGGAUUUGGCCAGAAUUGUGAAGGCUCAGACUUCUUGCUAUCUUCCCAAGCCAGUUAGUGGAUCGAGAGAGCUCCGCCCAAAGAGUGCCUACAGCCCGUGCUAGCCCAAGAUCCCUCCAACAUCUUGUGUUUUCGGUAUCUGCAUGCCACCACCACCACCUCCUACUUUGAAUUGCUUAUUUGGAGGAGAAGGGGAAGUUUCAUCUGCGCCGUCUCCUUGGCGGCCGCUUGAUCCUUCCUCUUUAAACAAAUCUUCCCUAUAUCUUUUCCUUAAAUAACUCUCUGUGGCAUCUUGCCCACCGCCGCCACCGCUAUCUCCGCCACCGUCUCCGCUGGGAAUCGCUUCCGUCAUUUGAUUUGCUGCUAACAAAUGCUGCUGCUGUUGCUGAAAACCCAACAUGUGGGAAAACCCUUCCUCAUAGGGGUGGUGAGCUAAGGCUAGCGCGCUGUGGAAAGAAUGAGGAGCUGAUUUUGAAGGAGGAGCAGAGAGAGUGGAGCCGUUGCUCCUGACGGAUAUGUUGAGGGUUGAAAUGUUAGCCGGGAUGGUUCCCGUGCCAGUGGCGGCGAUUAUGGCUGGCUCGGCUUGCUGUAGAAGCCACUCAAUUGUCUCGCCGUCGGACUUGUGACCUAGCUCUCGAGUCAACUGGAAAAUCCUAGCUGCACAGGCAGCCGGCAUUCGGAUACGCCUGCCUCGGCCAUCAACUUUGGUAUGGCGGUCCUUUGUGGAUCUCUUGGGUGGCUGCUGCUUAGGGUGGAUUGGUUUCAAUAGCCCUAUUGACUAGGAGAGUCAGCAUUCCGGCAGCUUUGACUCUGUUGCAGGAAGGACUACUUGGAGUUCCAUACCAUGACUUCCAUGGCAAUCUCCCAAUUGAUGUGGGUCUCACCCUACCAAAUCUGAAACUAAUACCUGUUACGGAAAACAAUUUCUCUGGAAUCUUUCCCACUUCAAUCACCAAUGCUUCUGGGCUUGAGGAAGGAACUUGAGGAACUUGCCCUAAAGAAGAAGAUGCUAUUUUUAAUUUCCUAAAUUAACCCUGCAUUUUGUUUUGAAAAUCGUGCAGACAGACAGAUCGGUGAAUUUAACGGCCAAAUCUAACAGAAUGGCUACGAGUUUUAACUUUAUGCAUUUAAGUGGCCAAAACCAGACUUUUAAUAGUUGAGUGACCAAAACUCAACGAUGGCAAAAGUUUAAUGGCCAGCCAGAUAAUUUGCUCUAAUAUUAAUAAUGAAAGUGAUGAGUGAGCUCUUCAUCUCUCUUUCUUCUUCUUUUUCUUUCUAACAUAAAAAGGUAUCUUAGCCUUUUUUUCAAACCCAAUUCAAGAUUUUAACUUAGUUUUCAAAAUUUAACGUGUUCAGAUGCAUUUUGAUAAACCAAAAUAAAAUAUAUGAGAUGGGGUGACAUUUUGAAUCUCUUAGGCAAAACUUAUUUCAAAAAAGAAAAAAAGCGAUCGUACUUUUCACUCGUUACUUAACAUGAUAAUAUACACUAAAAUGUAUCACCAUUUAACGGACUCGCACUUCAGAGUAUUAAAAAUUUAGUACUCCCUCCGUCCCAUUUUGAUAGUCUCAUUUCUUUCUUCACAUAGUUUAAAAAAAAAGUAGUUAAUUUUGUUUGAAAAGUAAAUUUAGAUUGCUAUUUUUCUAAAAUACCCUCACAUUAAAUAUGGUACAACUUUAUGGGAACUUGAAUUGAUGGUAAAAAAAGAAUCAACUCUCAUUAAAUGGGGUAGGUUUAUAGUAAUAAGGAUAUUUUAGGAAAAUUAAAAUAUAACUACAUUCUUAACAAUGAAAAAAUGGAUUACAUUUUGAGACAGACGAAAAAGGAAAACGGGACUAUCAAAGUGGGACGGAUGAAGUACUUAACAAUUCAACAAUUUAAUAAAUCCAAACUUCAUAUUCCGUAUUACGAUUUUCAAACUUCAAUUUUAUCGAACACGCUCCUUUUUUUUUUGUUUUUUUAGUAGUGUACAUAUUAUUAUUACCGAAACAGUAAAAGUAGGGAAUGUAGGUGUAAUUUUUAAAAUUAAAGGAAAACUUGGUGCUGUAGUCAGAAACCUUGAGUUACCACUAAAGAAAAGAUGAUUACUUUCCGCAGUCAAGGGGAACCCAUUCCCUCGUCCUCCGCCCUCGGCGCACAAUACAACAAAAGUAGAUCACAUCUCCAGCAGCCUCACCACAAAGCUCCCAUCCGUUGUUACUCUCCCCGCCGCUAAUAGCACACCACUCCCCACAAAACACAAAAACGCACCAUAUUCUCCAACUCAAAAACUGUUCGCUAUCCCCUUCCAUUCCCUCUCUUUUGUAGAUAGAAUAGAAGAAGAAAACUACUACAUCUAUCCAUUCAUCAUCCCAUCCUACCGCUCUACCCAUUCUUCAUAUACUGACCAGUGGCCUCUAUGUUCUUCCAGUAGCCUCAUCAUCAUAUUUUUAGUAGUCUUUAAUAGUGGUAUUGCACUGUCCUCCUACUAGGACUUAGGGGGGAGUUUUAGGACCCCAACAAUUCCAGCCAAAAAGCCCCCAAAAACAACAACAACUAAACGCCACUUCGCAAACUCAAACCCAAAGGUGGUGCAACUUAUCAUCAUCAGCAGCAGCUCUAAGUUCUAGCUAACUAAGGGAACCAAAAGCCAAAAGUAGUAUCCUCCAUGGAUCCCACUCCCCUCAAAAAGCACCCGACAAAAUCCACCACCGCCGCCGCCUCAAAAAUGCCUCCUCCGGAUCCCAUUCUUGCUGCCCCCCCUUCCUCCACCGCCACCACCAUCCAAAACAUAUCCAGCCACUUCGCCAAGUUGUAUGCGAAUCACAAGUUUCUUGCUGCUUCCUUAAAAGCCUCCUCACAUCCACACGCUCAUUCUCAUCAAGAAGAAGAAAAGGGUCUCAAAGAUGAUUCCUCUGCUUUAGACAACUCCUGCGUAGCUUUGACCAAGUCAAGUAGCCAGCACGGAAGAAUUCAUCGUGGAGCUGCACCGGCAGAUUUGGCCUCGGCAAAUGAAGAAAGCUACCGCACGAAAACCAAGGUUAAAGAAAAGGACGACAGGAAGUAUUCUCUGGUUAAUGUCAAGAAGAAAAAGCCCCUGCCUGAUGCUCCUCCAGCUCAGAAGGCUUUAUUAGACGGGCAUAAAUCUAAUCUUAGAAUCAAGAAAUCAUCGUCAGGAGCAAGAGGAGGAGCAGCCCAGAAAAAGGAGGAGGAGUUCUAUGACGGGAGGAGAGGCGUGAAGAAAGCGUAUGGCUUGAUGUCGAGGAGUCUUGAAUUGGAGAAACCUAAUCAAGCCACGCCGUCGUGUGAAAUGAAUAGACCAUGUAUUUCGCUUGCGGUGAAUGGCAGAAGGACGUCAUUUUGCUGCUCGCGAGCUGAGUUGGCUGACUUCUUUUGUUGCGCCGGCGUCAAGGUUGUGGCUGUUGACAUGCCGCCCUUUAUGCAGAUUCACGCUGUCGAUUGUGCUAGAAAAGCUCGUGAUAGCUUGGAAAAAUUCACUUCCAAGACUCUUGCUUUUACCCUCAAAAAGGUACUCCUGCCUGCUAUAGCAUCUGUCGAAAGAGCAAUCAGUGAUCAUUGUGGGCUUUUUGGUUUAGGUUCUGUGAUGCGAGGCUUUCCUUUUUUUUUUUGUUUUUUUUUCCGUUUUGGGGGAUCAAUUCGCUUGCUGAUCAGCAGGCACGCUGGUUCUUGAAUUGGUUAGUCUCAGUUCUGAUUUUCUUGCUUGCAGGAAUUUGAUGGGGUUUAUGGACCAGCCUGGCACUGCAUCGUAGGGACCAGUUUUGGUUCCUUCGUGACACACUCAGUAGGUGGCUUCAUGUACUUCUCAAUGGAUCAGAAACUAUACAUCCUCUUGUUCAAAACAACUGUACAGAGGGCUGAUUGAAUGAUUUGGAGGUUGAAAACUAUUCUUACUAUUAUAGGGGAAAUUAGGCACUCACAAAGGCAGGCCUUUUUCUCCCCCUUCCAACUUUGUACAAUGCCAGCAGCCUUUUUCUCCCAUGGAUAUUUCUCUCGUACUAGUUACCUUGUCGGUAGGCUCUUUUUUGAAGUAGUUACAGCACAAAAAAGAAAUACUUUCGACUCCACUAAACUUGUGGGGGGGUUUUUGUUUAGAUGUUAGUACAUUGCCUAGUAGUAUCUCAAGAAAACUUGUUAAGAUAGCCCAACAAUCAACAUAUAUAUAUAUAUAUAUAUAUACCUACCUCCUCUACUAUGCUUCUAUGUCGGUUUCGGUGAAACUGUUGAAGGUAGUGCUGAUUUUUGUGGAUAGCAUAUGGUGAUAUAAGUAAGUUCGAAGUGUAGGAUGAUGAUAUAUGAGGCUGCAUUUCUUGUUCUUGGUUCCAUGCCGGGUUGGCAACUUAGCAUCCCACCAUCAAAAAGAAUGAAUGAAGGGCUUGGAACAAACAAUUCUUGUAAGGUCAGCUAGGGUCCUCCCCUAUUCCCCUGCCUGCCCUGGUCUUUGGAGAUCAAUGAGUGGUGCUUUUCAUUUCUUAGUCUAAACAAUCAUUGCUUUAAGCAAAAAAUUUGACAUUAUUUUAGAGUUGAGAUAAAACGUACCAGUAGUACCUUCUGUUUUGCCGCAAACCAAACCACACCCCACCUUACCUUAAACAGCCCCAGUCCCACGAACCAAAAAAAAUCUCUCAUUGCUGAUCAUUUCUUUUCCAUAGAUUUAUUUUUGGAAAGGGAGUUGUUAUGUAUCCUUCCUGGGUUAAUCUCUUGCUAGUUGUUACCUCAUUUCAUCUAUGGUUCCCUGUUGGAAUGGCCCAACCACUAUUCUGAAUCCAUCCAAAGUAUCAUAUGAAGUUUUUUUUUUUUUUGGCAUUUUGGAACUUUGAUAAUAGAAUUGCUUAUCACUCAAUGUAAGCACUCCUUGAUUUGUCUUCAAAAUUUUUUUUAGUUCACUUGAUUUUCUAAAUUGACCAGACAUGUUAUUUUUCUUUCUUUUACAUGCAACACACACACAUAUAUCAAAGAAAAAUCGUUACGUUUUCUGUGAAUAUAUUUUUUAACCUCACAUAUAUCAAAUCGUUACAAUAAUUUUUGUUUUUACAAAAAAUCCAGAAAAAUGCAAUCCAAACAAAGCCUUAGGUUGCAUGGCGAUCUACUUUCGGGCAAAUAUUUCGAGUUGAGGCUUGGUUUGAUAAGGUUAAAAAUAAGAGAUUAGCAAAAAAAAAAAUCCCAAACCCCUACUCAUUUGGGAUUGUUUGGUGGUGUGAAAAAGUUUCCAUCUAAUUUCUAAUUUGAUGAGACUUUUAAUUGAGGUUUAUGUGGCAGGGUAUGCGUAGAGUCCGAAACCAGUAGGCACUUGGGAUCUUUAGCCCAAAAGCACAGCCAAAGAGCAUAGCAUCUGCUCUUUGGUUGGAAGCUAUUUAAAGUACCAACCACAGUAUAGAUGCCAAUUGGCAAGCAGAAGAAGCAUUUUAUUAUAUAAUCAUCUGUGAAUCUAAGCAAGCAGCCACUUUUAAGAUCUUUUUCCGAUAAGAGGAAUAUGUGUGAAAGAAUUGCCUGAUUUUUAAGAAAGUGCUUGCCAGGGAAUCCACUCUCUCUUUUGAGCUAUAUAUAUAUAUAUAUAUGUAUAUAUAGAAUUUUUGCUGUGACAAAAAGUAACUGGAGUAGCUAGCGCAUGCAUGCGUUAAGCUUUUACUACUUUGGAAGGCGAUGCUAUUGCUAUACGAUCACACUGUCAUCUGCAGCUUAACCACAAAAACAGUUCCAUCAGACCUCCAGAGUCCACACACACACACACACAAGGGUUGUUGUUGGUGGUGGUGCAUAUGUGUCGUCUUUCUUAAGGAAAAAAAAAGAGGUCGUGGACCAUAUUGCCAGCAAACAAGAGGAGGAUGCUCAAUAUUACCAUCUAUGGCAUGGUUCAAUUUGAAAUUUGCAGUGACUGAACAUGCUCCUGCUUCACUGCACAUCGAAUAGAAUCAUGUUGAAAUCAGGCAAUGCUAGGCAGCGCUGAUAAAAAAGAGCCCAUGAUGAAGGUCCACUUCAUGCACUAAUUUUAGCGAGUGUUAGAGAAUAAUCCAGUUGUAGGCAUUGAAAUUUCGUCUCCAGACUCUAGAAAAGCAUAAGCUGAAUGACAUGAAAAUUGCAUUGAACCAUUUUUUUGACAUCAACGCAACCAUUAUGAAUCUGCUAGCAAACGCCCUCAGUUGCACUAUCAAGAUGACCGGUUUACUAACAUCAAAAAAAUGGUAACAUGUCUCCUUCUUUAGGAAAAUCCAGUUAUAGAGUUCUUAUGAAUCGUUGGCUCGACUUCGAUCACCGUCAUAAAAUAUAAGUUGCUUGUAGAGUUUUCACGGAUAAUCCAUCAAUACAGCCAUUGCAUUAACAGCGAAUAUCAGUCAGUGCCGAAUGGCGAUGACACUACUCAACUAAAGCUGAUGGCCACCAUCAAGCUUUUAAUACUGCCUUCUAUCAAUUAUCAUAUUAAAAAUUCAGAUAGGUGUGUAAUGCGCCUGUUUGCUUCAAUUUUCUCUCCUCCUUACUAUUCAUGGACCUCUCUUCCCCUAGCAUAAAAUAGAUUAAAAUAUAUUACAGUUAUCGUCUCCCCGAAAAAAAAAAAAAAAAAUAGGAUGACACUACUCUCUCUCUCUCUCAAGUCCAAAGUCUCAAGUGUGUGCCCGUUAGUCGGUAGUUGAUCCACAAUCUCACCGGUCUCUCUCAAGUCUCACUUUCCCUUCUUCGGUCUGUCUUCAGUUUUGUAAAUUAGUAGCUUACCACUCCAUCUCCGUACACUACAGUCUCUACUCCUGCCUUUUGGGGGGUCAAAAUUACUCCUCACUCGCCCUUUCAUAGUUUUUUCAUUGAAUCAUUUUUAUUUAAUAUCACCAGACAACAGCCCCCGGGGGCCCCCAUCAUCUCCAUCUCUCUGACCUCCUCCUCCUCAAUUUCCACUCACUUCAGUCCGACUGCUACUACAUUUCCCCAUUUCACUUUCCAUCUUACUCCUGCGUCCUCCUCAACUACUGCUGCUGCUACUAGCACUACCAUUCAUGUUGCCCAUAUUUCUUUGACAUGUAUAUGUGCAAAAUUCUGCUGCUGCUGCUUUGUUAAGUUGAAGUUUUCAAUGAAUUAGAUCAGUAAAUGUUUGGUUAGGCCCCCUGGGGGGUGAAUGGAUCCGCCAAUCGUCAGCCACUCGUCUUUUUCACCUGCCCAUGCUUCCUCCUCCUACACUCUCACUGACCUUUGGCCUUUCCCCAUCGGACCUCCUGCCGUUUUGGGUCUCCCAAUGCCCCCCGCCUUGCCACCCCCACAUGGCACUCCUCCUCCUGUUGCUGCGCUUUCCCUUGAGGAAUCCACCGUCACCGACCUAAGUGCUUGCCGCACCAAUGCCACCAACAAGCGCAAGCAUGUCCUUUCUCAACAUCACCUUCUUGCUUCCGCUUCUUGUGCCGUUCAUUCCGUUAGUAUAUAAAUCCCUUUUUUCCCCCGGUUGAUGGAUAGAUUUCUCUGUUAUCUUGCUUUGCUCCACUUCAAUUCUACCUGCAACAAUUCUUCUUUUUUUCCCAUUUCUCAAGUUCAUUUUUUGAUGCUUGCUCUCAAUUUUGGUCAAUGGACACAUUUUUUUGCAUGUUGGAUUCUUAUACAAAAUGCUAGUAAAUCUUUUAGUAAAAAGAUUUCCACUUUUACUGUUGUUUCUUGAUGGGCAUUCCUAGAUUUCUACUUGCAAAAGAAAUACUUUUACUACGGAGAUAUUGAUCCCAUAACAUUUCCAAUCUUUUUUUUAAAAAGAAAUUGUAAUUUUUGUUUCAUCUCUAACUCUUUUAAGUGAUUGAGAUUUUGUUAUCUCCCCAUAACUAAGCCUAGAAGCCAGAUUUCUCUUCCACUGGUUGAGUGAUACUGAUUUUACUCGACAGAAUAAUGCAAAUGUAAAGCGGAUGAAGGCAUCAGAAGGAGGAAUCGGAGAACAAAUUGAUGAAUCCAAAGCAGAACCGCAGACCAGCUCAUACACUACUAACAAGCCUGCUGAUCAUGACGAUACUAACCCUCAGCCACCUAAAGACUAUAUCCAUGUCAGAGCCAGAAGGGGUCAAGCUACUGAUAGCCACAGUCUUGCCGAGAGAGUAAUUCUCGCCUUGCUUACCUUUCUUUUGUUGGCCAUUCAUUUCGAGUAUUAGUUCUGAUGAAUUAGCUCUGUUUUUCAUCAGGCUAGGAGAGAAAAGAUCAGUGAGCGGAUGAAAAUUCUUCAAGAUUUGGUUCCUGGCUGUAACAAGGUCCGCACCCGCACUCUUCUUGCGUAUCACACUAGACCAAAAAUUGUUGUGGAAUUUGUGCUUUAUUACUUCAGGAGAGUGUUGUCUUUUCUCAUUUUCACCAGCUUUUAGCUUUCAAAAAAUAUUUUGCAGCAUUUUCUCGAUGGAUUUUUAGCUUUUCUGCACUUUGGAAGUUGAAAUUUUGAUGUCAGUUGGACUAGCUAUCUGGAAUUUUGUUUUACCUAAGCUCUACAGUGCAAGAGGAAAAGAGAAGAGGCCCUUAGUUCACACUAAUCCUUCCAUGUUUUAGGGGUUCCACUUGAACUUUUUUGCUCUUUAAAAUAAUUCUGUCCAGUUAAUGCACUAUUAUGUAUUGAUCAGGUAAUUGGGAAAGCUCUAGUACUUGAUGAAAUUAUUAACUACAUCCAGUCACUUCAGCGACAAGUUGAGGUAGUUACUGAAGUCUUCCGUGUUUAAUUCACAUCCAAAAUUUUGAAUCUCAUUCUGUCCUUAAUAUAUUGCAUGUCAAAGUUUUUAUCCAUGAAGCUCGAAGCAGUUAAUUCAAGGAUGAACUCAGCCAUAGAAGGAUUUCCUUCCAAGGAAGUAAGUUACAGAGCUUGAAAUGCUAGCUAGUUUAACGCCUUUAAUCCUUUCUUGAUCAGUCAAUCUGUAUUGUCAGUUCUUUUCUGACUGUCAUUUUGGUGCUGCUGCUUUGUUUUUUUACUAGUUAUAAGUAUGAACAGAGAAACUGUUGAAAUCUGUUUCAUCGAGUGUUUGGGAGGACGUCCUUGGUAGUAAAUUACAUUAAAAAUGAAAUAUGUUGCCGUUAUAGGAUCAUGAAAUGGUACACUUUGUGGAGUUUUGACCUGAUGACUAGCUACUGACUGAAAACGAAAUAAAAUAUAGAUUCAUAUUUUGGAUCAAAAGCAGAGGUGACAAGUUAGUUAUGCUCCACGCUCCACCAAACAGUUCAGCAUCCUGUUGUAGUUUGACAGAAAGAUGCAUAUUCCUUUUGUUCCUUAUCUGUGUCUUUUAACAAAAAAUUAAAUUCAGUAUAAGUUCUUGUUUGUUUAUUCUUGUCCCUUUUUAUUCCAUAAUAGCAGUUUGCUUUUUCUUAUCUGCGAUCCCUUUUUCGUUUUUCGAUGAAGAGCUGCAUGCCAUUUUGCCUGUGGCAAUUUCUUAACUCUUUAUGGAGUGCAAGUACGCAUGGAAAAACUUGAAAGAUUUGAGGAAGCAUUUGACUCCAGAUUCACAUAUUCUAUGUCCUUUUGGGAAUCUGACGAGUUGGUGAACAUGUAAGAAAAAGAAAAGGAAACAGUUAAUUGCCUUUCACAGUGUGAGCGAUGUCUUACUGAAAUUCAAAUGACAAGGUAUAGUCCUUGUGUUAAUAUUACUCCUCUCGGAGCUCCUUUUCAGAAGAUGGAAAUGGCCCCAUGAUUGACACCGCGGUCACCAUGCCAGUGGUGAACUAGUAGUAGUUUUUAUAUCAGCAUAGUUAACUCUUUUCUUCCUGGAAUUCAUAUUUAACAAUCUUUCGCUACGACAUAUAGAUCUUAUGAAUGACUAAACAUGAUAUACUGGUGGUCCAACAUACCACGUGAAUUACAAGUGAUCAAGCUACAUAAAUAUACUAAAUUUCACAGAGUAAAGAUGUUGUAACAGUGGUAUUUCCUGAUCAAUUACUGUAGCUUCUUAGCUAAUUCUGUAACAUUUGGUUAUAAUUUGAAGGUGGAUAUUCACCUGUAGAUAAAGAAAAGUUCAUCUGUAUUUGGAUUUUGACUUAAAUUUGCAGUUUUAUCUUCUUAUGUUCUCGUAUUGGUGCCUAAAACUAUGUUUGACUGCUUAACUUUAAAACAAAUGAGUCGUGCCUUUUCUGCCAGGUCCUCCUCCUCCUCAUUUUUCAUCCCCUAUCAAGUAUAUGUGCCUGCAGCUUCCAUAUUAUCUCUCCUCUUGUUCCUUGUUUUGUGUAGUUAUCCUUGGUUUUUCUUUCAAUUCUGCUCUGUCCAAAGCAAGUACAUGCAUCAGAACUGCUCGUCAUUUCACAUGAGUGUAGAUGCAGUGACGUAUUUGCAUAACUAGUGCAAGAAUGGUGAUAUGGCUCUGUUGGAAGGAAUUUGCAGCAGUCAUUGUUUACAGCCUCUGGCUGAUUUUAUACAGUUACAGCUACCUCUUUUUUGUAUUGAGAUUAAGCACUGUUGCUAGCUUCAGUUUUGCUUCUGCCAGCUGAACAUGUGUUACAUCUCUCAUUUCCCCUUGUCUUGUGUAAAUAUAUGUGUUUUUAAGAUCUAUCAGUUGUAACCUUCGUUCUGGUUUAUGUGACUUACCCUAAAUAUGAUCCACGCGCAUUGUUGAUUAGUGAGUGAUUAUUAUUCAUGCAUUUAAAAGUUCAUGAUGUCCAGCAAUACCCAGAACUUUUUUUGAGUUAUUUCUUUGAUUCGGUUAUCCCGCUUUCCAGCUUGCAGCUCCACAAUUUGAUGCUACUGCAAUGAUCUUCGGCCAACAAGCACCAAGGGAAUAUGCUCCGGAUGAAUGGCUUCAUAUACAGGUCGGUAGCAGCUUAGAAAGAGCAACGUGACAAAUACAGCUGCUCUUCAGUGAAUAGGAAAGUUGAGCAGGCAUUUUAUUCCUCCAGCUCAUUCUCAUCGUCUUUGAUCAAAUCAAGGAGACUUUCAGUUAUUUAAUUUUACAUCUAAUGUAACCCUUUCGCAGAUUGAAGGACAUUCUUGAACUUGCUGUGAGUAUGCCCAUAUGUCCAAUUAGAAAACUGGAUCUCUGUCUGAUCUGACUAGUUCCUGUAUUGACGUCUAGGACAAAAUUGUAGCAAUAGUACGUGGUUUAAUUUAUGUGUUAUCCUUUGAAGAUGCAAUGGACUCUUACUGCAAUUCUUUCAUUAGUCGACGAAAGUUCAGCAUCUGAAGUGGCACAAUCCUAGAUCCCAAAUCCCCCUGAUGGAAGAAACAUUUCCUGGUACUCUGCCCCCUGGGAAUCACAAACAUGAAACGCCUGCCCUGAGGUCUAACACUUCUGAGUAGAAUACAUUUCCAGUGGUCACAAGACCUACAAGGACUUUCCCCUCAAUGACUACUACUCCAGGAGCAGAGUCAACUCGAUUCAUGGAGAUUCCCAGGGUGUUUAGCCCCGGAAACGCAAAAACAUUUCCUUGUGCGACGCUGACUCCAAAGGCAUUAGUAGUAUUUCCCUCUUUGCUGAGUCCAUCAACGAAGAAAUCCUCUGAAGUCACAUCAGAGACAGGCUUGCAAGAGAAACCAUUCACAGAGGUGGGGUCUUGGAUCCUGUAGUGGGUCGGGAUCAGCAGAUUGGGAAUAAGGCCACAAGAAAACUGAGAGAAACAGCAUUUGGUAGAACACCAGCUUAGCAGCCAUAGUCAGUCGAAUACAAUAGUGUUUGGAUAGAGUAUUAUUUGGAAUAAAUACUAAAUGUGUUUAUGAUACAAGCGAAAUAGGUAAACUUGAGCUGUCCAAACACAGUUGCCACUCUGAUGGUUAACCUUGCUGGAAUUAUUAGUUGAAAUACUUUGUCGCGGUGGUGAACAGGUUAAGAAGUAGUACCGUAUAAUUCUUCAAAUGACAUUUUUGGGGGGAUCAACUUUUCAAUUUUCAUUUCAUGAGGGAGAACAGGUGAAGAAAUCCCAAAAACAAGGAUUAACUGACGAGAGACAGAUGCAUGCAACAAGGACACUUUCAAAGAAUAUUAGUACUAGUAGACUAGCAUUAGCACUAGCACUAGCACUAGCAGAAUCUUAAUUUACCAGGUCUCCUAGUAUUGACCCCAAAAAACCACCGGCCCCCACCACCAAGCCUUUAAGGCUUUGGUGGGGGCGGGAGGCAAGGGUUCAAGGGACGAACCUUGCCUUCCACCAAAUUGUCACAUUGUGGUUCUUCAAAAAAUCCAGACGGGUGUGUGAUGUAUCUGUCUGGUCCGGUGGUGGUUUUGCUCCCAUCGAUUCUUCGUAGGUCCAGUUGGGCCUCCCCCUAGUUAGAUUAGAAUAGAGUAGGAGUAGUGAUGACGAUUGACCAAAAAAAAAAAAAGUAUUGACCCCAAUAAAAAAGAAGAAGAAGUUGAUGAUGUUGAAAAUUGUAAUCCAUUGUUCGUGAGUUAGAAAACUGUUAUAUAUAUAUAUAACAUAGGUGGACACUUGCACAUAGAGGAUACAUCAUGUUUGAAUUGAAAAAAGGUAUUACAUUAGGUUCUUGAACCUCAUGCUUAUGUAGACUGUGCUUCUUUCCAAAGACACAAACUUUUUCUUAUUUUUAUGCAGAGCAUAUGUGUUGCAAUGUUACACAAAGGUGUACUCCUAGUGGUCAAGGAGGGCCUUUUAGAGCUUCCUUUCGCUCGCCGCAAAACUUGAAUAGAAGGAAAAUAAAAAUGUUAGGAACAUGUACGACUCGGUUCGUUGACAGCCCUAUAGUGUUGAGGCCCGGAAACUCAUAAACAUCAGCAUGCAUGAGUGACAUUGAUCGACGCCGUAAACGUUGAAUGCUCCGAGACUUUGUUGGAACCCAUGAAAUUAAGAAGAAGUCCUGUGUGAAGAUGCAGUGGCGGGGUUCUUGCAGAGAAAACCGUUGAAUUGGUGGCAAAAGUUUAUGAUCCACCCACUCAAUGGUACAAAUAUACAGAUAGAUCAACAACAAACCUUACCAUACAUUAAUUGAAUUAAACUAAUUUUCACUAUGCUGGGAUGAUCAUGAAAUUUCUCCUUUAUUUUCGAAGCAGUACUUAUUUUUAGAAGAUCAUCUAUAAACUAAUCAUAUUAAGCAGGUAAAAGAUCACAUAUACCCUUGUACCAGGACGGUAUAGAAAGCGGGAUGAUCGGUUGUAAGGAGCUUGAUUUAGAAGUGAAGUAUAGCGGUGGAUGCAAUUGGCUGUAGUUGUGCUGACUACUGAACUUGGUCGAUCCACCGUAUAUUGGUAUGACCUUAAAGCUGACAAGAAGACGACGAUACAUUUAUCGAUGGAUAAGCACAAACAUGGUCCAAUACGAUUCCAGAUAUAAGUGAGUGAAAGUGAAAGAGCAAUUAUGCGUAAACUCAGCUGUAUACUUUUUUCCAAUUAUGAUAAUUUUGAGAUAGGUGAAAAAUAGAAUUAGUAACUUGUCUAGUAGAUACUAAACAUGAAAUAGUUGCUUUAUUUAUAUGGUAGAACUUUAUUGAUAGUGAUGUAUCAUAAAGCAUGAUUACUAGGAAUGUAAGUGAACCAAAUCUACUUGAAAGCAACUCGACGACGACGCUCAAUUCAGAAGAAACUCGACUCAUCUUGAUUUUAUCGAACUUGAGUUCAAGCUACUCAAGUAGCAAAUCAAGUCGAGUUCGAGUUCCAAGAUUACAAGUUCGAUUACUUUUGAGCCUAAUAGAGGAUUAUAAAAUGAAAUAUAUUGUAUAUAUUUUUUGAAUUUAUAAAAUUACUCAUGAUACGUGGCCCUUCUAAAAAACCCAAUGCCCUUAACCUUCUCCUAUCUGUCACCAUCUCAUCUUUUUCACACUUCUUUCUCCCUGAUGUUAAUUCAUCGAAACAAUGUCCUCUCCUUCUUCUUGGGACUCUUUCUCCCUUCUAUCUGGUGUUUGACCGUUUCUCUCUUCCCCUCUCCUUCAUGCUCUGUCUUCUUCUUUAAUCUAUUCCACAUUUUUCAUCUUUUCUAGACUCUAAAGCUAUCGCAAGGGAGAUAAAGGCAUACCCGUAAACGCAUCCACCAAUUUCAUCGGGUGGGAGACUCUGGAUUUAGACCUUACAAGACUCUAACCAAUAUUUCAUUCCUCUUACCAGCAUCGUGGAUAAUUGUCACCCAAUAAGAUUAUUGUAGCAGUACUACUGGUUCAUUUUUAGCUAGUCUUUUUAUUAGUAUAUGUUUAGUAACAAGAUCAUCUGGGGACCUCAUGAUGAGCUCGAUUGAUAGUUUCAUUCACGUGGAAUACUGCUUUAGCACAGCAGUUGAUCAGGAAUCAAAGGCAUAGACUCAAAUAGAGUUGGUGCAAUAAUCUGAUCAAUCCCAGGAUUCUGACUGUUAAAAGAAGUGAAGAAACGUACUGCAUUUUCUUUCCCGACUUUGAGUUGGAGGUGCAGCACUAAUCCUGGUGGGAUCACAAACUCUUCACCAGAAAGAUCACAACUUAAGUAAUUUCCACUACAAAACAUUCACCGUUGAUACCCAGCCAACUGAAAGUCUCCCCUCCAUGACGAGGGAUGACUCGGUUGACGGAGGAACUCGAUGCGAUUCAUUGACAUCCCUACGUUGAGACUGUCGAAUAUUUAGUUCGCUGCCCCAGUCUUGCAGCCUUCAAAGAAUUUUUUUUUUUUUUUUUUGGUUCUAAGGGGAACUACAAGCCUUAACAUAGGAAAGAAGUAAUAAUAAUAAUAAUAAUAAUAAAAAAAAGGGUAAAGAAACAAAAAAAAAAAAAAAAUCAUAGUAAACCUACUACACAGAAAAACUCCCUGUAAUUUCAAAACGCACAACAUGAUACCCGAUACUUUAAACUAAAUUAUAAAAGUGACGGAAUCCUUUAAAUUUGAUGGAAAUGGACGAAAUGACCCGAAUGUCCUGAUAUAAUUAAGCAAAAGACAGUUCAAAAAAAUCAUUUGUUUCAUUCUCUAGAUAGAGAGAAUUGAGGUUUAAGGGGUAGAACAGGUAUGUUUGUUAAAAAUUAAGUAUAAAAAAAUUUUUUUUUAGAUUCCAAUAAGUCAUUUCCGUUAAGUUUAACGAAUUCCGUCGUCUUUACAAUUUAGUUCAAAACAUGAGAUGUCAUGUUGUACGUUUUGAAACUACGGGGGCUUUUCAGUGUAUUAGGUUUACCCCAGGAGUUGCAGAUCCGCAACGCAGUAAUCCUGCACUGGACUUGGAUCAGAAGGCAAUAAUGACACGAGUGAGUGACAAAAUUACCAAAGCAGCUAAUAACAUUGUGGGAGACAACAGGCUGACUUCUUAGUUAAUUGCUAGUAAUAUUUAUACUAAAAGAAGUAGGCUUGCAAGAGAUCAAACAAGGGGAUGUAUUUAAAGGUGAUGUUGGCGGGUGAUCAUUCCAAUAUGAUCGGAAAAAAUGUUCAAGAAGGAGGCACAUCUGGUUCUGAGGUUGGUCAGUUUUUUGCCCAAAUAUUGAACCUCCUCCUUCAACUAAGGCUGUAUAAGUUCUGAGCUGGUAUACAAAUCCAGCCAUGCCAUGAUUUUGUUUUAAUUCAUUAAGAUCCAAAAGGGUUCAGGCUAAGCACUUGACUUUGCUGUUAAACAAUAAUGUAUUAGCUACUUAAUUAUCAUUGGGGGACAGUUCGUCGUCAUUUUGCAUCUUCAAGCACACAACAGUUUAUAUAUGUAUCUAUAUAUAUACCAAUGACAUAUGCCAUGACGCUGUCCACUAAGUACUUUCUGAUGGCUGCAUUUGUUAUUUCUUUUUUACUUUGAGGGAAAAUUCCGUCUAUAUAUGUCAUAAGAGAACUUCUCCCUCAAGAUAGAUUUGCUUUAAAAAAGGACAUGAAAUCAUUUUCAAGCUAUAUAUUAUUGAUCUGAUCAGAUCAGAUCAGCAAAGGAUUCACUAUCACAGCUUUCCACCGUACCGUUUGCCCUCCCGCAACUCCAACAUGUUCAGUUACUACUACAAGCCACACCAUUUUUUUUUUUAUCACCUCUGACGUCCUUUACCCUACUACUGAACUGAAGGGUCUAAAGAAGACUUAUCGCAAAUUGGUGACAACCUGCAAGAGCAUCAUCCAUCAUCUGCUAAUCGUUUGAGCAUGAUCAACAUCGAUUACAAUAACGAUUGCACCGGACCAGGAUUGAGCUCCCCUCUAAUGAAUAAUAUAAGCAAAAUGAGGAAUGAAGCCUUUGAGGCAAACAACCUUGUACCAAGGCACUUGCAAAUAAAAAUAAUCCCCCUUCAAUCAAAGCAUCAUAAGCACCUGUAUGUAUGCUAGGAGAUCUAUUAGCAGAAGACUUGUAUGUUUUUUUAUAAAUAAAGAGAUCAUGAAUGAAGAAUUUAAGACCAUUUCCAAUCCUUCAAUACAAGACUUUAUAAUGAUUCUUUCUUUUUUCUUUUUUUUUCUCAAUAGUAACUACUAGUGUUAUUUCUUAGUUCAUGCUCUAAAUUCUAACCCAAAAAAAAUUACAAAUGAUGGUAGCUAUGAUCUUCAAACCUAUUAGAAUGCAAGUGAUUUCUAUGCACUUGAGCAUGUUUGAAUUGACCGUGGACUCUUGAGAGAAAGAGCCAUAGUCAUUAUUUAACUGGCUAAUUUAGUGAUGAAACUGGCUAGUUUGCCAGAUAAAAUUGCUGGCUUCAUUUGGCAGCAAAAUUCGAGUUUUCUAUUGCUUUUGUUUUUUUCUCUAAAGGUUUGCAAGCUAAAGUAAAGUUUGAAGUUUUCUUCUGAUCUUGUCCCAUAUGCUGUCUAAUUUAUUGACUCUCCCCUUUCUAAUAAUUGAGCAUUUGCAAUUGCUUUUGUCAUGUUGGGUUUGGCUGUGUUGCAGCAAUAAUACCAGUAUGACGUAGUAAUUAAAAUAUUAUCUUCUUUUGUCUUGUUGUUGAGAACGGACUAGAAGAAGCUAGACAAAGCAAAUUUCUUGAAUAUUGGUGCAAUAAAAAUAAAAAUAAAAAGAUUGAGUAGAGGGGGUUUUCUUGUUAGUGGAUUUUUUUUUUUUUAAAUCUGAAAUAGCCUGCAGUGUCUUUUUUAUUUUUUUUAUUUUGGACAAGGUGGGCUGCCUUUGUUUUUUUCAGGUCCCUGCUACACCAGUUGGGAUCCUCUAUGCCACUAUUCGGUGCCAGCAGAGGCUAGUUUGUAAAUGAGGCGGCCAACUUUUAUUAGUAUUUUUUUAACAGGGCAUGGCGGCCUCCUUUUUUUUUUUUUUUCUUUUAAAUCCAUAGUGAUUACGGAGUAAAGCAGGAAAUGGCACUUGGGAUCCUCGGUGACAUGUUUUCUAUGCCAAUCCAAUGCCACCAAUAGUAUUGCGCCAAGUGUCAUGUUAUUAUUUACACUUGUGUUAAACUAAGCCAAAUUAAAUUAUUAGAAAAUUAAAGUGUAAACAAUAACAUGACACUUGGCACAAUACUAUUAGUGGCAUUGGAUUGGCAUAGAAAAUAUGUCACCGAGGAUCCCAAGUGAGGAAAUGGAGCUCCAAGUUACCACAUAGAAUCAAGUCUUUAGUUCGUUUAGAUAGCAUAGGUUACAAUAUAUCCGAGUUUCUAGGAUAAGGGAACAUUACUCCUUGUUUCCUUACUUAUAUCGGUUGUUUGAAGGUCAAGUUUAUGUUCCCUUCAAUUUCCUACUUUUUUUUAAAUUAAUAACAUAACUGGGCUGGCUGCCAACCCCCGUGUACGUGUUUGCAGUGUUGUUAGACCCGGAUCAAACCGGUCGGUUUGACCAGUCCGAUUGUGAAUUAGUCUUUUUUUUUAACAGAUUUGUAGUACAAAACUGUUAUGGUCAAAAAUCGGUUAAAUCAGUGAUCCAAUUUUAUUGGUUGAUCCGAUUCUCAAAAUUUUCUUUCUUUUUUUCCCCAAAUAUAAUCUGAAUUAGUUAAAUUGUAACACUUUCAUUUAUUAAUAGGAAUAAGAAAAUGCCACACAAUUAGUGUAAAUACUAAAAGCACUCGCUUUCUUGAAUGAUCUCUAAAUCAAGAUGUUUUCGUCCCUAUAAUCUUAUCAAUUUAGCAUCAGUGAUUUCAACUUGUAUUAAUUUGUUUUAAUUUUAGUUUUCCAAGUAGUUUUGGAGAAUUGACAUAUUUGGCCAUGAAUUUAGAUUUUUAUAUAAAAUUAUUAGAUGCAUAUUUGAUUGCAAGUCUAAUAUUUUUGAAACAUUUUCUAUAAUUGACGUAAUAUAACCGAGAAUUUAAUUUCAAUAUAAAAUAUAAAAUAAUUAUGACAUCAUGCCAAUAUCAGUGAAUUUUUUAGAACGAUCAGAUCGAUCCAACCAGUUGACUCUUAAUCUAGCAAUUUAGCCGAAUCGUUAUCCGAUUCGAGUUUAAUAACAAAUUUUAAAUUGGAGUGUUUGGAUAGCCAAAAUAUUUUAAAUAAUAUUUCGCUUGCAUCAUAAACACAUUUCUCAAUCCACUUUUUUAUAUUCUCAAUUAUCUUUUUAUUUCACAUACAUCACAUCACAAAAGUUCUACGGUAAUUAUUUCAAAUAAUACUCUAUCCAACCAAUUGCAUUUAAUAACGUUGCUGAUUGUGGAUGAUUUAAUAACAAUUUUUCGGCCAUCUUGUUGAAGAUUGUUAGCUUUUUUUAUCUAUAAAGUGGUUUUCCGUGUUGCAACUUAAUUGGUUUAUCUGCUCUGACCAUAAAAUUUUUAAGGAGGGGUAGCUUACAUAAAUAAAUGUUGUGUAAAAUUAUUCACAAAUAAUGCGGAGUCUCUUUUUCUGCUGUGAUUUGACGUGCGACGUUGCGAAGGAGCAGAAGUGUGGACCACAAAACAUCCAAUCAGUUAGGACACACAGCAGCCCAUGUUGAAAAUUCUACCUCCAAAUGCUAUCAUUGCCAGGGAGAGAAGAAUGCAAGUGAUGCAAGAAGUGGCACAAUCCUGGAAGAUAUUUUAUGAAUCUUAAUAAAUAAUUUUUUAACAAAUGUUUUUUUUUUUUUUUUUCGGUUAGAAGGGAGGGUAAUUCAUUCGGUCAUCAUUUGACAAAGUUUGCCGUUAGCUUGCUUGGUGAGAUUUCUUGUAAGCAAUCCCUUCUUCCUUUGGUUGGUUAGAUUAGCCAAAGAUGAUGUAGAAGCAAUUGGGUCCAAAUAUGUAGACCUUUCUUAUUUUAUGCAAUACAUACACCGUUACCGUUUGGCAAAGAAAAAAAAAUUAUAAUGUUGCUUGAGGUUCUCACCUCAUUAACUUGGUAUUUAACUGUUUGAAUAAGAAUAGUUAUUUGAAUAAUAGAUUAAAAUAUUACACAAGAGUUAGGAUCAACAACCGUUUGAAUUAGCUAUUUUUUGGGGUGUUUUUGAAAAAUUUUGCUGUAGCAAAAUUUUUAGAUUAUAUUUUGGGUUAUUUUCAGAAAAUAUUUUGGGAUAUUUAAGAGCAAAAGAGUUUCUAGAAUAUAUUUUAAGAUAUUUUUAAAAUUUUAAAAAAAUUUAAACUAAUUUUUAGAUUACCUUUUAGAGUAUUUUUUAAAAUUAUUUAUUGUAUUUGAAAAACUAGUUUUUGAAAAACAAAAGUCAAAAUUUUUGGUAUUUAUUUUAUUUUUACUAAUACUUCUAUUUUUUAGUUCACGUCAAUUUAUUAGCAAUAAAAUUGUAUCUCUGGUUGAAUUUUCUUUUGCCUAUUUGUGGUUUCUUUUAUUUGUGUUUUGUAUUCCUAUUGGUAUCGCGUUUGUCAUUUAUUUUUCCAAAGUUCUAAUAAUCACAUCUAAUGAAGAAAUUAGCAUUUUCUUAGUCGCUAUUUUAGAGUUAUACUAAGUAAUUGUAUACUAACAUUAUUGAAGUGAUACUAAUCCCCUAUACGAAUAAAAACUAAGAGUUGGAUUGCUAUAAAACGUUUUCACGAAGAGAAAUUAAACAAGAUUGCUUUGUCGAUACUUAGCAGUUAUACAAAAUGCUAAUUGCAUAACAAGAUUAAUUUUGUAUUAAUUGUAUAGCGUAUGCUAAUAUAAGGAAACUAAGAAUUAAAUUGAUAGAUUACAUGUUUUACAAAGAGAAAUUAAACGAGAUUCAUUAGUUGAUUCUUAAAAAUGGCAAUGAUAAACAUGUUGAUUUUAAAAUUAAGACCAUAUAAAUAUAUAUAUACAUAUAUAUAUAUAUAUAAGUUAAGGAAAUUUUUGCGAGACCUAAACCUUUUCAUUUUUUUUUUGGGGGGGCGGCUGCCCAUGCCCCCGUCCGCAAAAUCCCCAUCCCUAGGUAUGCCUAUUGCAGAGACAAAAUGAGUGGGCGCAUCUGCAUGGUUUUCCGAUCCUCCUUUUCAGUCAACUAACAGCUGCCGAGCACCGCGCAUGGAUGUGUCACUGGGUCCCCAACUCUAAGGGCUAGGGCUGAUCUCGAUGACACCAGAUUUGAAAUUAAAGUUGGCCCAGGAGCAGGGCAGUACACGAAUCGACUCGUUUGGUUAAUAUCGAAUUCGAUCUAAUUAAGUUGACCUCGAAUUUGAUUAUAUAUUUUUUUAUAUUUUAUUUUUAUAUAUCAAGCUUGAUUAUAUCGAGUUUGAUUAUUUAUUUUUAUUUUUAUUUUACAUAUAUAUAAUUCGAGUUCAAAAACAUUAAUUUCGUUGGACUUGCGAGCUCAAUUAUAUAUAAUUUUUUUAUUUUUAUUUUAAUAGUAAAAUUAUAAAUAUAUUUCUAAUAUUUUCUUAUUUGUUAAGAAGAAUUACUAUUUUACUUAUUAAAAUAAUUAUUUUUUUAUUUUUUAAAAAAUAAAAAUAUUAUUAUUUAUUAUUUUUUAAGUUCGAGGUCGAAUUUGACAUUUUGAACUCGUCGACCUCGAACUUAAAAUUAACUGAAGACUCGACUUGAUUAGAUCAAAAGUCGACUCGACUCGACUCGUUUACACCUCUACCUAGGAGUAUUGGUGCCAUGCAAUGCACGAGGGCUUCUUCUUCAGUUCUUCUAUAAAUACACCGCCAUACUCGUUCCUUGGGACAUCAAAGCGUACAAGCUAAUUCCUAGCAAGUAUACAUAACCUAAUUACCUUGGGCUACCUACCCUCUAGCUAGCAAAUGCAAAACAUGGCUUCCUACAAUGUUAUUCACCUCGUCAUUUGGCUGACAUUCUUGUCACUUGUGCAGCUACCAAUGCGUUCCCAUUGUGCUGAUCCUGGUCCAUUGCAGGAUUUCUGUGCUGCGGAUUUGAACUCCCCGGUGCUUGUCAAUGGGUUUCCGUGCAAAAACCCAGCGAAUGUAACUUCCAACGACUUCUUCUUUGAUGGGCUGCAAAAACUGGGAACAGUGUUCGAUGCCCUCAAUGUGAACCUCACCGAAGUAGACGUCUUCGCAUUUCCAGCGCUGAACACCUUGGGGAUGUCCAUGAACCGAGUUCAAUUUCAUCCCGGAGGAGAAAACCCGCCUCAUAUCCACCCUCGUGCUACCGAGUUGUCCCUGGUCACGGAGGGGAAACUGUUUGUGGGAUGGGUAUCAACUGCAUAUACCCUGAACUGGAAAAUUCUGACGGCAGGACAAGUGUUCGUGAUUCCUCCAGGCUUAGUGCACUUUCAGCUUAAUGUUGGAAAGGGAAACGCACUAUUUUAUGCCUUCUUUAACAGUCAGAAUCCAGGGAUUUCGAAAAUAGCCCCCGCUCUCUUUGCUUCCACGCCUUUGAUUCCAGAUCCAGUGCUCACAACAGCAUUCAAUGUGAAUAAAACUAUCAUCGACCUCAUCAAGUCCAGGGCUUCUGUGCUGAUUCCAUAAGCUCCAAAUAAUUAAUCCCCGUCGCUUCUUAUCAUCUACCAAACAAGAAUGAUACUCUGAUAUCAUUCACCCUAAAGUCUGGUCUUUUCUUUGCAAUGUAUAAACCAUCUGCAGAUGGAUAAAAUAAAACAUCCGAGGAGUCAGAUGUUCCUAGUCAUGAAAUAAUCCUCGUCUCACCACAUGAAAAAUGUGGAUAUAUUUGUUGUGAAGUUUGUACCUUUUUUCUUUUUUCUUGAAGUUGAAGAUGGAUGGAAUGAGUGUGCUUUACAUCAAAAGGGCAUGUGUUACUCUUAAUCUUCUUUGCAUGAGACCUAACAAGUCACUGCUAUAUAAACUAUGUAAAGGAUGCUAAUAUAUAUUAAGGGUUAAUUACAUUUACCUCCCCUGAGGUUUGAUACAUUUACCUCCCCUGAGGUUUGAUCAUAUUGCCAAUCAAUCCCUGUAAUUUGUCCAAAUAACAGUCUCACCCUUUGAAUGAUCAAACAUUUAACAAAAACCCCCCUUAAUGUCGAAAAUGCCCUUAUUGAGGCCAUAUUGCAUUAAAAAAAAGAACAUAUUUUUAUUUAUUAAACCUUUCAUCAUAUAAAGUAUUAAAUUAAUCCAUUACAUGUCUUAUUUUGUACAUAUAUAUAUUUAUAUAAAUAAUUUUUUAAAAAAUUCAUUGAACCGAGGUUGAACCGAUCCGACCGGUUGAACCUCGACCUUUUCACUUCACCGGUUCAAUGAACGGUCCGAUUUUUAAAACAUUGAGCAAGAGUGGACAUAGUCAUAGUAUCGACUUGGCACAGCUCUCAAAAAUACGUGUACGUGCGGGCGAAUGUGAUGAAUGACCUGCACCUGCCAGCCAUAAUACAUAGUUCUACCCUACGGGUUAAUGCUAUGCUAUAUAGUACUAUAUGCAUGGCUCCUCCUGGUUUUUCCAAUUACUGGAGCUGGCUAUAUAUGGGUCAAAACUAUUUGAUAAUUAAGUAGAAAGUAAAUCAGAAAGGGAUGAAAACUAUUUCAGAUUGUGACUCAGUGAUGGAACAACAUAUUUAAGAUUUUGGAGUCACGGGGCAAACAGUUUAAAGAUUAAGACUGUGAAUCCGUGAUAAUUAAUAAUGAGGUUUUUGAUUGUGACAGAGCAACAGAAGUGGAAUUGAAACCAAUACUCUGAUUAAGACCAUACAAAAGUAAAAUUUUCAUUUAAUUUCAAGGUGUGACCAUAUCCUUUUUUACCACUACGUACCAGGAUUAAUUAGUUGUCACAGUACUCAUUAGUUUGCCUUCCGCUUCUACCUUUCCCUUCUAAGGAAGGAAACACAUUCUUGUUGAAGUUGAUCAGCCCUCACUAUUAAUUGCAUGAUCAGGAGGCACUGAUCAAGACACAGGUGAACGAAGUUUACAAAUUUUGUGGUGUGCUAUAUAUAUAUAUAUAUAUAUAUAUAUCAAACAAGAAGGGAAAAGGUAAUUGACGAGUAGAUGCUGAUAUAUAGUUUAUGGGGGUCGAUAUAGAAGUUUUAUUCUUGGAGGGGAUGAAUGAAAUAUCUGAUUUGUGUCAUUGACUAUGGAAGCUAUGAAUGACAAUGGGACAUUAAUUAGCAGCCCCCUCAGUCUAUAUAGUACGUAUUAAUUAUCCGGGACUAUCACUAUUGGCGAAGAACUUGUCCUUUUCACAAAUUGUUGUGGUAUAUAUAUAUGAUCAAUUUUCUUUUGCUAUGCUGCCGAUUCGUGGUUCUUCUCAAUUCUUCAUGUCUUUGUCAGUCCUCUGCCAUACCUCACUCUAAGAAGAAUAUAAAGAAAGAAAAGAAAAAGGAGUACUACAAAUGUCGCGACUGACGAUCAGCAGCCUUCUAAUCUUCAGAAAAAAGACAAAAGUUUCCUUCUCGUUCUUACUUCUUGCUCUCUCUAUGUCAAUAACUAUGGAGUUAACCUCCACCAGAUGGUACUGACUGUAGCUUCUUUCUCUUUGUUUUUUUUAACCAGUUUGACGAGUAUAAUUUAUGUACAUGCUCUCAUCUUAUUCCUACACCUCGGAUACCAUUUUCUACACUUCUUCACAAGAUUAUGUAUGUGCAUAUAUAUAUAUAUAUAUAUAUAUAUUUGGUGCUGACGGAAUUGCACACACUGCAAGAGAAAGCUUAUUCUAUCAUUUUUUUUUUUUUAAACGUCACUAUUUUGUAUAUGGCUAAUACUUGAUAUUACAAGAGAGAAGCUUAUAGUAAUACAUGUAUUUUCAUUUAUUGGGAAGGGAUAUGAUUAUUUUAAAUUUAACUAAUCAUUACCUUCGUUAAUAAAUGAAGAUACGUGUGGAGGAAGUGAUGAUGGUCAUCUUGGACAUGAAUAGUAGGAUUAUUAUCUAACUUGUAUAUAAGAUAAGAAAAAGCCAAUUUACUGUAGCAACCCGUCUUGGACUUGGAGGCCUGGGAACGAAAGCACAUUCACCUGAGUGAGAAUCACUUCACUUUGAGAGAAUUGAAGAUUGCUCCCCUUAAUUUCCUUGAGACCAUCGCUGAAGAAGUCGUCUGAAGUUGUUACAUGAGCAGGGUUUUUGCAGGGAAAGCCAUUUACGUGCAAAGGAGAUUUCAGAUCAGCAAUAAUGCAGAAAUCCUGCAAUGGACCAGGCUCAGCACAAUGGGAAGGCAAUGGCAUGGUAGCUGGCUGGCUAGCAGAACUGAUGACAAAACUGCACAGGACAAAAUCAGAUGAAUAUUAACAUCGCAGGAAGAAGCCAUGCAUAUGUGCUCAAAUUUGCUAAGGAAGCCACCGAAUGAUAUAUAGCUUCGUAGUUUGCCAGACAAAUUAGACUUAAAGUUGUGUGCUUAUCGAGCAGUCUGAUGUUUCGCUUGCCUGUGCAUGGGGAAGGCACGACUAGUUCCUUGUUGACGGCAGUAUUAGUGAUUAAUUUGCUGCCAACCUACUCCGUAUGAUACAAAAUGACAAUGCUUAAAAUGAAGGAAGCUUUUAGAAAGCUAUGUAGGGAAGGAAGUUAGAAAAGGUAUAAAAUGAAGAUAUAUUUCAGAGAUUAUUAGUUCAAAUUUCCUAACAGUACUGUGGCAAAUCGUACACCUAAUAUCCCUUAUUUUGAAUAGGUCUAUGACAUUCAGUACAAUUUUGAGUUAUAUCAUCGUAGAAGGUAUACACCACAUCCUGUGCCGCCACCAUAAAUCUUCCUUCCUCUUGGUGUAAAAAUUAUUUAAAGGGAAACCACCACCAGCAACACCCCCCCCCCUCCCCCCAACAGUACUGUGGCAAAUCGUACACCUAAUAUCCCUUAUUUUGAAUAGGUCUAUGACAUUCAGUACAAUUUUGAGUUAUAUCAUCGUAGAAGGUAUACACCACAUCCUGUGCCGCCACCAUAAAUCUUCCUUCCUCUUGGUGUAAAAAUUAUUUAAAGGGAAACCACCACCAGCAACACAGCCCCCCCCCUCCCCCCAACAAAUAUUCAGGGGCCUAAACAUGCUAGAGUACAUGUGCAUAAUAAACUUGAGACCUAUCUAAUUCUAUAAUCAUUUCUUAUCACAUGCACAAUCACAAACAGGAUAUAUAUACGUGUUGACCUAACUUUUGAUGUCCCAUAAUUCCCUCAAGAACAGUUGAUCAGAGAAAACAGGAUAACUUUCACAUGAUUACCUCAUUAUCAGGCUCUGGAUGAUAUGUGAUUUCUUCUGAGAAUCCAAUGUAGGAUCACGGGACACUCUUCUUAUUGCAGUUUCCAGCUCCUUUUGAUUUAAUUCCAGUGGAUGCUCAUCAUGGCACGCCUGAAUGUUUUGUCCAGCUUUAUCAGCUUGAUCAUCAACAAUUUGCUGAUCAGUUUUCUUAUCAAGUUCUUCACCACAGUUGACUAGAUCUUCAUAUUUAUCAUUGUUUUGACCGCCUUUGAAAUCUUUUGAAUAUGGACAUAUAUACCCAGAAUGCUCAGCAUUGUUAUCAGAAACUUCUUUUCCUGAAAGUUUGCUUUCUCUGCAUGUUUGUUCCCCAGAUACACUGAGACAACUUCCAGAGGGUUAGCAGCCAAGGAAGGAAAAGAGGAUUCUUCUUCAUCCUUAGCAACACAAUAAUCUUUCAUAUCUUCCCACCAUUCUCCUAACCAUUGUUCAAAAUUGGUAUUUUUUGUAGCCCUACGCCACAGAGAAAUCAGGGCAUGUUGUUCAUCUUGGGUUAAAGCUGACAUCAACCAGGGUAUCAUUUCUUGUAGAGUUUCAGCUCUAGUUCUGCCAAGCAUACACCCUAACAUCUUUUCUUGUUCCUCAGUGGAAAAGUAUUCUCCAAAUAAAGGCCAAAGUUGAAUUUCUUCACGAUGAAUAUGCCCCGAGAUUAUUUUCUGCAUAGACAGGCAAGUCUCAUGGAGCUUCAAACACAUCUGUCGAUAUUGUAGACUUCCCUCACCCGGUUUGUCUAGAUCAUCAUGCAGGGUGGCAAUGUCAUUUAGCAGAGAUGAAACUUUGGCAAAGUUUUCCUCCUCCAAUUUAUGGUCAAUGGUGUAAGACUGGGUAAUGUUUUUGAGUUUCCCCUUUGAUUCUAGAGCCGGAAAGACAACCUCAUCCUCUGAAGCACUGUGAAUGUCAUACAGAAACUUUAGAAGUUCAAAAUGUCUACGUAAAUCAGGGAUAAACUGAAAGCUUUUGGCCAUGUUAGCUGAAAGAAAGACAAUGUAGUCCAGAUCUCUUAUGAGAGCUUUGUGAAAGCACACAAAAUGAUCCAUUGGUCUUGAUUCUAGAGCCAAAACUUUUUUGGCAAUGCCAUUCUCAGCAGGAUGUCUCACAACGAAAGAAUAUUGCUCCACAUUUGAGGGGAGAAUUUAUGAAGAGUCAUUCCACCAGAUUCAAGCUUCUCAUUGGUUUUGGAAUGAGAAGAUGAGGGGUUCCAGACCAUCUUGUUAUCUUUUACAGCAGGGCUCGGCUCAGAUUCUAUGGUGUUAAAUAUAGUGCAGGCUUGCAUAUCAAACUUUAAAUUAGAAAACCCAACAUCCUCCCCAAUUCGAUCAGAUGUGAAAUAGAUUCCUCUGAUAAAAUUUUCUUGCAGAUCUUUUGCAAACCUUUCCAUGGAUAUUUUACCUAAAUAACCCAUGCGAACCCAACUAUGCAACAGAAUUAAAAUUGGCUUGUUGCCUAAAGGGCAUGCAUCUGUCAUGGCAUCCAGCAUGGUCUUGAACUGCUCAUCCAAUAAAGUAGCAGAAAACCAAAGAACAGCGCAUUUUAACAACCCAAGAGGCAUAGUUUUGAGACCUGCAUAUAACAGCCACAGCAGCAUAUUAUGGCUGCACUUCUUGCCAAUAGAAGAAUAUACCUGUAUGUGACUAAAAACAAGGUUAAAUUCAUAAAGGAGGAAACAUAUUUCUUACAAAUAAAAGCAGGCAGAAGUUUAUUGGUUGUCCAAAAAGAUAUGGUUUAGUACAGUCUGUUAUCUGAUGCCCUAAUCUGCCAGUGCUAGAAAUAAGUGGAGAAGAUGAAUAUUAUUUUCCAAGAUUUUUUUUCCUGCAUCUUCAGGGUUUUACAUUAGAGGAACUGACACAACAUCAUACCUCUGUUUCUAUAUGUGUCAGGUUUUGGCUAAUUCCUCUCACAAGCAACUCCACUUCCCUGCAAAGGCCCUUCAGGAAAUUGCUUGGUUGUGCUCCAUCUUGAAGCACUCCGUACAGCAAGAAUUGAAGUCUUUCGACUUGACCUUUCUCCACAAGUCGUGUGCAAGAUAAUGGUAGGACAUUCUUGGAAAGGUCAUUUACCAGGGGAAAAAAUAUUUGAUUCAAUGCGUUGCUGCAGAUUAAACUCUAGUAUUAGAAAAAUAUCUGGUCAUUGAAGAUUAAAAGGUAUUUCUGAACAUGCGUCAAACCUUCAGCAAACAAUUUUAGUUUUGUCACAAUGCAAAAGAAUAUUUUCAUCUCAUUGUUUUUCAUGAAAAGUUUCAGCAACUAAAAAGGCCUCUGAGGUAAAUGGGGCAUUUCAGCAUAACUUCAAUUCAGAAAGAAUAUAUACUGCAUGUGACAGUUACUACAGCUUCUCACGCUGCUGAGUAGAAUAUUUGAAGCAAAGGACUGACAUACUUUUGGAACAGCCAACAACAUCCAAACUUAAGCUUAUCUUCUUGGUCUAAUUGAUUUAAAGAAGAUAUAACAAUAACUUGGAGACCACUCCUGAUUGAGCAGAAUUGCUUAUUGGGAACUAUCAAUUAAUAUGGAGGUUACCUGUAGGAGAUAAGGACAUCUAAAAGGAAUUGUAGCUGAACUACUAUGGAAGACAAGUUUGACAUGUUGUUCGAGCUUCUUAUUUGGUAUAACUCAUCCAGAACUUUCCUGAAAUCUCUUGCAAGAGCAGUAUUCCAAAUGUAAAUGCCAUCAAGUGGGUUUGGUCCUAUAGAUGUGUAAAAGGAACAGAGCUUUGAUUUUUCUUCUUCACCAAAAUCAAAUGUAUUUGGAUGUAUCUUGAGUAUCUCCAUGGAGCUAACGUGUCCACUGUAAAAUUGAGCUCCUUGUCCAUAGACAUUGCAGGCUUCAGGAGGAGAAGGUUUCUUAUUAUUAAGCCAAGAGAUGACCACCUUUAAGAUGGAAAUCAAUACAUCAAGUUGGGAUUAUAGACUAUGAUCUUGAAGCUAAAUGUUAUUGUCUACCUCUUCAAGCACUUCCUCCUUGGAUACAACAAUCUUCAUGCAAUCCAGAAGGUCUAGUUGCUCAUCUGGAGGAAGAGAACAAGCCAUCCACGGCAGAAAAUCUUCCAAUAAAGCAAUAGGAACACUGCAGAUAUACUGCCAAACAAGCUUAGCCUGUUCUUCAGAAGGGAAUUGUCCUAUCAGCAAAGGAAAAACCUGCAACCAUUAUGCGGCUAAUUCAGUGUAGUUAAACUGCAGCUGCAAGAAACCAAGGAACUGAGAUAUUUGACUGUAAUAAGACUAAUUUACUGAUAAGUUGAUUAGUCAAAAACUUUCUGGGGGCUAAAAGAACCUUCAAAUUAAAACUAUUAUUAAACUGCAUCUAGUAGAGUAAAACAAGCGAAAUAACACUCUGCAGAGGCCAUCUAUUCCUGCAACCCACAACUCAAACACUCUACCUUAGCUUUCAUUUCAUUUGUCUGAAUAUAUAAGAAUAUUAAGCUGGAUGUAGUUUAGCAUAGAUAAAGACAGCAGAUCAUGUUAAGAUUUCUUUAUGUUGGUUAAAAUCAAGCAUCGGCUCAGCUAAAAAGGGGUGAAGAUGGUGUUUAAGUCUCAUCAGUCACCCAGAUAUUGCAUAAUUCUCACAUAUCACUUCCUCCUGGUUUUCUUUAAAAUUAUGCACAUACAAGUCAGUGCAUUCAAAAAUUGUUUAAAUACCUUUCAGAGACAACAUCAUCAUAACUCCAAUGCAAUAUAAAAUAAUCUUCAUCUCACCAAUUAUGUACUCCUUUAAUUUUCAUUUAUACUAAAGAACAUGUUUUAAUUACUGUUUAAUUUUGAUGGUCUUUCCUAUUUUAUGGCUUACUUGAUAAAGUUGUGUGCUCUCAUAUAUGUUUUCAGAUACAGCUAGGUUGCAUCAUGUCGAGUAUCCCACAAAGUUCUGCAUGAAGUGGACCAUUAGCAAGUUGUAAUGGGGUUUAUCUUAGCCAAAGAUAGCCUAAAUUUUCUAUUUUAUCUCUGCUAUGGAUCUCAAGGAGCAUGGGGAGAGAGUAGUGAAACAUAUGUUCUUCUUUUUUUCUUGUUUCAAGUCCUAACUGAGUUUGGAGCUCUCUUUGAUGGGAGACAACAAAGAGAAUGUCUCGUUAUCCUUCUUAAAUCUAGCCAUGCUGAAGAAAUUUCGUAUGACCUUGCCAAUCUUUUGGUUAGAAUGGUAUCGAUUGCGAGUCAUUUUGCGUGACUAUGCUUAUGGUUUAAUAAUUUCCAGAAAUUCAAAAUGUAGGAGUAUCAUAGUGGAAGGAAAGGAAAAGAAAAAGGAAAGAGCAAGGAGAAACAGAAUCCAGUUGAUCAAAGCAUAAAAAUCAGAGAAGUAACAACAUGUAAAUUGGAAGUAUACAAAGGAGAAGUAGUAAAUACCAAUUUUUCUUCCUUCAGCAUAUGCUCGCAGAUAGCGGACUUUAUAGAGCUGAUGCAGAAGAUGAGUUUUUGAAACAGAUGGGUAAAAUCUUCACACUCUUUUCUUAAAAGAUCCAAGCACUGGACUGUGGAGCAGAAGUCAUCAUUGAUGCACUUAUGUUCUAAUGCAGAUGUAGUCACCACGUUCUUUACUUUGCUAUUUAGAGCUGGAAAUACAAUCUGCCAAAAAUUUCAGAUAAAAAUUUCCACAGUAAUUGAUGAACUCAACGUUUAACAAAUUUAUUUCUUGCAUGAUAAGGAAAAAGAAUAGAAACAGAUCAAGUUGAUCAGGAGAAUCUCACCAGCUUAGUGCUAAUAAAGUAAAAGAAAGGGAAAUGUACUCAUUAUUUGAUGCUUGCUGUAUCUAGCUCAAUAUAUUUCCAGUCAAAAUUGUGUUCAGCUUCUCAGUAAGACAAUACAUUUCAGGACAGAUCUAAAAUGUUUUGGUAAAUUUUCUUCCAAUAUUUCACAAGUGAGCAAAACACUGAAAUAGUCUAAAUCCUCUGGGGAAACUUUGUGUGCCUCAGUAAGUUUGGUACAUAGGUUAGGAAUGAGGACUAAAUGCGUAAUAGAGGACGCCCUGAUGCUAUCCUUUGACGUUAUAUUGAAGAUGGUUUCAAAUCUUCCAUGUUGUUACGAUUUCCUUGUACCGGCUACGCCAAUCAUUCUAUUACCAGGUUAAGGAAUUGAAGUUCGUUCGGCGAGUAUUGUCAUAUAGAAGCCAGUUUCGAGGACUCUCGAGGGAAGCCUUAAGCAAACCCUGCGUCUUAAUUGCCAAUGAUGUGAGAAUUUCUGCCUAAUGACCUGAUGGCAUUUCUGAUAAAAUAACAGGGAAGGAGCUGAAGCAACUUAAUUGGCAUUUUUGAUAGUACAUCAAAUUGCCCCCCCUGGGAUCCUAAACAUUGAUUCUCCAUCACCAAAAACUAAAGUUUUAAUCUUUACAGCUACUACCAAAAUCAAGCAUAGUCACCACAUUUUCACCUCAAUCCUGUCUAAAGAACCAAAACCCUGUGCUACAAUCACAUCCGACAUUCUUAUGAAGUAAUGAUACAACAACAAAAAGGGAAAACAACACACGCCAUUUGUUCAAUGACAACAAAUCCCACAAUAUAAUUUUGCUCAAUAAAAAGAAACGAGAAAAGAAAUUAAUAGAAACACCUCCUCAGUCCUCACCUCAUCUUCCGCUGCAGCGUGUACUUAUAAACAAGCUUAAAGAAGUCAAACCUCCGGCCAAGAUCAUCCACAAACUGGCGAUCAGGGGACCCAAUGUCAGCCACCUCCAGGGCGGAGCGGUGGAGCUGCUCAAGCUCCCUGACAAAAGCCUUGUGAGAAAGAACAAAGAAAAGAAUAGGUGCAUCAACCAGUUUCGCACCAUCCAGGCAAGGUAAUAAGGCCUCUGUUACUGUUAUUGCAUCCUCCUCCCCAUCCUCCUUUUCGGGUUCUUCGCCGGCCAUUGACUAAAACAGUUCCACCUCCACAGCCACCACCUAUCAUUAAUGGUGAAAGGGGCCAAAGGGGAAGCUCAAUCAUCAAAGUUCGAGUUACUUAUACUAUUUGAUUGAUUGAUUGAUGCCACUGUCUUUCUUUGCCUGUUGGUUCGAGGGAGGCCUGUUUCUUGCCACUUCGAUGUUCAAACUUCAAACCGUGCUCGGCCUUUUUUAAUGCUCUGUUCAAACAACUACUAAUCUAAUAGUAGUAAUGGAGUAGGGGUGGAAUUUGCACUUAUCUAAUAAAUAUUACUGUAUUAUGACAAACUUAUUUAACUAGUGUGAAUGGUCCACAUAAUUAGCAUAAUCUGUGAAAAAAAAAAUUGAAUAUUAUUCAACUGGCAUCAUAAAUAUAAUUUUUCAAUCAUUUUUUUUAAUGAAAGAAUUGUGAAAAAUGCCCCUAGGCAUUUGUGGUGUUCUGCAAGUUACUCCCUCCGUCCCACUUUAAUAGUCCUGUAUUUCUUUUUCAUCUGUUCCAAACUGUAAUCUACUUUCCAAUUGAAGAAUGUAGUUGUAUUUUAAUUUUUUUAAAAUACCCUUAUUCAAUGUAAGCAGUUGUUACUAUAAACUUACCCCAUUUAACGAGAGUUGAUUCUUUUUUUACUAUCAAUUCAAGUUCCCAUAAAGUUAUACCAUAUUUAAUGUGAGGGUAUUUUAGAAAAAUAACAAUUUAAAUUUACUUUUUCAAUAAAAUUAACUACUUUUUUUUAAAUUGUGUGUAAAAAGAAACAGGACUAUUGAUAGUGGGACGGGGAGAAUAUUUCCUAACAUUUUCUUUUUGACAAUUCAUCCCAUUAACUCGUAGUAGUAGUAAUAAUGGUGACAGUUAACGGGUAAAGGACAAUAGUAUCACUGGUAAAAAAAAUGAAAUGACCACAUACCAUUUCCCAGCCGCUCUAAACUUGUCGGCAUUCUGUUUGGCAGUAUUUUGCUGUGGGGUGACAUAGGAUUAGCGUGGGAGGGAUUAAAGAAAGAUGGGCACGCCUGCACCAAUGGAUUCUUGCCACAUCAAUGUCCACUGCACUUAGUUUUGCGGUGAAAGUUCCCCACUGUUUUAAUCUAAGCCGUGCACACACGCUCCAGUCAUUUCCGUUUUCCACCUUCGUUUGGGGAAACAUAAAUUAUGCGGAGGAGAUUAUCAGAAUAGGAUCAAUAUGACAAUUUUAACAUUUCACUCAACUGUUUCUUCAAAAUUAUAUGGACAAGCAAUAGUAAAUAUUUGAUAAUUAAUGUUAAUAUUUUGUUCAUUAUCAAGAUGUGAACUUUCUUUUUUAAAACAAGGACGGAAAAAGAACAAAAAGAAAGGGAGGUGAUAAAAGAGCUAAACAUAAGUUUUUAUGCUAACUUGAUAAACACAGGUAAUAUAAUUUAGAUUGAUGCCAUUUCACUAAUUUUUCUGUAAAUUGUUUGGUUUAUUAUUUGAACAAACACAAGAGACCUGAGAUUUUAAAUGAGUGAUUAAUUAGAAAAGUUUAAAAUCAAUAGCAUUUCGUUAAUUUUAGGAUUUUUGUUAUUACAGAGGAGGUAAUCAUUAAUUUCUUCUAUUUUUAUUUACAAGACAAGACUAAUUGUUUCAGAUAAUGCGUGUCUGAAUAAGAAUAUCCUUGUGAACAAAAAUAAAAUUGACAAUUUGGGCAAAGCAAAAGCAACAAGGGAAAAUAGGAAUAUAAAUGAUAAGAUUUUUGUAAGUAAUGUUGAAAAUAUGUAUUUGAGUUAUAUAUGGAUUCUUUGACAAAAUUUGUACUAGCGAACAGCAUUAUACAUAAUGACGUCCAAAAUUAAUAAAAUGCAAGUUUCACAGUAUGAAUAAAAUAUAUAAUAUUCAAGUCUAUCAAUGAGAAAAUUGUUCUUGGCUAGUUAAUUAGAUAAUGUCUGUCAAAAGCAUUGAUUCAGCUAGUAUACUUUUUAAUCAAUUUGCAAAUCUUCUUAAUUAACUAAAUAACAUUAGAUCAAUUCCCCUCAAAAUUGAAAGAAUUUUCAUUGGAUUCUGAGCGUUGCACCAAUUGAAAAAAUUGCCUUUUAUUUAAAUGGUGUAAUCCUUUUAUCUUGAAUCUUGUACUACAUCUCAAGCAAAGCUAGUAUUUUGACGGUGACCUUGAGAAAUAUAUAACUCGAUUUGAUUGUAACCCUCAAAAUGUGAGCAAUGGAUCAUAUGACAGGAAUUAUGAAGGAAUUAUCAAAAAAAAAAAAAAAAAAGAAUGAUGGAGAGUUAGAGGGGCGUGGGUGGAGCGUCCAAGUAACAUGCUCCUCUGGCAAGUGGAACUUGAAGUAAGAAUUAGAGCAGAAAUUCAGAUAGUUAAAGCUCUCCUGACCGUAUGUGCAGAAAUUCAGAACUCCUGACUUGGGACUUGAGAGUUAGGUUUAACUACUUAUUUCUAAAUUUCUGAAAAAAAAAAAAAAAAAAAAAAAAAGCUCUCCUGACCGUAUGUGCACCUCACAACAGGCACGCGCAAUCGUCGCAUAUGCGCGUUCUGGCACGUGUCCCAUAUACUUUAACUUUCACCUUCCAAUUUUGCUUCUUAUAAUUAUUAUGACCUUCUUCUCAAUUAAUACAACUUUAAAGCAAAUACUUGGACUUUGACCGUCUACUAAUUUAUUAGUAGUUCGUUAAAGCAGCUGACUCUUAUUUCUGGUUAAUAAGAAGCAAGAACAAAGUCAACGUAAUAAUUAAGUCAAAUUAAAUACAAGAAAGGGGAAGUACAAACAACUUGGAGUAUCUUUUAGUUAAUAUUGCUUAAUAUUAGACUUUUACAUAUCUUUAUAAAAAUUUACAUGAGAGAAAUCUCAUGGUUCACAUUAGUCUAGUUAAAAAAUACUACAAUUUUGACUGCAAUCAUUCGUUAUGCUAUUAACAAUCAAACACUGUGUAAAAUCAUCCGUUUCUAGAUUUAUUCAUCAUCUAAUCGAGGUACGUUAAUUCGAUAAUUGCUGAAUAUCAACACUGGAUUAAGUUUUGAAUAACGUCUGAAUGCAACGAAAUGAUAAAUACAAAAGGACCGCCUUUAAAUGAAAACCUAAAUGUAAAUUACAUUCACUAAACACCUCUCAUCGAACAUCUAUUGAAAAAACUCGUGAAGUAAAGUUGAACGUCGAUCGCAAUUAAACUACUCGAUACUUUAAAAUAGGUGCUCACAAUGUGUCACGAACUUGUCGUAUUACGUUAGGGGUUCUGUGAUUACGCCCCAUGGUCAUUGUCAUCGUGAUAUUCAUAUCAGAUUUGCCAAUUUAAAUAUUUAUAAGCCGUACAAAAUCUAAAACCGUGAUGAUCUCUCGAGUUUUAUUAUGAUAACCAUGCUUUGUAGUUUAUUCAGCUCCACGCAUGCUGAUGGAAUAAUAAUUAGUGAUCACUGGCAGAAACAAAUUAAGGGGUGGGGCAGCGACAGGCAGCUGCCCCGGAGACUCCAGAAAUAUAUUCCCUUAAAAAUUACUAAUAGUUAUCUUUUAUAGCGUUGUAAAAAUUAAAUUUUGCUCCUCCCAAAAUUGUCGAGAUCAUUUAUGUUAGCUUAAAAGUUAAAAGUUUUCACUUAUAUACCUGUAAAUAUUAGACUCUACACUGAAAUAUUCCGCAAAAAUGUAAGGUUGCCCGGCCCCUUAAUAUAUUUUUUUUCCCCUGAUCAUUAGUUUUGCUCCCUCAAACUCCAACCUCUGGUUCUGCCAGCAUUGCUGUGAACGAUCCAAAUCAUCAUAUAUACUUGGAUAGAGGAUUAUUUGUCAAAAUUUAUUUGCUUACAUGUGAGAACCCUAACUUCCCUCAAUUUUCUUGGCCUUUGGCUUACUUUCUUUGCCCCAUUUUAGUGAAAAUUUGUCAACCCCUUUUGGUUUAAAGUAUGAAAGGUCGUGGAUAUGUGCAAUCAUGUAUGAGAUAUGUAUGGAUGUGUAUGUGGUAGAAAUACGUUUGAGCACGACAAUCGAAUUCGGAAGAAAAAAAAAAAAAAAAAAUUUUGGAAAGCUGAAGUGGCCAAAUCCGGCCGGAAAUCCGGCCAGUUUCUGGCCGGAUAGCUGGCCGGAUUGCCCUGCGUUUUUGAAAAAAAAAAUGUUUCCUCUCGGCCUCAUAUCCGGCCAGGAAUCCGGCCAGAAUCCGGCCGGAUUCUGAUGUGACACAGCCGGUCAGCAGCUUUGACCGGCUGUUUCUUCCUUCUUAUCCCCUUGGUUCACCAAAAUAUCUUCAUUUCCUCUUCUUGUCCAGCCGUGAGCUUUGAGAGCAAAGAGAGAAAAACUCUUCAAUCUCCAUCUUUGAUUUUUGCUUCAAUCUUGAAACUUCACCAAUGGAUUUUUAAUUCCCUCCAUACAAGUGAUCUUCUUGGAAGGUUAAAGCUUUUGGGUGGAGUGUUUUGGCAAGGGAAGCUUUGAAUUGCUAGUCUUCUUGAGUUGUGAGGUAAGAUGCUUAAGAAAGUUCUCUUUUACAUUGAUAAUGGUUAAGUUGUGAAUUAUAAGGGUUGGAAAUGUCAUUUUGUGAGUGAUAUUGUGAUUUGGGUUGAUUUAUGGUGACAUUUUAUUUUUUUAUUAUGAUUUUUCUAUUUGAAUUUGAUGUUGUCUAUGUGGCCAUGUAAGAUGAAGGGGAAUGAUAUAGAAUGAGGCUAGUUAAUGUAAAUGAUGGUUUAAUGCAAGGAAUUCUUGUUUGAAAGGAAAUUUGGAAAAGUUAGGGUGUCACACCCUUCAAUUCUGGCCGGCCCUGUUUAGCAUAGUUAGAGGCCGAAUUGGCCUUUGCUUAAAACAUGAAAGUUGUAGGUAUUGAUGUGUUAGAGGUGUCUGUAAAAUUUCAGGUCAAUCGGAGUAAUGUAGAGUGAGAAAAGUCGAAUUUACCCCUGCUGCUCUGGUUUCAUCCUAACUUGGGAAUUGUUGCAGUAAUUAGCUAUUUUGGCUAGGAAAACUUCUGAACUGGUUGUAGAGGUCUUCUAAUGAAAUGUAGCCUGAUGUCCUAGCUAUCAUUUGGCUUUGGAAUCAAUGGAUUUGGACCUAAGUAGACCGAAUUAUAGUUCGUUAACCAGAACGUGGUUUGUCCACCUGUAUUUUGCAGUUCUGAACUAGUGUCUUGUAUUUUUGACCUAGUUUCACUACAAACUGGAUUAAGUGACCUUCUACAUUGUUGUAGCCCUGCCUCUUAGUUUCGAAACGGUGGGUCUUACACCCUAAACCAAUAAUCGUAGUGCCUUUAGUGCUAUUUCCGCAAAAUGUUGUCACGCAUUGUUUUAUCUGAAAGUGUUUCUAGCUCGCUUUUCGUAUUUAUUGUUGUAUUUAUAUGAAUUUAAGCCUAGUGAUCGGCUUUUGGACAUGAGGUUAUUCUAUAUGACAUGUUGGGACUGAGUUGAGAAAAUAAUGAAGCCAUUAAUGGCUGGAAAAUAGGUAAACACAAGGGACAUGCCGUCCGUUUGUUUUCUUGGAAAUUGAAUGAGUUAAAGUGGUUUUUGGAAAUGUAUUUUGUAUCAAGUUGGGUGUAUUUCCUAGAGAAUUUCAUUGGGUCUUUCAAAUAGGGAUUCGAGGGCUAAGUUCUAGUUAAACUUGUAUAUUUCUGCAAGGCAACUAAUGUGACCCUUUUACCGUUCGAAAACAUGUUACCUCUUCGAUUUGAACCACCAAAUGUUUACUUACCCCGUAUUCAAAAUAAAGAGGUAUGAAUUAGGGGUUUUAUCGGCCAAGUUAGGGUUUUCUCGGCCACAAGUGAACUACUUUCAAGUAAGGUUUUAAGAGUCCUCUUUUCCAUAUGAUUCUCAUCAAAACCCUUAUUAUAUAACUGCUACUUGAAUAUAUAGUGGCUUGUAGCUGCACGAAUGAUUCUUUAUAAUUCCAAGAGAAUAUUUCCUUAGCCUAUCUAUUGGGAUUUUAAUUUGUUAUAGUUAAGUGUUUCUUUUAGAGACUUUAUAACCCUCUCGGUUUGGGUCGCAUUAGGGUUAUUCUUGUCUACGGAUCCAAGUGCGCUCUUUACAUUUUGAAGGUCUUUUAUACGUCUACUCGCGAAUAGUCGGGUAUUUCUUAAUUGCAUCUAAAUCAUGUUAGAUGGAUUGUAAUGCGAUCUUUGUGAAAUUUUAGGUUUCAUUGGUGAUUGAGAAUUGGGCGUUGUUUUGCGGUUAUAGGUGAGUGUUCCUUAUUUGUUAUAUUUCCUGAUUAUCUGGCUUGUUUGAAUGAUUGAUAACAUGUUAAACGCUUUCAAUGAUUGCUAAAACGAUUUUCGAGGCGAGUGUGUACUUUACCGCACUUAGCCUAAAUGAUUGUGAAAUUUUAAUGAUUGAGCGAUUGAAAUGUUAAUUGUGCAUGAAUGUAGGCCUUCGGGCUGAACUGGCCAUAGCCCCUUGUUACCGGUCGUCUCGAGCCAGUCGGACUCGGUCGAGCGAUUAGGAACUUGGGUGAACGAUCCGGUAUACUCGAGUAUUACCCUGUAGGUUGGUGGAGCCUGGCCAAAAGCCAGGGACGGGGAGAAUGAAUGAAUGAAUGAAUGAACGAGGGGUUUUAUUUAUACAAAAAUGCAUUUUCAAAUGAUUGAAGGUUGGAGAAUGGAAGGAGAAUGAAUGAAUGAUUGGCUCCUUGUGAGCCCGUAUCCUUUUAAUGAAUGUGUUUAUCGCUUUAUUGUACUUGUAUCGUGAAUUGUGGUUUACAUGCAUUUGUUUCUCUUGUUGCCUAUGUGUACGGAACCUCACUGAGCUUUCCAGCUCAUCCCUUUAGUUUUGUUUUCCUUAGCAGGGGAAGACGUGCGAGGACGGAAGCUACGAAUAGAUUAGCCGUUUUAGUACUUUUGAUUCUUUUGUUUGGUUCUCGCCCCAAUGUUUGGUGGGCUGGUUGUAUGGAGAAUGGGGAACCUUUGUACAAAAGUUGUUUUGCUUUUGGAAUAAAUAUGUAUAUAAGUUUACGUUAAGUUUGAAAUUUUUGUUAUUUCGAUUGUUUUGUGGAUUUUCUUGCCUUCUCUUAUAGCAACUGACUGAGUCCCGGCGAGAGCUGGGCAGACGGUCCGCCGAUACCCUGGGGUACGCCCUAGGGAGAAGUGGGACCGUCACAUUACAUCAUCAUUACAAUUUUCAACACACCUUUUUAUCUUCUCAAUUACUUUUUUAUCUCACAUACAUCACAUCACAAAAAGUGUUACAGUAAAAAUAUCUCAAAUAAUUUACAAUGCAAAUAGAUUCAUGGGCUGCAUCCUGUUAUGCUUCCCUGUGGGAUCUUUAAUUAGUUGAGCUUAAUUACUUUAUCAUAUAUCCAGGGUGGCAAUGUAUUUUCAGCAAUGUCACUAGUCUAUAUAUAUUUUAAGAUUCAUGGCAGUUCGAUUUCGUCCAACAUGGGUUUUCUGCUCAAAUAUUGAAGCAGAUGCUUCAGAUUCAGGUGUAAAUGAGGCACAGCUAUUCAUAUAUACAAUCAAUCUUCGCCGGGGGGGGGUAAUAGAAGUAUGUAAGAUUUCCUAAAAACUUUUUAUUUUUAAUUUCAAUUUUUGUCAAGUGAAUUUUUAUUUCUUUCAGAAGCAGUUGUAGAUAUGCAUGUAAAUUUUUAGCCACGAAUCUUGAUACUUAAUAGAGAGAUUAACUACAGCAAGUCAUUCAUGUUAAUUUUGCCAAUGUGUUGAGCACCUCAGAAUAUUGUUCUAUUUUUGGAUUGUUGUAUUUUUUAAAAACAAGUUUUUCAAAUAUAAUAUUACAGUAAUAUACAAAUAAAAACAAUUCAGAAAACAUUUCAUCCAUACAAUAUAUCAAAAAUAACUCACAAAUAUACACAAAAAAUAAAAAAUAAAUAAAUUCUACAACAUUUUAUUUCUAUCACCACCACCCCUCCCUCUUCCCUCUUCCUCCUCCUCCCCUCCCGCUCUCUUCUUCCUCCUCCCUCUUCCCCUUCUUCCUCCUCCCAUCCCCUACACCCAAGCCCUUCCAUUCCCUUCCCUUCUCGAUGUGGUCACGCCGUGACCACAUCAAAGGGGCAAGAGGAGGGUUGGGAGAAAGAGAGAAGGAGAGUUGGAGGGGAAGAGGAUGGGUGGAGGAAGAAUGAAGGGGAAGAGGGAAGGGGAGUUGGAGAAAGGAGGAGGGAGAAGGUGGUGACGGCGGUGGGUGGGGGUGGUGUUGGUAGUGAUUGUAGUUGUGGUAGUAUUAUUUUUUAGAAAGGAUCCUACAAAUAUUUUAGUUUUAAAAGGUAUCUCAAAAUAUAUUUUAAAAACAUCACAAAAAGCAUCUACAAUAAAAGUUUUUUCAUAUACAUUGCUAUGAUAAAAUAUUUCAAAAAUAUUCCAAAAAAUAACUAAUCCAAAUGGAGCAAAUUCUAGCCCAAAGGAACCCUUAAAACCUGUAACGUCCUAGCAAAUUGUUAUUGCGGCCAGAAGGAAGCCUUAAAACCUGUUACGUUCCUAUUGCAUGAAUCUAUCUCCCAUGCAUCAUAUCCCCAGCCAGAGGAGGUUCAACCACGUCCGAAGAAGAAUAGAUUAAGACUAGUUUGGGGCUAGAAUACUUGCAUAAAAAUUUCCAUCCUCUUCGAAAGUGAAAAUGACAUAUAAAUUUGCAUUCUUGGCUCUAAUGUCAGUCUAUCAAAUGUUUUACUUUUAUCAUUGUGAGUUCCUGAUAAUUCAAUUAAAACAAAAAAAAUCGCACCACUUAUAUGUGUUACCAUACCAAUGUUUGCAUGGAGAAGCCAAAAAUUAAAAGGCCCUGAUCAGACCACCCCAGCUUGGCUGAUGAUUUUGGAGGGGUUUGUAUGAAUAUCUUCUUGUUUGUCAAAAAGUAUUUGAUUGCAUCAAAAAAAUGUUUCUAAUUGCCUUUUUUUUUAAUUUUGCAUAUAUCACAUUAUGAAAAAAAUUCAAUAUCAUUCAAAAUAAUCUUCUAUGCAAACAUAAUCCAAUUUGACACAACCCACCUGCGGGAAUUUCCAACCAUAGAGGCAGUGCAACUAUCUGGUAAACAUGCCCGAUAUGUUGUGUCCAUGGAUGCUUUAGAGUUAAAUGUGAUAGUAUAAGUUUUUGGAUUAAAUUAGAAUUAAUUUUUGCUACACUGAUAGCGUAUACAGUAGUCCAUAAUAGGACUCCCUUAUUUGUUAAUCACAUUUUUUUUUUGUUUUACUUGCGAAGAAGAAUAAAAACAGUUUUAUUCUUCAUUUCAAUCACAACUUUAAAAAAUGGAUGGUUAAUAAUUCAAUGAAAUAUACGAGUAUUGUGUAUAAUCCGCAUGGUCAAAAUGUCAAAGAGAGUACUAUUAACUUCUUUCCUUGAAAAUUUUGUGCAUUAAGAUGAAACUAUUAUCAAUAAGUAAACAAUUAUUUCAUAAUGCUUCGUUCAUUUUUAAUAACAUAGAACCUCUGACUCUCUGAGGUUCUAAGAAUUAGAAAAUCUAUAAGUUCAAUUCUCCCUUCUUCUUCUUCUUUACUUCUUAAAUUUUACACCUCCCUUGUUAAAAAAAAAAAAAAGGUCACGUCGAAUCUAUUGACCUCAUGUAAUAAAGUAAUGAUCCCAAAUUUUAUUGGGAGUCACUUUUUGCCUAAAAACAUAAUGCUCACUACAUGCUAAAGAAAAGCAUAAUUACUUAUAUUCCACGUUCAUUUUAGAAGUUAGAAAUUGAAAAGAGGGUAAGAUACACAUAAAUGUCCUUUUUUUCCUUUUAGAUUAAAAAAAAAAGUUGUCUCCGGUUGUUAGCACUUGAUAGAGCAUGACAGACUCCAUAUGUUUGGAUAGUAAAUUUUUUCAAAAAAAAAAAAUUCGCUUGUAUUAUAAAUACAUUUUUCAAUUCAUUUUUUUAUCCAAUCACUUUUUUAUCUCACAUACAUUACAUCACAAAAAGUGUUAUAGUAAUUAUUUGGAAUAAUACUCUAUCCAAACAAAGCUAGUUACACCAAAGCAAUGACUACGAGGAAAGGGAUUGAGGACGAAAAUGUUGAUGGCCUUUUACUUUGAAUUAGGCAUGGCCACGGUUCCAGAACCGUCGGUUCUAGUUCUUCAAAGAGGUAGAACCAGAACUGCAUAGUUCUGAUUUUGGUUCCUUAUGGUUCUGAUUCUGGUUUCCGGUUUUGUAUGAUUGUAUACAAUUUUAUUUAAUUCCUUAUCCUUACCAAAUUUAAUACGGAUAUAACAAUAUAUUUAAAAUUUCAAAUAAAAUGUAAAAAAAUAUAUACAAAAUAAAGAUCAUAUAUUAAUUUUAUUAUUAUUCUACAAAGUAAGAAGUAAUAAAUAGAUAAUAUAAAUUUUAUGAAAAGUACAUUACAUUGUCAAAUUAAAAAAUACAUUACACUAUCAAAUGGUUGCCAUGUGUUGACUUUCUUGAGUUGGACAAUCAUCAAUGUUGAGGAUUCCAUUUGAAGAAAUAUUGCAAAAAAUAUUUUUUUGCUUGCUUGAUUUUGAAGAUGAAUUACUACCAUCAAAACUUGUCAUUUGAUAGCAAAUAAGCCAAAAAAAAAAUUUUGUAAGUAAUAAUUUAAUACUUACAAAUUAUAAUGAUAGAUAUUAGAUGAAUAGAAAGAAUUAAAUAAUUAAUAAAAUAUAUAGAAAGUCCAUAAAAUUUAAAUUUUCUUAAAACCUAUUAAACACAACUAAUUUUUUUUUGAAUUAUCUCACUACUUAUAUUAAUUAUUUUUAACGGUUCUGGAACCGACGAUUCUAGUUCUGGUUCUAUCUUUUAGAGAACCAGAACCGGAACCUUUAUCCAAGGUUCUACCACGGUUCUAGUUCCAUAGUUUUGGUUCCGGUUUCAAACGGUCCGAUUCCGACGAUUCCAAAUGGAACCAUGGUCAUGCCUACUUUGAAAAUAACAAUGACCAAGUUUAAACAAAAAAAGAAGGCAUGGGACACAAUUUGUAGAGGGAGGCCCGCCCAACUCUUGCUUUGGAGGUCAUAAACCUCUUAAAUUGCAUCAUUGCCUGCCAGCUAAAAAACGAAGGAAAAGUUUCACUUUCGCUACCUCCGAUGAAGGAAGGACCCCAGAUGGAGUCUGGUUGACUGAAUUGAUGAUGAAGGUUAGGUUAAUCAUCUGGCGUGUAACGGUCAAUGACUGAAUGUUAGAUCACUGUACUACGAAUAAUAAAUAUCAAUCGGCUUUUCACCCUACCAGUCCCAAAAGCACCAACAAAACUUGUCAAAAAAAUUUUAAGAAAGCGAAAAAAAAAAGAAAACAACAAGGAACUAAAUAGGUGAUGUGGCAUCACCACUGGUCAUAAAACUUUACUGUAAUUUUCUGUAAAAAUUAUAGAAAAAAUUUUUGGAACGUGUAAAUUUUUAGGUAUUUUAAAGUGUAUAGUUUAACAAUUUUAAAAUUUUUUUUGAGAUUAUUAUAGAUAAAAUUAUUUAUAAAAUUUAUAAAACACAAACUUGACAAAAAAUUUAUUUGCUAAACAAGCCCAAAGAUUGACCGGAUGGUGCAAAGUUGUGACUUUACAACUAACGGGGAAUCUCAAGAUCUUCAGUAAACUAAUUAAAAAGAGAAAGGAUAUAUAGAAGUUGACCUUUGACAAAAAAAUAAAAUAAAAUAAAAAGAGAAAGGAAAAACCGAUGCAGACAACCUACUUGAGAUCUCAAUAUCUUCAUUCGAUCCAAUAUACAAUUAAUUAAAGACAAAGAAAGGGUAGAUAGUAGGGUAUCCGUGGUCAAUGAAGAUCGUCACAUAUUGUGACAAAUUUUAUGAGAGGUAAGAUUCGAACUCUUGACCUUCCGCACCACCAAGUCUAAGAAGGCUUGGGAUGAGCGAGAGAAUCAAAAUAUUCGAUAUAUAUAUAUAUAUAUAUAUAUAUAUUUAUUUAUAUUUUCCGGUAUCUCUCAAUCUUAUUCCAAGCUCCUAAUAUUUCCAGUUAUAGUAACUAGUUUUUAGUCUCCAAUGUUUAGUACCUAUAUAGAAUUGGUUCUUAAAAUUUUGGCAAAAAUAAGUCUGGUCCUAAUGUUUAGCACCUUUUGGUUUUUAGUCCCUAAAAUUUUGGCAAGAACAAAUCUAGUCCAAAAUAUACACAAUUUAAAGCAAAUCUAGAACAUUUGAAGAAUUUUCUUAAUUAUAGAUAGAAUUUAAUCACGUACAAUCAUUUGUCCAUAAAGUCAAUUAUAAAAGUAAAGAAGCAAAAUAGCCGCUAUUUUUAAAAAAAAAAAGAGAUGAAGGACUAAUAACUCAAAUGCUAAUUGAUUAACCAGCUCAAAAAAAAAUGAAUUUUGUUAUGUUACAAAAUGGAAACCAAUUAGAGCGCCUAAUUCAUCAUUCCAAACUUGUUUUCACUCUCCCUCCGUCUCCAAGCAGAAGACCCUAACACCCAAUUUUCGGGUAUAAUUUAACCAAAAAAGUUUUUUAGUUUCUUAGUUAAUUAAUUACUCAAGUGGAGUUAUUCUUAUUUUUCUAAGUUAGUCACUUCUUUAAAAAAAAAUAAAAUAAAUUAACGAACACGUGACUGCACGUGACCAAUUUCGUCGGUAACUAAGAAAACUCGUCAAAUGUCAUAAAUCGGUUCCAAAUUGAAAAAAUGAGGACUAAAUUUGUUUUUACAGAAAUUUUAAAGACUAAAAUGCUUAAGAUGCCAAACAUUGGUGGCCAGAUUUAUUUUUUAUCAAAAUUUCAGGGAUUAGAAUGCUGUAGAGAUUAAACAUUGGGUGGGGACCAACGCUGCAUUUCUCCGCCAGAAACUAAUGCAAUCAUUCCUCAUAACCUUUCUACUACCGGAGUAAAGAGUAUAGACCUGCACAAAAAUUCCAAGAGUCCAGGACCACAUAUUUAAACUUUUAGACUGCCCUUUCAAAAUUUUCAGAAUUCAGAAGCAGAAGCCCGAAUUGAAUGGAGAAUAGCCACCGCCAUCAGCACCGCGGCAGCGGCAGCAAAUGGAUAGCGGCGUGGCGAGCAUAUGGAUACAGUGCAGCUGCGGAGCAUCGUACGCCUUCGGAAUCUACUCACCAAUCCUGAAAUCAAGCCAAGGCUACGAUCAGGCCACGUUGGACACCGUGUCAGUGUUCAAGGACAUCGGGGCCAACGUCGGGAUCAUCUCCGGAUUCCUUUACUCCGCCGUGGUACCCGACCGGAGAGGGAGAGGGCAAGGGCGGAGCUGGUUACGGCAGCCCUGGGUGGUGAUCCUGGCGGGCGUAAUCCAAUGCUUUUUGGGCUACAUCAUGAUGUGGGCUUCGGUGACCGGAAUCAUUGACCGGCCGGGGGUGGGAUUGAUGUGUUUGUUCAUGUUCUUAGCAGCUCACGCUCAGACUUUCUUCAACACCGCUAACGUCGUGACCGCUGUUCAUAAUUUCCAGGAUUACAGUGGGACCAUUGUUGGUAUCAUGAAGGUAAAUGUCUUUCUUACGUCUUCAAUUAUUGUUAAUUUAUUACUACUACUACUACUACAUUUUACCUCUGCAUGGUUAAUUCUACUACUAGUAUUUAUGUUUGCCUAAUAUUCCGUCUACAUUAAAAUGGAGGUUUUUACUUCUUAUUAGAGGUUUGUGACCCAAAUGCACCAGUAUGAUUUUUUUUUUUUUUUUUUUUUGGGGUACAAGGCAAUGUUUUGAAACUCGUACAGUUGAUUGAACCGGUAAUGUGUUCGGAUCGAGGUUUAACCAGUCGGAUCGAUUCAAUCCUGGUUCAAUAAAUUUUUUUAAAAAAUAAUAAUGUAUAUAAAUAUAUAUGUAUAAAAUAAGACAUGCAAUGGACUAAUUUAAGACUUUAUGGGGUGAAAAGUUUAAUAUUUUCAAAGAAUUUGGAUUUUCACAAGUAAAAAUUUUAAAUUAUAAGUUGCAACAAAUAAAUUUCAUCUCAGCAUAAAUUGUGUCUACCAAAUAAUCUUAAAUUCAACCCAAAAUUGUCACAAUAUUCUAAAAUUAUACAAAAUUCACGUCCAUGGGAAUUAGAUAUUAUGAGUUUAAAUUUUUAAUUCACGUUUUUAGAAUUUAGAGAUUGCAAUUAUAUAUAUAUAUAUAUAUAUAUAUAUAUAUAUAUAUAGAAGUUUGGAAUCUGGAGGAAGUCAGGAUAAUAGAAAACAGAGAUGUAAACUUGAUGAAAGGCAAAAAAUGAGAAAAAAGUGAGUGGACGUGGCAUUUAAUAAUUAGUCUUUAGAAUUAAGAAAAAUCUAUUCUUUUUUUUCAAUUUAAUAGACAAAAACAAAAAAAUGCCGGUUCAAUGGUUCAAUCCAAUUUACAUGGUUUUUACCAGUUUUAUCCCUUGCCUUUUUUUUUUUUUUCCUAGUUAUUUUUUGCUGGAUAGUUACGCGCGAAACUGAAAUUUGGUCUCAACAAAGUUUUGUUUAUAGGACAAACUAUUGGAAAUGUUUAUUAAGUUCUGGAAUUUUGUCAAGACGAAUCAAUUUGCGGCAUGCCUAAUCAAAAUCGGUCCAUAUCCACGUGUAUAUAUAUAUAUAUUAUAUAUAUAUAUAUAUUUAAUGCCAUUGCUAUUGUGACAAAAUGCUAAGUUAAGUUUUACAGCUCCUUUUUUUUUGUGUCUAAACCCAAUUUUUUAAAAAGUUUUUCUUAAAACUACAAUAGGCUUGGAAGACCAUGGCAUCUAUUAUGCCCUAGUGAUCCUCAACCAACGUGUAAAAUAUAUGUAGCAUUGACAGAAAUUUGAGGAACUAACGUGUAGAAUAAAGGCAGUACUCGAAGGAAAUUUGAGGAACUAAUAUAUGUACAUAUUACUUCUCAGCUAACUACCAAAACGUUAAAAAGAAGUAUAAAAGUUACUCUCCUAUUCUUCCAAAACGUUAAAAAGAAACAAAAGUUAAUGUUCUCCUAUUCGUCUUUUUUGGGGGUUUUUGGGUUAAUUGUUGUCAAGUUGUACAUGCAUGAUCGGAGCUACACAGAGGGUGUAUUGAAGAGUCAUCAUACUCUUGCAUUCUUGUCUGGGCAGGGAUUUUAGGUUUGAGCGGAGCAGUUGUAAUUCAAGUGUACGACACUUUGUUUGAAGGCAAUCCUAGCACUUUCUUGUUAAUCCUCGCACUGCUUCCUAGUCUCAUUUCCAUCUUGCUUAUGUGGUUGGUCAAGAUUGAUGCAGCGCGCACCAAAGAUGAGAAGAAAAAUAUUUGAAUGGUUUCUCUGUAGUUUCCCUGGUCGUUGCUGCCUACCUUAUGAUCCUAAUAAUCUUGGAAAGUGCCAUCACUUUGCACUAUGGUCUCGAAUCAUUACCUUUCUUGUCCUCCUUUCUCUGCUGUCUUCGCCCCUGGGCGUUGCAUGUAAAGCUCAGAGUGAUAGCUCGUUGAACCUCGCGUACUACACAUCGUCCGUUGGACUCCUUUGAUGGAUGAGGCUGAGCCAAUUAAGCAGGAGACAACGUCGUCUCGAGCUGCAAAUCCGUGGAUAUUCAUCCUGAUGAUGAUGAAGUUCAAAGCAAAUCCGGCUCUGAGGAUAUGCUCGACCUUGGAGCGGAGUUAAACCUCUUCCAAGCAAUGAGAACUGUCAACUUCUGGUUGCUGUUCGUUGCUAUGAUAUGUGGGAUGGGUUCAGGGCUGGCCACAAUAAACAACAUCAGCCAAAUAGGGCAAUCUCUUGGCUACUCUACUGUUGAGAGGAGUACUCUGGUUUCGUUGUGGAGCAUCUGGAACUUUUUAGGCCGCUUUGGAGCUGGAUAUGCAUCGGAUAUAUUCCUCCACAGAAGAGGCUGGGCAAGGCCUUUGCUCAUGGCUCUUACGCUAGCAGCCAUGACUGCUGGCCAUGUGGUUAUUGCUUCCGGAUUUUCUGGGAACUUGUUUAUCGGUUCAGUGUUAGUCGGCGUAUGCUAUGGCUCUCAAUGGUCCUUGAUGCCUACCAUUACCUCCGAGAUAUUUGGAGUACGACAUUUGGGUACCAUAUUCAACACGAUUGCUGUGGCCAGUCCUAUUGGAUCUUACGUCCUCUCCGUUAGAGUCAUUGGCUACAUUUAUGACAGACAUGCUACAGGCGAAGAAAAUACAUGCUACGGCAAGUACUGCUUCAUGUCAUCUUUCUUCAUCUUGGCAUCUGUUACUGUCCUCGGAUUCCUCGUUGCACUGGCACUAUUUUUCAGGACGAGAAGGUUUUAUUCCCAGCUUCUGGUUCGAUGGUUGAGGCACACUGCAAUAGAGUUAGAUUCUUCUGUCUCGGGUAUUGGACAAGAAUCCCUGGUCUUCGUUGAAUUCUACUCAGGGAUUGGAGUGAAUAAUAUACGGAGUUGAGCAGGGCUUAGCAGCAGCCCAGUUUUGACUAAGGCUGUUUCAAUGAAUGUUUCCUGUACACAACCUUUAAGAGUUUCAAGAAUGGCUUACAGCAGCAAUUCGCCUGGCACUUCAACGCUUACAAUCAGGUUUCUGUGGCAAAUAUGUGAAUCCUCACGCCUCAGUGUUUUCAUAGAAUCAUGUAUAUUUUCUCCCCUUUUUCACAUUGAAUGGUUUUUUGUGGGUGAUAUUUUUUUUUCUAUAUAUAAUUAAUGUAUUAUACUCCAAUUGUACUACACAUAUUUGUUGCAUUAAAGCAUUUUAUCCAGAAAUGUCUCACAAAGCUUACCUGCUGUGCUUUUCAAUCUAUUAACAAAAUGACCCACAAUCCAGAAAUGGCUUUGAAGGUAAAAUUGGGGGAAAAAAAACAAGUGCCAACAACUAGUCCUCCCAACGCACUCCCCUACAUCACUUUUCAGUCAACUCAUGUGCAACUCUGACGGUAUUAGUACAUUCCUCCUCCUUCCUUUUUUUUCCUUGGGCCUCCGUUCAUUUAUUAAAACUCUCGAGUUUCAGCAACAAUACAUUCUCCAGUAAUCUCCACUCCAAAUAAAGAAGCUCGCAUGGAUUUGGAUCGAAAAAUUUAAGCUUCUCAAAACGGGCAAGGGAAAAUUAACCCAAAAAAAAAAAAAGUAUGGAGCUUGAUUACAAUCCGAGUUACAAAACCAUAAUCAAGAAGAAUAAAUGGGUUUCCACGGCGGCCAGCAUCUGGAUUCAAUCCACCAGUGGCUCAGCCUACACCUUCGCCAUCUACUCUCAAGUCUUGAAAACUAGUCAGGCUAUAAUCAGUCGACCCUCGACACUAUUUCUGUUUUCAAGGAUUUUGGUGCCAACGUCGGGGUGCUCUCCGGCCUCCUAUACUCCGCCGUCACCAACCCCCGCCGCAGCAGCAGAAUUGGGGGCCCUGGGUGGUUUUGGCAGCUGGGGCGGCCCUUGUGUUUGUGGGCUACUUCUUCAUGUGGAUGAGUGUUGUGGGGAAUCUGCCGAGGCCGCCGGUGCUGCUCAUGGGCUUGUACAUGUUGUUAGCUUCUAAUGCAACGACGUGUUUUAAUACGGCUAAUGUGGUUACUGCUGUUCAUAAUUUUCCUGAUUAUAAAGGGACUGUUGUUGGCAUCAUGAAGGUAACAAUUUUCUUCUUUCACCUUCAUUGUUACCAGCUUUAUUUUUUCUUGGUAUUGGUUUGGGGUAAUUCAUGGAGCUUAUCAUUCAAAAUGUUUGGUUACCUCUGCAGUAGUAUGCAAUUUUGUGUUUGUUACUGGAAUUGGAUUUUUACAAUGAUGGAGUAAGUGAUCAUGAUGCUUUUGUGCCCAAGCUACUGAUGGAUACCUGCCUAAGCUCAUCGAAUGGAUUAGGGGCCUUGCUGCUGCUUGUUUCUUAUUAAAAAAAAAAAAGAGCUUUAUGAAUGCAGUUUGCUGAUAAGUUAACGUUCAAUGUGCUAAUGAAUAUUGUUGUACACAGAGGUUGAGAAAAAAGGAUGAUUUUUUCUGAACAAUCUUUUCUGGCCAUCUCUGGUUUGUGUAAGUAGUCAGCCCUAGUUCCAUAGACGGAUGGAAAAAAAAUGGUAGAAGGUCUUUGACUUUGAGCUUCGAGGAGAUACAGAGCUUCAAGCCUAUACCCCAUUACAUCAGGAAUCUAGAAAUGCAGAUUUUACUCAUAUCUGAGAGUGAUUUUAGAUGCAAAUUUAUGUCUGUAUAGGGCAUAUAAAUCUUAUACUGUUUUAGUUUGUGGAACACUGGCGUAGUUUCCCAUUGCUUAUAUCUGGCCUUGGAGAUUUUACCAAUACAACUCUCGGUGAAAUGGUUUGUAUCCAAGCUUGUGAUUCCUAAAAUUUGAUGGAGAGUAAGCACAAAAUGAACGGACAAAUAGCCAGAGUUACUAAUCUAGCUUGAGUCUGUGUGUUAAGGACCGCAUUUCUAGUUUGAGUUUGUAUUUUAAGCAAACAAAAGAAUAAUUCCCAUGGUAGAUUUAGCUGAUAUGGUGGCAACUACAAGACUAUACAGUGUUUAGAUAAGAAUCGAAGGUAUCUGUCGAUAAUGAAACAUACCAAUGUAUUAAAAGCUAUUUGCAUCAUUCUGUUGAAUGAGACCAGACUGCUUGGGGUGGAGGGAUUUAGCAUUAAGCCCUGAAUGCAUGCUUAUAUCGAAUUGGAAAAUCAGUUGCAAAAUUUCAAUUCUGAAGGUACUCAUCCACUGAGGAGUGGGUAGCUUUUGGCUAAAAUCUCUAGAUUUGAGGACUUCAAGUGUCUAUAUUUUAUGCCCCAAAUCACGGGCAAAUGCACCAUUAUGCUUGGUUAAUAUUAUGAUUUUUUCCCCUUUUCCCCAUUUUUUCCCACUUUUUCUGCAUUUUACGGAUAGUUUGGAUUUAUAAUUUUAGGCAUGGUUAAUGUUUAGUUGAGUGCGGUACUUCUUUUCUCAAAGGGGUAGUUGGUAUUAUGACACUAAAUUAAGAAGUAUUAAAAAAAAAGGGUCGGGACUUGGGGCCUUCCACGGGUGUAGGCAGUCCGUAGGGUAAUGGUGGUAUAACUUUCAGACUCUAUCUAUGCCUUAUCAUCAAUUUUGAUCUAAUCAAAAUUUAGUGAAGUGUCAAGAUGGGGAUAUGUUUGAAAAAAGAAAAAGAAAUUCCUAAAGUAGGCCCUCAUCUCUAAGUUGUUUGUUACUGAUAAUGAGCCAAAUGAAGGGAUGAAUUUGCUCCAUCGUUAACCCAAUAUUUUCUGUAAAAAAAAUGGAAUUGAUAUAUUAAAAUUUCUGUAUACUCUUCAAAAGUAAGAGUUCAUUUUGAAAUGAGCCAUUGAUUUUAUUUAUUUAUCUUUUGGUUUACUUCUUGUCGAUGGAACAUCUUAAGGAGUUGCAUUUCACCUAAACACAAUUAGAAAUUCCCUCAUACAAAUCAUCAUUUUUUGCUGAUGGAAACUUGGUUUAGAAACAAAAAUGAAUGAGAUUAAAGUUCCCAAUUCUGAUGCUGCUUAUAAUGCUUUUGGCUAUUGCAUUUUGAUUGGGAAAUUUUACAAAUGUUAAUUUGGUUGUAUAUUUCAAAACAAAAUAUGAAAAUUUUCUAAUUAUUUUCACUUUUUGAGGUAAAACGAAUUAAUCAAUAAUGAUUAGUGCUUUCUUAUUGUAUUUAGAUACAUACAAGGUUGUCUCCUUUAUGUGAAAACGUCAACUUCAAAUAUUUAUUUCCUUGCUUGCACUUGUUGAUGUCCACCCACCGAUUUCAUGUGAAGCAUAUUUAUUUCGGAGGUCAAAUUCACAAACAAGAUGUAACUCUAAGCCCAUUAUCAUGAAUUGAAAUUUUUAAAGGUGCUUGGGAUAAAUUUGCAAGAUAAAUUUGAUUGAAUAAGGCAUCCUUGUUCAUGAAAAGGAUUUUAAUAUUUCAGCAAUAUCUGAAAAUAUUAGGACUAUUUAGGCAAUUCGAAUGCUAUAUUUCUGAUUUGGAACAAGUGUUUAGCUACGUUUACAAUGUACAUGAGCUGACAUCCUGUAUAGAUACAUCUAUUUGGACAGACUUUCUGGUUUUAUUGGUAAUUGAAUUGGAUUCUGUUGAAAGCAAUGAUUAUGUGGGUGGAAUCUACUAUUGUGAUAUGUCUGCUUUGCUUAUAUUUUGUUGUCUCCUUUUUCUAGUUAUUUUUUGUUGACAACUACCUAAUAGCUGAAACUACAUCUGAAAAAUGUUUUGUUUAUUGACCAAACUAUUAGAAAUGUUUAUUAGGGUCUUGAAUUUUGUCGUUCCCAAUUUGCAUAAUAUCUCAAUUUUUAGUUUGAGUAAAUUUUUUUUUAAUCCAACAGGAUUUUCUUGUCGAUUAUUUACCAGAGAUAGAAAUUAAUAAGGUGGAUUGCAGACCUAUUCAACUUCUUCUCUUUGGUAUUAGUAAAGCUAAUGAAAGUCAUUUAGGGCAGAAACCAAAAGUGGCUGUUAAUCGAUAUCGACACUUGAUCUUUAACAGAGUACCAUAACUAUAUCUUUAUAGUUAUCAUUAUUAUUUUUUAAUGAAACAAGCCACUGCAAUAUAAAAUGUUAAAAUUAUUUGAAAAUUUGCUUCUGCAAGUGUCCAUUAACUUAAGCCAUGUGUGGACAUUAUUUUUGGUUUACUUUAACAUCUGCAAUUAACAAGAAGGCCAGAAACAUAUACUUUGUGAAAGUUUGGUGGUCUAUCUGAUGGAAAGAAGUUGACUCGCCAAUGGUCUCUAAACCUUGAUUUACUUUUUCGCGUCCCUUUCCUUCUCUCUCUCUCUCUUCCUUUUUUCCUUUUUGUUUGUUUGCUAUAUUUUUUCCAACUUGCAAGACAAUACUCUGCUCUCAUAUUUUCUUUGUAGGGCUUUCUUGGCUUGAGCGGUGCAAUAUUGAUUCAGGUGUACCAUACAAUUCUCAACGAGAAGCCAACCACAUUUAUUUUGAUGUUGGCACUCUUGCCCUCCAUAACUGCCCUUCUGCUAAUGUGGUUUGUAAGAAUCACUCCAACUAAUGAAGUAGGCGAAAAGAAAUACCUUAAUGUUUUCUCGUUGGCUGCUGUAGUUCUUGCUGGUUAUCUAAUGGCAGUAAUAGUCCUAGAGAAUGUCCUUACAUUUCGUUCAGCAGUACGAAUUUCUACUUUUGUCAUACUUAUUUUGUUGCUAGUGCCACCUAUAUACAUAGCAAUUAAAGCCGAAAAGGAGAAGGCAAGGAGGAUUAUAAGAUCCUUGCUUGAGCAGAACCAAUUGGUUUAUGAUGGAAACCAGUUGGGCAACAAUUUCGUGCAGACCAGACAAGAUCCUGAGGGCCAUCAAGAGAUUUCGUGCGAUGCUGAUGAAGAGAUGAAUAUAAAUAAUGAAAGGACUGUUCCAGAACGGGGAGAAAAUCUGAAUCUUUUGCAAUCUAUCUGCACCAUCGAUUUUUGGUUGCUUUUUUUUGUUUCAGCAUGUGGUAUGGGCUCAGGACUAGCUACUGUUAAUAAUGUCAGCCAAAUAGGAGAAUCUUUUGGCUACUCCACUAUAGCAACAAGUACAUUAACUUCUUUGUGGAGCAUCUGGAAUUUCAUUGGGCGGUUGGAUCUGGGUUUGUGUCUGAUUACUUUUUGCAUGCACAAGGUUGGUCAAGGCCACUGUUCAUAACCAUCACUCUGGCAACUAUGAGCAUUGGUCAUGCUGUGAUUGCUUCUGGUUUGCCUGGUGCCCUAUAUGCGGGUUUGGUUCUUGUUGGUAUCGGCUAUGGCUCACAGUGGUCACUGAUGCCUACAAUUGUUUCAGAGAUAUUUGGUCCAGCACAUAUGGGAGCAAUAUUUAACACUGUCAGUAUUGCAAAUCCUGUUGGAACUUAUAUUCUCUCAGUUAGAGUAGUUGGUUACAUCUAUGACAAAGAAGCGACAGGGAGUGACAACACUUGCAUUGGAACUCACUGCUUCAUGUUAUCGUUCCUUAUUAUGGCAUCAACUACUGUUCUGGCGUCUCUUGUUGGUUUAAUAUUAUUCUUUCGGACAAGAAACUUCUAUAGACAAGUUAUACUGAGAAGACUUUAUAUUCCCAUCAGGAAUCUGGAGUAAGAAUUGAUGUUCUUUGGCAUGUCAAGUUGAUGUCUCAAAUGAUCCAUCACUUGGAUUUGGUGUCAUUGUUGCUGUCCACUGAUAAAAGGUACUGUGCCAGAUCUCCUUGGUUCAUCUAUAGACUAGAAGAAAUUCACGUUCUCUGAGUUCGAGAAAAAUUUAGCAUCAUCCUUGAAAUAUUGGUGAUUAUAAAUUCAUAGACCUGACCCAAAAUUUUCACCAAGCAAUUAAGGGCAUUCCUGGGCACCUGUCUUUGAUGAGGUUGAAGUGCUCAUUCGUCGACAGAGCUCGGUUGCAGCAGCUACGCUGGGGGCUGUUCUGCGUGCAUGAUCAGUUGAUGAUGUGAAUUUGUUCAAGGCGUACGUAUGUGCAUCAAUGAGGUAAACUGCUUCAAGAACCUGGUUCCAUCUUCCAGCAAAAUUUGAAAGUCCCAAGUAGAAGCGGAUCAUCUUUGCUAGCACCAUCAUAAAUGAAAUUGUGGGAUGGAUCAGAUGCAUUCAUUCUCUUUGAACUGAAUUCCGUCUUCGGUCCGAGACGAGAGGCAUCUAGACGAUGUUGGGGCAAUCCAAUGAUGAAUGAGUUGAUUUGGUAGUGCUUGAACAUUGCUUGCUGCAAAGUUUGCACGGGUUUCACAGGGAGAGCAGUGUAUUCGAUUGGAUGAGAUAAGCCUCUGCAUGGAAUGUUGCUAGGCUUAGACCAUCAUUGCAUGAUGAGCUUGAAAAUUGACUGACUGUAUUAUCAUAUUUGCUAAGCUUAAACCAUCAUUUUUAUUUUCUUUCUGUAUGUUUAACGGACCUCCCAAUUAUACUUAAAAAAAAUGAAAAAAAUGAAAAAAAAAAAAUUGCCUAUCCGUUUAAUGACAUGUGUUGUGUUGGGCCACUAAUCAUGAAUAAGAGAGACCAUUCGUUGAUCAAAAGACCAACAGCCUGACCUAACCGGCCCAAGACACAUACCCGUCCGUCCACGGUCAAACCCACUGCUUUUCUUUUUCCUAAAUUUUUUUGAAACACUGUCCAAGCCCACUUUAAGUCGGCAUUCUACAGAACAUGGACUGGACCUCUCUAUCUGGGCAGGCAAAGUGAAUUAUUAGUACUGAAUUAAUGUUCCGAUCAGAAUCGCAGAAGCAGAAUUUAAGAGAGAGAGAGAGAGAGAGAAAGUGGCAGCGAAGAGGAAGAAGAAGAAGAAGAAGGCUUUGCAACUUUCAUGCUCUGAAGCGACGUCGUCUGGGCAGUGUAUACAUAUACCAGUAGCAAGGAAACUCGCAGAAUAAAUAUACAGAGAGAGAGAGAGAGAGAGAAGGGGGCGCCGGCGCGUAACAAUGAAGACGACAAAAGGAGGCAAGGUUAUGAACCCUACCGAUGCUUACCGGAAAGAGCUUCGCAAGAAGGAGUUAAAACGGGUAUGCUAUACUAUUUAUCUCAUUCUCUGUAUUUGGUUUCAUGUAAUUCGUUUGUGUAAUUUUGAUAUAGUUUCCUGUGUAUUAAAUGUUGUCCGCUCUUGUCUUGUAUGCAUCAAAUUUAGAUUUUUGUGCUUACUUAGGGUUUUGGUGAUUUAUGCUGAAUUUUUAUUUUGAAUGAGGAUAUGAAUUGGCAAACAAAGAGUAAAAAAAAAUAUAAUAAAAGCUACCUUUUUAAUUAUUAUUAUUUUUUUAUUCUUAAUUUUUUUUGGGAAGUUGUGGUUAAUUUGAGUUUAGGAGGUGAUAGUGCAUUUGGUUUGGUAUGAAAAUUGAAUUAUGACUAGAGAAGAAAAGCUGUAAAUGGCCGUGUUGUUUAGAAAAAUGUGAUAAAAGUGGGACUCUAGUAUUGUACGGCUGCUUAAUCACUGUUGUAUAGGAUUAUAGAAUGACAGCAACUUACUAUUUUCAUCUUUGUAGACGUUUAUGGGGCAUAAAUCAAGCUAAAAUAUUCCUUAGAUAUUUGGGAGAGGUGUAGAAGGUGUGAGGAGGGAGGGUAUGUUUUGUAGUUGAUCAUCCUGGAAACAGUACAUAUUAUUUAGUGGCCAGGCAGGGCGGACUGCUGCUUGUGGAGAGUAUCGACAAGCCGGCCUUUUAGACUAUCACUAGCAUCUAAUUGUUGUGCACUGCUAAAGGGUGAUGUGAAGACCAACAGUAGAUAUGAUGUCCCAGAAUCUUGAUAGAAAGGAUAGCAAAGGAGUAAUCAGAGUUCAGGGAUAGAAGACAAGUUGGGUUCAAUUUUCUAGAGGUGCAUUUCAUUAGGCAGUUUGAUAGGUUCACGAACUACAUGAGCGAGAGGUAAUUAGUUUGAAGUGCAAGAUUUAGUGGUCAAAACAACUAAGCAGCAGGAUGCAGUGGAUUGUUUUGCCGCUAGAAGCUAACUGUAAUGUUCUGGCAUAGUGUUCCUUCAACUUUUUCUAAAGUUCAGUUUUAUGCGGUACAAUGUUGCAUUCUAGUUUUAUUCAAGACCUCAUAGGAUUCGCUAUAGAUUAUGAACACCUGUUAAUUGCAUGCAUAAUAAUGGCCAUCUAUGUGCUGGCGCACAAAUUCUUCUCUGUAACUUGUCUUUUAAAUAUUUUAUCUUCUGAAACUCAUGUGCUAAUUUUGAUGCCUAUGUAGAACAAAAAAGAAAGGAAAAAGGUGCGGGAGGUGGGGAUUUUGAAGAAGAUCCUGAGACACUAAGGGAGCAGAUAUCGAAGCUGGAAGCCAUGAGUAAGUUUGACUGUUCUUGAAAUGGAAUUGAUCUUGAGGAGUGAGACUUUCUUAUUUUCUGUGCAAUUCAUCUGGGAUUUUAGUGUCAUGUCUUUUCUUCUUUUUUUGCAGCAAAUUUUAAUGGAUGUGGGAAUACUGCAUUUAGUUUUCCAUGUUGUUUAGUCCUUAAAAUGACUAUCCAGAAGAAGUCAAAUUAUAGUAAAUACUAAUGCAAUCCUCUCAAUAAAAUUGAAAUUAUUGUGACUUGAGGGGCUUUUGUUUGCAAGUAACUUUUCCUGCAAAAUUGUGUUGAUGUAGAAACAAAGAACAUUGCAGGUGCUUGGUUCCUCACAGACAAUACAUGCUGAGUUAUUAGUUUCUUUUAUUUUAAUCAUUUCGAAGGUUUUUUUUCCCCUUUCAACAUCUUCGGUUGAGUGGUGGUUGGAACUUCUGAGCUUUUGAUAACCAUCAGUCGAAGUUUUAGUUGCAAUUUAAAUACUUCGGCUGUUUAAAUCUUUCAAAUGGAUAAGUUAGACCAAGUUUAUACUCCUAUGCAUGUCAGGAAGAUGAAGAAAGGAAAGUGCUGUCAUAAAUUUACAAACACGCCCUAAUUUUAACAUCAAGAACAUAUUAAGUGCACCUUUGAGUUGUCAGAUGCAGGUUAUUUGGAAGAGUAGAACAUAUCUAUUGACUACUUAGGUCAUAGUUCUUAGUUAAGAUAUUCACUUCUUCUUCAAGGUCUUCCAAUCUCUAGUUCAUGUAGGGUGCUGCAGUAAUGCAGAGCAUGAUGCCAUACUGUCAUUGUCUGGGAAAAGUUGGAGAGUGGCGGAAGGAUGAGAGGGAAUAAAUUUUAUUUGUGUGACUAUUACUCGGCAAAUUUCUUUAAAUAAUACUAAAAAAAUAAAAAGUCCCUCAAAUGAGGCAAAUGUGAAGGUUGUUCUCCAAAUAAAGUUGCUACACCCCUGGUGUGCGGCAACAAAGGAAAAUCUUUUUUUAAUAUAUAUAUUUUUUGAAAUAGACACUAAGGAAACAUAUUUUUGCAUUUCGGUCCUUCAAGAAAUGCAAUUAAAUUAUUAAAAAACUUAAUGUGAGAGUAGCGUGCAGCAACUCUCACUAUUUAAAAAAAAAUAUCUAUGUUAGAGUUUUUCCAAAUACCAAUAAAGGUUCAUUGAUUUUCUAUCUUUUAUGGUUCUUUGAUUUUACAUUUUUACCUUGAUUCAACCUGUAGCAACAUGGUACUAUAUGUCUUUAACAGCAAACAAGACCUCAGCCCCGCUUUAUAUAUAUUUAUUAUUAUUAUUUUUGGGUCCAAAGUCAGCUGUUAGCUUCUAGCCAGUUGAGAUACAUAUGGAUCAUUUUGUCAUUCAAUUUUACCCAGGCUCAAAAGCUCUGGUUCUUGUUAAUUAGUUGAUAACCAAUUGUUAAUCCGUUUUACUUGUUACAUGUUACAACAUGGAUAUCAGAUAUUUCCAAUCUGAGUUCUUAUGUGGAUUAAAAGUGGACGAGAUAAACCUACACAGACACACUAGAAUAGAGUUCAUUAUUCAGGGUUGAUAGUUUUGCUGCAGGCCGUCUUCCAAUUUUUGAUCAAUACAUAAAUUCUCUUUUAAACCACACAAACACACUAGAACAGAGCUCAUUAUUCAGAGUUCGUGCAGUAAUUUUGCUGAGCAUUUCUUGCUCAUAUUUGAUUUCUUUUUGCAGGAUGAGAGGUCUGUAAGGUAAGGCUUAAAUUGUGAUAGGGUCGUCAAAAAAUAUCACAAUUAGAGUUCUUUUUUUUUUUUUCAGUUUUCAUGGAUGGGAAUAGUCCUCAAUUGUUGAUGCUCGAAUAUUUUUUAAGUAUUUAUUUUUUGUAAAUUCAGUGUUAUAAUCAUAGUAUAUACCCUAUUUUUCGUAUUUCCAAAUUAGAUAAGCCUUAACAAGAUUUGGGCUCAGGCCAACGGCAACCAGAGCAAGAUCUAAACUCUUUCACAUACUUUCGUUUUUUAUGAAAAUGUAUUAUGGCAGAAACUUAGGAGGAUUAUUUCUCAUUUCAAAUUUCCCCAACAUUAUUCAGUCACUGGUUGUUUAACACAAAAAAGAAAAGAAAAAACAGUAAGAUUUUUUUUAAAAUUGUGAAAGUUUCUAACAUAGAUUUUUUAAAAAAAAAUUGUGAGAUAGUUUGCAGCAGCUCUCACAUUAAAUAUUUUAAGUUAAGGACUGAAAUGCAAAAAUAAGUUUUAUUAUUUCCAAAAAAAAUUAAAAAAAAAGAAGAUUUUCCUCUGUUGCUGCACACCUGAUGUGUGGCAACUUUAUUUGGAGAACGACCUCCACAUUUGCCUCAUUUGGAACUUUUUAUAUUUUUAGUAUUAUUUAAAGAAACUUGCCACUAUUACUCAUUCAAAGAAAAGCCAGACGAUACAAGUUUGAUCAUAUCUAGUUUACAAGCUUCAUUGGGUUUCCUACUAAAGCCCUUUGAUAAAGACUUGCUGUUUAGAAAUAUCUGUUUCUGCAACUAUGAAACAAUAUUGGGCUACACUUGUUGGUUCAUACUUGGAUUUAAUAUCUUCUACUCCCAAAUCAAAAACGCAUUUUUCAGUGGCUGUGGUGGUUUAGUACUUUGUGUUUCUUUCGGUCCUAUGUGCUUCUUGUUUUGAAGUUAUAUCCUUCUUAAACUCUUGGCAAUUUCUAGUUGAUAUUCUUUUCCAUGCCUUUUCCUUUUUGGAUUUCUGGGGUUUUCAGUGUUUGUCUUGAAAAAGUAUGCAGUGUUGGUCUUUGUUUUAGCCAUGUCAGUGUAUUUCAAGUCCUAAUAGCUUUUAAUUGAUUAAGUGCCUUGGCAGUGCCCUAAAAUGCUUUACUGUACUCAAUGCAGAAGCAGAAGGUGCUCUGGAUAAAGCAAGAAAACACAAGAAGAGACAACUUGAAGAUACACUAAAUCUUGUUCUGAAGAAGAGAAAGGUGAUGUUUCCUUAGGCAUAGCAUAUGUAGUUUUCCAUUAUUCUGUUCAUUGGAGCAUUUAUCUUGUCUCCGAGCAAUAAAUCUUCUUCUUUGACAGAAGAUGGUAUAUUUAUUUGAAACAUGGAUACGAAGUAAAGUGCUUCAGUAUGUAAAUAUUGAUUUUUGAUAUAGUCAUUACAUGAUAAAUUCUAUAGCUAUGUUUUCAUUCAAUUGCUUGGCCGGGUUUCUUUUGCCCUUCCUUUUGCCUCCAACUCUCCGCCCACAAUGAUAAAGCAAAUAACAAAUUUUUGGUCAAAAGAAAAAAAAAAAGGAAGCCUGGCAGGGGUGCUAGGCACCACUUCUCUUGCAGCCUGUCCUGCCCAGCACUCUCCUUCCAGAAAAGAAUGACAAAAGGAAGGCUGAGAUAACUAAAUCCUAAUGAGGUCAGUCUCUAGGCAAGUGUUGUCAAUGUUCCUUUAAGUUGUUCUUACACUCUUUGAGCAGCACAAGUUUAGGGGACGCGAGAAUAUAAAAUGGAGAAGAAAGUAUAACAAAAGAAGCCCCCUGUUAUGCUCCUGACCGUUUACUCAAGAUAAGAAAAUGGUCAUCUACGGAUUUGUUGCACUACUUCAUUGGUUUGUUAUUUAUUUUGCACUGCAUUUGAAACUGUCAAUUCGUUCCAUGUCAAGCAGAUGUUGCUGAGUAGUUUGUUUAACUUUUUUGUUUGACUGGUGAUUUACAUAUAUUGAAGAGUGUUUUUUACAUUCUUGGGCAGGAAUAUGAGGAUAAAGCAAAGGAUAAGGGUGAAACGCCAGUGAUGUUCAGGUGAAGACAUUUUUCUCGUGACCUAACAUUCAAGUUGUGAAGUUUGAAUUUUUCCUGAAUGCUAAACUAUUCAAACUAAUCCCUUGAAUUAUCUCUGCUGCAGCCAUUUGGGACCUCCUCCUCGUAGGCGCUCCGCUGCAGAAGAGGAAGAAAGAGCGAAGCACCCGAAAGCUGAAGUAGUUUCUUUCUUGAACCAAAAUAUCUUAUAUGUUAAAAUUUAGCUCUUCAUCUGUCUCAUUUGGCUGUCAAUUGGUGCAGGAUUCAGUUUACUAUCACCCUACACUAAAUCCUACAGGAGCUCCUCCGCCUGGAAAACCUCCCAUGUUUAAAUCAUCUGUAGGUGUGUAUUUCAGUUUCUAUUUUCUUAUGAACAUGCUGUUGCUCUGUCUGUCUGUGUGCAUCUAAUAGUUAUAUAUUUUGAACUACAGGACCUAGAAUACCAUUGUCUGCAGCCACAUCAAGUGGUGCUGCAUCUUCUUCAAAAUCAGACUUGGAUGAUGCUGCUUUACCCAUUCCUCCUCCACCUCCACCUCCACCUCUGCCUCGUACUGGUGACAUGGACUCUGGUGAUGCCUCCGAAUUGCCUGCAUCUUUGCCAUUGCCACCUCCCCCACCUGUACCACCAAAGCCUCCAGUAACAGACUCCGGUACUUUGUUGCCGCCUCCACCUUUGCCACCACCACCACCUCCUCCUGGACCCCCUCCAAAGGACCAAAUGGCUAUCCGUUCAUCACUCCCUCCACCCCCAUCUCUCCAUCAAUCUGCUCAACCUCCACCUCCUGGAACUGGUGGAAGUGAGACGGAGAAAAGCCAGUUUGCAAAAUCUGAUGAUCAAGCUUCACGGGAUCCAUUUCAGGUAUGUUCUCUCUCAAUCUCUCAGAAUAUGUAUUGGGGAAGUAUUAGAAACAUAAUCAAACCAUUAUCUUUGAAAUUUGUGAAAAGCAUUGAUAAAGAGUUUUGGCGUGCUUGUCCGAUUUCAUUGAGAAACGUGAAAUGGAAGAAGAAAAAUUUGUAAAUUGUAAUCUUUUACUUGAACUUUUGUCACACUGGACAUUACAUUCAUUUUCCUGAUAGCUGAUGUUCAUGGACUGCUUUCUUGUGGUUUAUGUCUAUUGACUUGAAGUAUUUGUUUCCUUUUGCAGGCAACAGCAACACUUCCCCCACCUCCCCCUCCUCCACCAAUGGGUUUGGCACCAAAGAUGGUCAAUAAUCAGUUGGAAGGCAUAUCUUCUGAAUCUGAUGCUAAUAAUCCUGGUUACGAUCUGUCAAAAAUGAUUCCACCUCCACCUCCACCUCUGAGGCAACAGCCUCCACUGCCAGGACCUGCCAUGGCUCCACCAUUGCAGCCUGAUGUUUUACCUCCAGGAAUUUCACGAUUUCCCCCACCCCCACCUCCAACAGAUAUGAGGCCUGCAUUGCCUGGCAGCGGAAUUGUUGGGCAACCUGCUCCACCUGGUGUUAUGGUCCCAGUUAUUGCAAGACCCUCUUUUGGACCUCCACCAAUGAUGAGACCACCACUUCCACCUGGUCCCUCACCUAUUCCACAAGAUGACCCUGGUGCUGGACUACCUGCUCCACAGAAACCAUCAUAUGUUAAAUCUGCUGCAUCAACUGUUGUUAAAAGACCCCUAGCACAGCACACACCAGAGCUGACAGCCAUGGUAAGUUAACAUCUUUGCUUGUGUUGUGCAUUUGCAUCUGCAGCAUUUGCUUUGAAGUAAUUAUUGAUCGCUGGUGAUAUGUCACUCCAUUUAUUUAUCUAUUAAUAUUUGAAUAAGUAUGUAAUUUUGCCUGAUGCAAAUUGGUUGAAGAAUCCAUGUUUGGAAGAACUAUCUUUAAUUGAGCUGUCUGAUACAACAACAGCUACAGAGGUUGAAAUACAACGAAAUUCUAGAUUGUAAGAAUAACCAAUCAUAUCGUAUCCAUAAAGUGGCAAUCACUCAUUUGGCACAAUCUGUAGAACUAUCUUUAAUUGAGCUGUCUGAUACAACAACUCACAUCUCCCUCUUAUGUGGCUCCAAAAUACUUGAAAUUUGUUACUGAGCCAACUUCUUUUAAGCCAUUGCAUUUUUAGGCCAGAAGUUUCCCUUGUAUUACUUUGUCAAAGCUGUCCAGGCUCUUGCUUUCCUGUUUCUUGUUAUUAGCAGUCUGUUUUAUGUCAUCCCAUAGAUGAUGUAUUUGGUCGAAAUUCAACAUGCUAAACUAUCUAGUCCACUUGUGCCGUUUUAUGCUUGCUUUUGCAUUUUGUUGCUUUUAACUCUCUCUUAUGUGUUUGCUUCUUUUCCUGUAUUCCAGAGAUCGAUCUCAAUUUUGGCUAAGCUUUUUUCCCCCCUUCCUAAUGCAAAAAUGUGUGGUGACGCUAUUGCUGGUAAUUUGAUUUGUCGACAUUGGUCAAUUGAAUGUGGAUCAGUCUGCUCCUGCACAUCAUCUAAUUAACUUGAUUUAAGAUAUAAAUGGGUGUUCAUGGUCUGACUUUCCUUGUCAUACAGCUUCAUAUGUAACAGGGUAGUUUGGUGCUGUAAACACAAUUUUGAGUUGAUAUCAUAUAAUCUAGCCCUUGUCGGUUAAUCAGUGGAGUGCCUACGUUCCCCCACAAAAAAAAAACAUCCUUGUUGUAUAUGAAAUAUGAUAUUCUUGCAGUCUUCAGUGGAAGAAUAUGCCAUCUUGUUCCUGAUGAUGUUUAGCAACCCCACUUACAUCAAUUGCCAACUUUUCUUCCAUUUUCCUUUAUCUCAGAAUGUUCCUGCGUUCUACUUGCAGGUUCCUGCUUCUGUUCGCGUCAGAAGAGAAUCUGCAGCACCAAAAGCAAAGCCAAAGCCAUCAAAUACGACACCAGUGAACCACGCAGUGGCAGCUCCAGCUGAGACAAAGCAAGAAUCAAGUGGCUCAUCAUCCGCACCGAAACCACAGAGCAUUGACGACUCCUACAUGGCAUUCCUGGAAGACAUGAAAGCACUGGGUGCUCUAGAUAGUUGAGCUGAUUCAGCCAUUUAAGGGAUCAAAAGGAAAGAAGACAAACUAGAGUAGACAAACAUGGGCUGUUAAUUCAGUCAACGAUAAACUAGCAUUAAUGGAGGCAUAUUUUUUUUUUCUUUUUUCCUUCCCCUACCCCUCUCCCCCCUAAUCCCUCCCUCUCCCCAAAUUCGGCGCGUUUAGGUUUGAACCUUGGUCUGUCAAGUGAGACAUCAAGUUACUCGUCUAUAGCCCUAACGACUAUUGGUCAAUUAUAUUAACUUGCGCUUCUUAAUUUAAUUAGUAUGAAAAAGAUGUCUAUACUCACGGGAUGGAGGAGUAUUUCAUUCGUUGAGCAUGCUACCCAUAGCAAUAAAAAAAGUUUUAUUUUAUUUUCUAAGUAUUUCAGUGGCACGAGACAAUCCAAGGUUGGAAAAUAAAAAUGAAGCGAAGUUGCAUAUUCAAAAUUUUUUAUCCUAAAAAAAAAUUAAGUUUCUGUCAACAAAAUAAAAACAUGGUACUUGUGAAUUGUAUAUUUAACUAAAGGGUAUAUUAGAUAAUUUACAAAUAAGAUCGAUGGAGUUAAUUUCGAAGUUAGUAGACCCAGACGGUCAAAAGGGCAAAUUCCCAAAUAAAUUUGUUUGAGGGGGUGAGGUGCAAAUUGACUCCACGUAUCCUGUAUGAAUAUGUUUUAUUCACUUAAAAUUCGUAACGGAUCUUCUGUCCCAUACCCUGUGCCACUCUCGGUCCACUUUUUAUUAUAUUGCUAUUUCUCCUACAUAAACAUCAUGUUUUAGUUUUUUUUUGUUUCCUUAAGAUUCAAUAACUAUUAAUUGAAUAAAAAUAAAUACAGCAGCUUAAAAUAAGCAAUAUAUAAUAGAAAAUUAAAAAAUACAGUAGAAAAUUCAUAAAAAAUCUCAUUUUUUAUGCAUUUUGAUUUUUUGAGUUUGUUAAAUUUUGUGUAUAACUCAAUUAAUAGUUAUUGAAUCUUAAGGAAACAAAAAAAAAACUAAAACAUGAUGUUUAUGUAGGAGAAAUAGCAAUAUAAUAAAAAGUGGGAUAGAGAGUGGCACAGGAUGUGGGACAGAAGAUCCGUUGCUCUUAAAAUCUACAAUGAACAAUUUAAUAGUAAGGAUUCCCUUUGUAAGAAACAAAUAUAAGCAUAUACUAAGGAGUCCAAACUCCAAUAAGUAAACAUAUAUUCUAUUUUUUUUUACAAUACUUAAUUUGUCUAUGACUUCUUCAAAUUUUAUGGGUUUUUUUUUUUUUUAAUUCUUUCUGGUUGGCAUACCGGGACCUCGAUUGGAUUCCCUUCCAUCUAGUCUUCAUUUAUCUGUUUAUUAAAUUAUAUCCUACUUAUUGAAGCUUUAAAAACAGGUAGGUCCAGACAACAUCUCCUGCCUUAAUCUAUUUGUUACUAAUUACACUUGUGAAAAACUUUGGAGUUGGUGAGAACAUGCGGCCAUCAGCUUUAUAUUGGUCAGCAGAUUGUCAUACUUGUUGUGUUCAAAAUCAAUUUCACUCGGAAAUUUCGGGUUGGACCUGAAACAUAAUUUCAAUUUACUAUUGUAGUUUCUGAUAGAACCAAUUUCGUACAAGGCUAAUUGCAUAAUCAAGUAAUAAAAAUCUCGAUAAAAUAAUCCCAAAUUAGAUCUGAAAUAAAUUAAAACACUGUAAAAGUAUUUUAUCCCAAACCAGAUCUAAAAUAAAUUAAGAUACUAUAAAAAUAGAAAAUAAUGUAAUAUAUCUUUUGUCCAAAUAUAAUAAUUCCAACUUCACACAAGUUAAACAAAUUCAUUUAUGAUUAAGUGGUUAAUGCCUUUGGGGAAAAAAAUAACUUAGUUUAGUUAGAUAAAAUAUUUUUAUAUUUAUUAAAUUAUUUUUAAUUCAUAAACGAAUUAUCGGGUCAACCUCUCGGUGACCUGAAUUCAACUUUCUUUUUUUUUUUUCGGGUUCAUUAGGUUUGACUCGAUUCUGACCCCAACUCGUGUUAUCUCAACCCAAAUCCAUUAAUUUCGUGUUAAGUUUGUGUCAUGUUUUCAAAUUAUGUCGAAAAUUGCCGCCUCUACUUGCACCACAAAGUAAACUUCUUGCCUCAUUGAUGAGCAUGUCAUGACCUGUCGUCUAUUUGUCUCUUACCCAACACUAGUUCCCGUGUGGACAUAAAAUCUGGAUAAAGCGCAUAGGUAUGAUAUAUACUGACUUAAUAAUAGAAACGACAAUUGGAAUUAAGUGCGACUAACUAACUAACUGAACGUUCGAUUGUUGUGCUUUUUAUUGAAUAUAAUGUACAUUUAUAUAAUUAUAAAUUUGAUCGUACUCAUGAAUUUUAUUAAUGUACAUGUCAUUUCACGAGAACACACGUUCCACCGUUCAGUGUCGCUCCGAGUGCCGCCGGGCACUCUUCGCUUCUCAAUCCAAUAGCCACUAUUCAUGCUGGUAGGGCCGCGCUCUUCCGAGUGGCCAGUGGCCUUCGGCCACGUGGCAAAAAAUACAGCAGUCCACCAGGAUGAACAGUGGCUAUUGGGUUGAGCAGUAAACAAUGUCCGGCGAUGCUCGGACCGACACGUGGACGGUGAAAGGAGAAGAUCAGUUGUAUAUAGAAAAAGUAGACUGAUGAGAAUGAUUCCAACUCCACCGGGAAGCGGUAGAUAUAUAUAUAUAUAUAUGAUUGGUCUGUAAAUGCAAACGAAAUUGCGAAGAAAUACAAUAACUAAUCAAAAAAAAAUUGCACUAAACUCAACUAGACCCCGACUUGUACGAUUGUAGUAAUUCCCUGUAACAUAUGCAUUUCUUUGUUGGAUACAUUAUUAUCCCCACUUCUGCUUCUCUGCUAGUAGCAAGUCCAAGUGCCCAAUUUAUUUAUCAUGAUAUGCAGAAUGUUUUUCAAUGCAUUCAAUCAAAUCUCACGAUAUUGCAGUUAAUGAAUGAAUGUAGGCUCUCAACUUGUCUAGCACGUAGCUCUUCAAUCAACCAAGAAGGAUGCAUCCAGCCUGGUUUGUCUAGACAGGCAGGCUGAGCUUAAUGCAUCUUCUCCUCUUCUCAACUACCCAAAUCAGUAAGUAGGAUAACUAUAACCUUCAUUUUCAGGUUGACAAAAUGAUUUCAAAAAGUCAACUUUGCAUGUAGGAAUGUCCUUUCAAUGCCUACUUCUCAAUUUUGACCAACGAAAGGGUCAAUUGCGCCUGCUGUCCCAGAGAAAAUGACAGGUUCAGGGAGGGAGAGACCCUUAUCCUUCCGGAAGCUGUCUAGGUCCUACAAAGUACAAAGAGAUCGACAGCUACAUUAGGCCAAUAGCAAUACGGGGGCUGCAAAGAGGGAGACAAGAAAGUUCGAUAUUUUGGCAGAAUAUGCAGAUUCCAGACACAAACAAAAAUCCCAUCUUUAGAGAAGGUUCUCAUUUAGCAGCGAAACAGAUUUGCAGCUGUUCAAGGAAGAGUUAAAAGAUUAAUUUCUUGUUUUUUGGACGCAUCACACAUGGGAGUCUGCAGGAACUUGAGUUUCCUACUCCUUUUUCUGAGCUUGCUGCAGUUUCUUCAUCAUUCAUCCUCACAUCCUUUAUGCAUAGAUUCAAGUAUGUCAUGCUAGUAAUUCACUCUUCUGUUGAGCUGGAUUGAGUUUGUUCAGUUCUAAGAUGAUUUUGUUUGUUUCUUCUUCUGGUGUGGAAUGGAAUAGGUGCGCCCCUUCCUCAGAAGGUUCCUCUGUCAUUCUGCUCUUACAAUGGAACAUCAUGCUGCAAUUCUACUGAUGAUUCGCAAAUAAAGAAUCAAUUCAAAGCAAUGAACAUUUCUGACUCUAGCUGUGCUUCCCUUCUCAAAUCCAUCCUUUGUGCGGUAAGAACAUGUAUUAUUGCUCUUAGGAAUUUAAGCCAAUGCCUUGCUAUCAUUUACUUCCUCUCAAAGCGGGAUUUCUUAUCAUAUUGAAUUGACCAACCACAUCGAGAUUUAAGAUUCUGUUCUUAAACCAAAAAUACUGCUAUUGCUCGAAGCCAAGAGUUCGAACCUCAUAGGCUAUGCGAGCUGUUUCAGUAACAGUAAAUCGAUGAGUCUCUACAUUUAUUCUGUACUUUGUUUUUCUUGUUAUUGCUGAUCUUACAAGGAACAAUUUCUCGGGAUUGCAGCAGCUGAAUUGAUAUGUUUUAGUUUGAGUCUUGUCUGUAAAUUUCUAUUAAAUAAUCUUGAAAUUUUUAGAGUUGCCAUUCUUUGAAGUUGUCUUGUUUAUCAUACUUGAUGCAGUUCAUGGAGAGAUAUUGUUGUCUUAUCUUAAUUUGCAUGCUUUUUCCCCUUAAAAGCCUUUAAGUCUUGUUCGCAGACAAAUUAGGACAAAAACACAAAUUUCCAGUUAAAGCGAUAUGCAAAUAAUAAGAAUAGGUUCAUCUUAGAAUUCCCAAGUUCUAUAUGCUUACCUUUUUCAUUAACGUUCUUCUAUACUCGUAAAUUGUGGUAUCUCCAUCAUUUACAGAGAUGUGAUCAAUUUUCAGCAGAGUUAUUUAGGAUCAACUCCAGGCCUCAACAAGUUCCUGUGCUUUGCAACUCCACGGUCUUACCAAAUUCUACCCAAACAAGCCAAGCAGCAAAUAACUAUUGCUCUAAACUAUGGACUACAUGUCAGAAUGUGUCCAUGGUGAAUUCACCCUUUUCUGCCUCUGUACAAGGUCAAGCUGGAGGUGGAGUAAUGUCCAACUCUACAAAGUUGACUGAUAUUUGGAAGUCGCAAUCAGACUUCUGCAAUGCUUUUGGUAGAGCUUCUGAUGAAAAUUCAGUAUGCUUUGCUGGUGAACCUGUAAACCUUAAUAGUACCGGAACGUCAAUCCCUCCAAGUGGUUUGUGCCUUGAAAAAAUUGGAAAUGGUUCAUAUCUAAACAUGGUUGCUCAUCCAGACGGCUCCAACCGUGCUUUUUUCUCAAACCAACCAGGCAUGAUUUGGUUGGCCACCAUACCCAAACAGGGUUCAGGAGGUGUAAUGCAGCUUGAUGAGGCCAAUCCCUUUCUAGAUUUAACUGACGAAGUUACCUUUGAUACUGCAUUUGGGAUGAUGGGCAUUGCAGUUCAUCCAAACUUCUUAACAAAUGGACGAUUCUUUGCUUCGUUCAAUUGUGAUAAGACAAAGUGGCCUGCUUGUGGAGGAGAUGUGCUUGUAACUCGGAUGUGAACUGUGAUGCUUCACAACUACCUCCUGAUAGUGGCUCCUUUCCAUGCCAAUAUCAAAGUGUAGUAGCAGAGUUUACAGUUAAUGGUACCGCAUCCCAGCCCUCCUUGGUAUGUCUCAAACAGAACUAUGCUUUCUGCCCAUUACACAUCUCCUCCAUAAUUUAACUAGAUUUCAUGCUUCUUAUUUUUUACAGGCAAAAACUGCCCAACCAUCAGAAGUUAGAAGGAUAUUUACCAUGGGUCUUCCCUUUACGGCCCAUCAUGCAGGCCAGAUUCUUUUUGGGCCAACAGAUGGAUAUUUGUACUUCAUGAUGGGGAUGGUGGAAAUUCAGGCGAUCCAUACAAUUUUUCACAAAACAAGAAAUCCCUACUCGGGAAAAUCAUGCGGCUUGAUGUUGAUAACAUACCAAGUAAGUUGUUAUGAUACAAUUUCCACAUGUUACUUAGUUCAUCAAGAUCAACCAUUAGGAUAUCCUGCAUUGGAGUUUUCUUCAGACAAAAAAUCAGUUUUCACAGUUGCACAUGCUCCAUAUCUAAAUUGCUAGCCAAAGAGCAUCUACCAUGUCAAUUGGUCCAAUUACAACAACUUAAGAGGAUCAAUCAUUUUCUUACUGCGAAGUGCUAGUCCCAGGUCUGAUACUAAUGUCUUAAUAGCAGACUUGUUAUGUUUGGUUGUUACCAGAAGUUUUAUCUGCUAUGUUCUUCCCUAUACAUUUGCAGAAACAACAUGGUACCACUAGUCAUGAUUAUUUUUUAACUUUUGCUUCUUCUUCUUCCCUCAUAAUCAAUUAUUAACAUUUACUGGCUGUGCAAGCUUAAACAAUAUGCCUACAUCCGUAGCAUGUACAGGUAAUGAGCACACCCACCAGUCAAAAUUUUCAUAAGCCUCUUGUAACUUAGAAAUUACUAAUGCAUGCUUCAAUAGCACACCUUAACAUCUACAGCAUGUUUGCCUACCAGUCAGAAUUUAGACCCCGAAGCUUUUCCUUCCUAUUUGGCUGUUUUUUGGCAUUCUCAGGUUGUAUAGAUUUUUUUUUCAAUUAAUUCAUUUGCCUUCAAAAGCAUCACAAUCUUUUUAAUUUAAGUUGCUAUUUAGUAUUCUUCUAUACUCAGCCUUUGAUGCUUCAAUAAGAACAUUUAGAAUAGAAGGCAAUACCUGAUUACUGCCUCCCUUCAAUCAUAUCCUUUUGCUGUGCAUCAGGUGCCGCAGAAAUCAGUCAGCUUUCUCUAUGGGGAAACUACUCAAUCCCCAAAUAAUCCUUACACUGAAGAUAAAGAAUUGCAACCAGAAAUUUGGGCCCUAGGCUUCAGAAAUCCUUGGCGUUGUAGUUUUGAUUCUGUGAGGCCUUCUUAUUUCAUGUGUGCUGAUGUAGGCCAGGUAUUGUCGAUUCUCAGAAGAAAAAAUCUGGAAUUCUAUGUUUGCUCUACAUUGUCAAGGUACCUACAAAUCCUGUUUGUGCUAUGUGAUGCACAAUGGUGCAUCUUUCCAAACUUCUUAUUCAACCUUGAGUGAAGAAUAAUAUGAAAACUUUUUUCCACCAUACUGAUGUUAAUCAACAUCUAACUGAUUAAACUUACCCUUAUGUCACUUGGAUUUAUACUUUCCCGUUAUAAAAAUUUUUGUAUAUUAGAACCUACGACACUAAGUAAGAAACCAAGAAGCUAAGAUUGCUGCAGGGUGUUAUCAUUUCUGACUUCUAUCAGGUAAAGCAUUUCUUUUAUUUUCAUUGAAUCUAUGCUUAUUCAACUGCUGAUGCCUUCUGCAAAUUGAUUAAGAGAUCAUAUCGAAAAAACUUGGUGGAAACAUAUUGAUGAGCUAUCAGUCAUAUUCUAUAUCAACGUAUCACGUAAUGAUCCUGGUUUUGAGCCGGUCAACUUUGAAUUGAUAUUUAUACGUUCUUCAAUGCUUGAGAUAUUAACAGCUUGGUGUUUGGAUAUAAAGCAUUGGAAGCUUAUUACUAUACAUUACUUCUUUCAUAUCAGGAUACGUAUGAAGAAGUGGAUCUGGUCAUGAAGAACGGAAACUAUGGAUGGCAUGUGUAUGAGGGCCCUAAUCUUUUCAAUCCUCCAAAAUCACCUGGAGGAAAUACAUCAGCAAAAUCUAUGAACCCCAUUUUCCCCGUGAUGGGAUACAACCACUCAGCUGUGAACAAGAAUGAGGGCUCAGCAUCAAUCACAGGAGGAUAUUUCUACCGAGCAGAGACUGAUCCUUGCACAUACGGAAUGUAAGUAUGUCAAAUUUGUCUUGGAAAGAUGAAUAUAUAUUUGAAAUCAGCACAUUGAGAGAGUAAAAGGAACAAAGAGUUCAGUAUGACAUGGUUGAUGCAGAAUUUGCAAUCACAGAGGGGAGUUUGAAUUGUUGUUAGUACAAUCUCCUCAUGGAAUACUCUCUUAUCAAUUGGCUUCUUAUGAUGAUUUUGAUGUUACUGCAGGUAUCUGUAUGCAGAUCUUUAUGCAGGAGCUCUGUGGGCUGGCAUUGAAAGCCCUGAAAACAGUGGGAACUUUACCUCCAACCUGAUCCCCUUUACUUGUGCUCAUGAUUCACCUAUAAGUUGCACCUUUGUACCUGGAAGUACACUUCCGGCAUUGGAUACAUCUAUUCCUUUGGUGAGGAUAACAGCAAGGAUAUAUCCUUGCAAGCAGUGGUGUCUACAGGGUUGUUCCUCCAAGUCGGUGUAAGUACACUUGUUCAAAAGAAAAUACCACAGCUGAGGUGACUACUGGUCCUGCUCCAUCCCCUCCUUCGGUGCAACCAAGUUAACCAAUCCAUAUGUGAAUUUGGUGUCCUUACUUGUAUCCCUUUGGUUGCUUUGCUUAUUAUAGCAUAUUUGCAGUCAUCUUUUGUGUUACGUGGAGAGAUGAGUUGGGCUGCUUUUUGGUUUGAGAGGACUUGUGAUUCUUCUUUGAUUAAUCUGUGUUCUUGCUUUUGGAUGAUUCAUUUUUCUGAGUUUGAUUGGAAUUAAGUUAUUCUAUGAGGUUCAAAGCCCAAUCCUUUCAAGAGUAAAGAUUCAUUAUAGUAAAGGUUCUAGUCACUUAAAACAAAAUUUUCAUGUAAUGGUUCUAGUAGAAUAAAUUGUUGAAGAUUCACAAAGCUGGAUAUCCAGAACUAAUAUCUUGAGACGCAUAUGUUCAAGAUGUUAUAGUGUAUAAAAAAAAAUCCUUACAAUAUCAAUCAACACAAUGUGUUGCCAAAACCUUGUUUUACUUGUUCUAACUUCUAAUGAGCAAUUCAACCGGUGAGAGUCCUCCCGCCCCAAUUCCUGUGCUGCCUCAGAUGAGGCUAGAAGCCUCAAACUUGCAUGGUAUCAUUGUCAAUUUUUUCCUCCAUUAGCAAGGCAGUAAGAGGGACGAAUUAAACCAAUCAAACAAAAACAAGAAGAAUGAGCAACAAAGUAAUCUUGUCAUUUCUCCAACAGAGUUAUCAAAAUUGACAGAAGAAACAGUCUUUUCAGAUAGACCUGCAGAGUUGUAUGGAGCUGUCAAAAAAAAAAAGCAAAAAGAAAAAGAAAACUACUGAAGAAGUACCUGAAGUAGCAUAUGCGCGUACUUGUUUACCAAGUGCUGACAAAGAUUAAAAAAAUAAGAAAGGGAAUUGCGGAUUCACCUUUGAGAAGCAAAUUGCAACCUACAUUAGUGCUAUUACGACAAGAGUUGUCAGGCCAUGAUGACAUUGAAGUUGCAGUUCUAGUGUUGCAGAGAGAUGAUACCUGCUUUGGUAGCUUGCUUAAAUUGAAUUUACUAGCAGCUAGCAAAAUAGGUGCCAUCUCUUCUGCGACAUCAGAACUCAAACUCUUCCUUACCUCAUCUAGAUUUCCCUCAAGUAGAAACAGUACUGCUAAACAGCUACAAAUUGGAUUAUGCUCCCUUCCCUCUUCCCUUCUGGUGACCUUUAUAAUUUCCUUGUUCUGCUUCUUUUGUUUCUGCAUCUUCCGUUUUAGGACAUAAGCAACCUCUUGUCCUUGUCCUGAAGGCUGAAACACGAACGACAGCUGGCUAGCCCAACCUGGUAAAGAGAAACUUUUUCAAUUUGAAUAUUGAAAAGGGGCAAAUCAAUUGAGCAUGCUGGCUGGCUACAGUGUCAACACUUUUGUACGGAACGAUACCCAUGCAGGAAAUCUUGUUUUAACUACUACUUCACAAAAAAAGAAAAUUAGGAAAGAUAUGUUUCAGGAGAGGCAUCUGAAGCAAUACAAGACUAAAGUUACUGCAAUGAUCAUAUGCAGAAUGGAGUACAGAGAGAGGUAGCUUUUGAGUUGAGAAUGAUGGAACGAAAAUGGCACUUGGAAAAAGUUAGGAGCCACUAAAAAUGUGGGUUGCUUUAACUGAAGCAUGCUAAUCAUACUCAUGCAACAGUUCCAACCAGAUAAAAGUAGUACCACGUAUCCCAAAAGAACAAUUAUUAUUAUUGUCUGUUCACUGUUUGCAAUUUGCAUAAAGAGAAUAUUGCACCUUUAUGAGUUCUUGCCUGAAUUUUUUUCUUUUUCAACUUAUGUAUUAUCGGCUUCUAAUUUUGUUUCUUUUUUAUUCUUUUAUAAGGUUCUCAGAAGUGUAUAAACUCCUGUAUGAUGUUCCCAAGUUCAAUGUAAAACAGCAUGAACAGAUGGAGGGAAUGAUGAGGAAAUCAUGUUUAUAGUACAUAACAGGUUAUACCAUAAAUAGACAAGAAUCUUUCACGCCCAAACAUGCAACCCCCAAUUAAUUUCCUCGCAUCCAACUUGAAAUACACUAUCAGCCAGUCAUGGCUCUCUUAAGCAUCCAACAAUAAUGGAAGUUCCAGGUCCUAAUAUCUUGAAGGUUUGACUAAUUAAUAACUUUUACACUUCACAAACUGGAUAAGAACUCAUGAGAUGAAAUUUCUCCAAGCAAGCAAAUAUAGUGAAUCAUUCAUCUCAAUUUGUCAUUCAUUCAAAGCCCACGUAUUAACUUCUUCUAGGGUUAUAUAGACACAAAAGUAGGAAAUGAUAUACUUUUAUUUGUGAAAUCGUACAAGUAUAUCUACAUGUAAAAUAUUUAUUAUGAUCUUCUACACUUUACAUAAUAAACCUAUACUCUAAUCUCAGCUACACUAACCCCAUUCAGAUAAUCGAGAGUUUUCACAAAACUAACAGCAACCACUACAAUUAAUUUUUCACCGAGGAUUAAUAAAAGGCUUUUCUAAUGGUUUAACUUAGCAUAUUAUGUUAAUAGUUGAUUUAUCACUAUGUGGUUAAAGACUUGAGAGACUGAGAAUGUCAGUGGGAGCUUUAAGUCGGCAAGAUUCGGACUGUUGCAUAAUAUAUAUAUAUAUAUAUAUAUAGAGAGAGAGAGAGAGAGAGAGAGAGAGCAAUGCUACUCUAACUGAAAUGGGCUCCAAUUGUUGGCCAUCUUAGUUAUGCAAGGCUUUUGUUGUUUCUUGUGAAGUGACCCAACAACUUGCACAGAGUCUUGAAUUUGUGUCGAGCUUGGAGCGUAGUGGGACGUUUCUACAUAUCUAGCAGAUGCCCUACUCCUACUUAGGAUGAAAUUGGGCGUUGCCCAACCGUGGGCCUUUACUGGAAACUCUCAUUGCUUCAAUCUUCGAAAAAAUGACAGGAAAUAGUUAGUUUACUACAUGUUAACAGUCCAAAUCGUGCCGUAUCAUUUCAAACAAUUCAAGUCGUUCAUUUUAAUUCCUUUAAUUUUGAUGUAAAUAAUCUAGGUAGACCGAGUCGCUUGGUUUCUUUCAAGAUUGACACUAUUGGACGAUUGCACCUGCAAUCACACAUGCCUCCUAUACUUCAUCAAGCAAAAACAUUUUUGUAGUUGUUAUCAACUAACUAUGAUCCCGUUUGAAACCUAAGUUUUUCAGAAGUUUGUCUAAAAUUUUACUGUAGUGCACUAUAGAAGUUUUUGAAAAAAUUUUUUAAGAUGAAAAACUUUUUUUUUCUUUCCUUUUUCUUUUCUUUUCUUUCUCUUCUUCUUCUUUUUCUUCUUCCUUCCCUCUAUCCCUUCCCUCCCCCGUUAACCUUUGCCUCCGACGAACCAGCAACCAGGGUCCUACCAUAUUUUUUUCUUUCGUUUUCUCUUUCUCUUUCUUUUUCUUUCUUUUCUUUCCUUCUCUUUUUCUUCCUCCUUCCCCCUGGCCUUUCCCUCCUCCGUUACCUCUGCCUCCGAUGAACCAGCAGCCUUGUUCAAAAUUUUUUUUUUCUUUUUCUCUUUCUCUCUGCUCCCCUCUCCCCCUCUACUCCGCUUCACCUUCCUCCUCUCCCACUCGAAGUUAGAGAACCAGCAGCCAUGGCACGCACAAUUUUUUUUUCUCUCCCCAUCUUCUCCUCCUCUUUUCCAUCUCCCUUUUUGUGCAAUGGGUUAUUAGAUUGGGUUCAGGACCGUCGGCGAAAGUUAGUUGCCGCGGGUUGCGUCGGCGGUACGUGGCUACCGUGGGUUGCGUCGGCAAUCGUGGCUGCUGUGGGUUGCGAGGAAGAGAGAAUGGAGGAAGCGAUGGGUGGCAUGCGGUGAGGGUUGGACAACGAGUGUUGGUGGCCGAGGGUUGGCGGCGACUGUUCAACGUUGGUGGGGAGGGUGGCCAGGAAGGGGAAGGGGAGAAGAGGGGAGAGGGGAGGGAAGGAGAGGAAGAGGGGGAGAGGGAGAGGGAGAAAGGAAGAAAAAAAAAAAGGAAUGCCGGCACCAGAAUAGGUGGCGGCGGCGAUGGCCGGCGGCGGAGGUGGUGGCCGCGAUGAUGGUGUGGUGGAUUGGGACAGGGGAGAAAGAAGAAGGAAAUAGAAAGUUUUUUGUGUAUUAGAUAUUUUGAAGUGUGUAGGUUAAAAAAUUUGAUAAGUUUUUUUGAGUUUCUGUAGCAAAGUUGUUAAAAACUAGUAGCAAAAAAACUUGGUAAAAACUAGACUUCCAAACAGGCCCUAUUGUUUGGAUAGUCUAUAUUGGCAACACAUUUUUUUUGCUAAAACAUACAUCUACCAGUAAUCCUUCCUAAACACCUCAAAAUAAUUUGAAAUACAAAAAAAGUCACACACACAAAAACUACACCUACAACACCCUCAUUACCAACCACCCUUAUCAUCCUCCACUUUUUCCUAUCACUCUUCAUUUUUCUUCUCACCAACCGCUCCUUUUUUUUUGCCAAAAAUGGUAAUUGUCAUUUCACUAAAAAACUUGUUACAAAAUUCAGAUCAACUGCUUUGUCCUGUCUUUCUUGCUGACAUAUUGAGCCAAGUUGGGAAGUCUCUUUCCCAGGUUACAUUAGUGAUCAAGUUCAUGGCGAAUUUGCCAACAUAUGACUAACUACAUUGCCUAUUCUUCUAAUGAAAGAAAAAUGACAAACACAAACUCGUUCCAUAGCUUUAUAAUAUCCUCCAAAACUGUAGCACAGUUGACAUCCUCAACUGAGUCUUCUUGUAGCUUCCCUAUUAUAGUUUUGCAAUUUGACUGGAUCUCUAUUUCUUCCAUCCUUUCUGUUUUGCUUUUAUCAAAGCCAUUUGUAUGGCUAGUGCUUUCUCCACCACUAGUACUGAGAGAUAUUUUUUGGCAUUGCCCAUGCCAUGAUGAGCUUUCUCUCAAAUUUCUAGCUACUAUACCCCAUCCAACUUUUUCUUUUGAUUUUGUACUAUUGCAUCAAUGUUAAUUCUGUGCAUCUUUCCCUUGAUGGUAUCCACCUUUUAUCUUCUUCCUUUAUUUCACUACACUCUUCUUGAUCCAUUGUAUCUGAUUGCACUUCCUUAUACUCUAGCCAUUCUGAUAAAGCUUUAUUGAUUUGAGCUAUUGGUUGCUUCUUUAGUGUGUUAAACUGGAACUCAUUUUUGCCUUCCAAAUCUGCCAUGGUAUGUUAUUGUUAAGGCAAUAUGAUCAUACCCAUCUUUUCUCUGAGUUACCGCUAUAAGUUCAUUCCACCAGUGCCAGAAGUUGUCUCUGUGCUUUUCCAGUCCAUCCAUCUUAUUGGAGUACAUUUUUAUAUUGCCUCUGCAUUUUCACAGUAGAAAAGCAUGUGCUCCAAUGUUUCCACUUGGUUGCCACAACAUUUGCACAUUGGUUCUCCUCUUCCUGUUCUGGUCUUGAUUACUCCAUUUAUAGGUAGGAUUCCUUUUAGGCAUUUCCAUAUAAAGUGGUUCAACUUGUGUUUUACAUUCAUUCCCCCACAGAGUUUUCCAUAUUCCUGUUUGAUUCUCAUUUCUACUGUUGUCCCCACUUCUGGUAUUUCUUUUCCCCUUAUUUCUCUUUAGUUCCUUGGCCACCAUAUAUACUAUGUAUACUCAAAUUGUUGAGUGAGCCCAAUAGAUCUCAUCUUUUUUUCUCCCUUGCUCAUCUAGAUCAGAUUGGGACUAGGGGUGUGCAAAAUCGAAAAAUUCUGAUUUACCGAUCGAAUUCGAAUUGAAUUCAAAAUUUUCGAAAUCGGUAAAUCGAAAAUCGGAAUCGAAUUCGGGUUUUCCGAAUUCAUAUAUUGCAAAUUUGGUUCUUAUUCGGUAAUGGAGUUUUUCAAAUCGGAAUUUCCGAUUUCAAAUUCACAAUUCGAAAUCGGAAUUCGAAUUUCGAUUUCGAUUUCAAAUUCGUUUUUAAUAUAUAAAUAUUUUUUUUAUACACGUAAUAUAAAAUUUAUACUAUAUAAUAUUAUAUAAAAUUUAUAUAAUAUUAUAAAUUUUAUCUUAUAUGAUAAAUUUUGUAUUAUAUAAUAAUAUAGAAAUUUUUUCGAAUUCGGUGAAAUCGGAAUUUACCGAAUUCGAAAUCGAAUUCGGUCGAAUUAUCAGACACUAAAAUUUCAAAAAAUUUUGAAUUCAAACUUUCGAAUUAUCAAUUUCGAAUUCGAUGCACACUUGUAAUUGGGACUAGGCAGAGGGAGAUCAGGAUAGAGGGAAGAGAGAAAGGGAAGAGAUAAGAGGGAAAGAAGAGCAGAGCAAGGGAAAUAUAAGAAAAAGAAGAAGGAUGUAGUGGAAAAUAGAGAGGAAGAGGAGGUGAGGAAUGAAUGAAGAAAAUUGGUAGAUGAAAAGAGAAAAAGAAAGAUGGCAGGGAAGAAAAGAGGGGCGAGAGAGAGAGAGAGAGAGGUGGAGGCAUAAAAGUCAUUUUCUAUCAUUUCUGAAAACACACUCUAAAAGCAUGUUAAAAAAACUCCUAAAAAAUAAGAGUAAAUUUUAUAUGCACUGACGGUGUAUAUACACUAUCACAGUUGAAUAUAUAACACAUAUGCAAAAUUUGAAUUUCAAAUUCAAAUUCAGAUUAUGUGUCAUGCAUCUAAUAGUAAAAGCGUAUAUACUGUUAGUAUGUAAAAGAUUAAUCCAAAAAAUAAAGUCAAAAAUUUUAUUAAAACACACAUCUAUCCUUAAAGUUUAAUAAGAACGUCCUUAAAACACUUAAUUUAAACGGGCCUUAUGUUUUUUAAUAUGGGAAAAAUAUAUGUUUGGCUUUCAAACUAUUAAGUUUGUCAAACUUUUAGUAGUCCAACUAUUAUUUACAAAUUUUUAUUCCUUCAAUUUCUAAAAAUGUGUACUUCUAACCCUUCUAUUCAUUUGAACUGUUAAAACCCAUGAAAACUGUAUUACGCACAAUACACCAGCAAAAAAAUUGAAAGUCUAGUAAAUUAACAUAGUAAAAGGAAUGGUCCAAAAUUGAGUGGUUUUUAAUUCAAUGUAAAUAUGAUCAAAUAAAUUAUAUUUUGCAAUAACCAUGGUAUAAGAAGUUGAAUAGUAUAAAAUAUUAUAGAAUUUGACACCAAAUGAAUCUUAAGAUGGCCAAAAUGAUCGUGAGAGUGCUAAGUUAUGUUGAGAAAAAUUUUGAGGAUUUUGUGUCAAAAUUUUGUCAAUUUGAACUCUUAUCACUCCAGGAAAUAUUUUGAUAUAAAGUUUGAAAGAUUUGAUAAAGGACUUGUGGAGUAGUGGUAAAACUACAUUUGAUUUUAGAUCUACUCAUUUCUAUCAAGAUUUAGAGAAAACCAAACCCAGAUUUGGAACGUAUGCCAAAAAAUAUAGUCUAAAGAUAUAAUUUCAUUUAUAAAUUUUGACAAUAGUAAAAUAGUUGUCAAACAUUGGUUAAUGACAAUCAAUGACUAUUGACCAACAACUGGUAAUUGUAACUGUGACCGGACAUGAUUGGUCAAAAAAUGAUUCAAACUAUGUCUGUGUUAUAAGUUGGAAGACUAAAAAUAUACAAAUAAUAAUUGGACUAAAAGUGUAUAAAUUUAAUAGUUUGAGAACCAACAGAUAUUUUGCCCUAUUAAUAUAUAUAUAUAUAUAUAUAUAUUUCUAUAGUAACAAAACCUAAAAAUAUCUUACAACACUUUCAAAAUAUUUCAAAAACGAUUAGGGAUAACUAUGGCUCUGAUGGAUUCUAAGUUUUUGGAAAAUCUUAUAUUUCAAAUACAAUUCUACAAUAACAUUAAUUCAAAAACACUCCAAAAUAACCUAAAAACUCCCAGGUACAACUCACUUUAUAUUGAUAAAAAGAAUAAAAAUAAAAAUAAUAUAUCACCACCCAUUUCUUCCUCCACCACUACUCUCAUCUCUUACCGCUACUACUCUCAACUUUUCACUACCAUCACCCACAUUUUACCAUUUUCCUCAAUUACCACUUCUUUUCCUCUUCUCACUCAUCCCCCUCUUCCGUACCUCUCCUCUCCCCAUAUGCGAGUAUAUUUGAUUGUAGAGAGGGAGCGAAAGAGAUGCGGUGAGAGAAAGGGAGGAAGAAGGGAUGGAAAGGAAAAGAGGAAGAAAAAUGAAAGGAAGAAGGGAGAGAGAGAAAGAGUAAGCAAAGAGAGGGGCAAGAAAAAGAGGAAAGAAAGAAGAUAAUGAGGGUAAGAGUACGGGAGAGGAAAAUAAGGGAAAAGAGAAAGAGGGAAAGAGAAGAGAAAGAUGGAAAAUAAUAGAGAAAGAAAGAUAGAAAUGGGAAAGAUAUGUGACAACCUCACCUUCCCCUGAGGCGAACCAAAGGGGUUAGCGGACUGCCUGCCCAACUCUCGCCAGGACUAACGGAUCAGUUUACGUCGAUCUAAUACGUUCCGGAACAUACUAACGCGCGCAAACAAGUACAAAAUCACAAAAUAAAAAAACGAAAAUCGAAACCGACAAUGAACAGUACCGGCCACGUCAGAAUCCGGCCGGAAUCUGGCCGGAUUUCCGGCCGGAUACUGGGCCGAGAGCAACCAAGAAAAUUUCUUUUUUCCCCGCAAUCCGGCCGGCAAUCCGGCCUGUUUCUGGCCGGAUUCCUGGCCGGAUUGGGCCCUGUUCAUUCCGGCCAAAAUUUUUUCCUUUGCCAUUUGAAAUACGAAUUGAUCCGGAGUUCAACCAAACAUCCACCAAACAUAUAUAUACAUUGAAAUUUAACAUUUACAACCAAAUGGCAUGCCAAAAACCAUUCAUCAUGGAUAUACAUGUUCGGUUUGCCAAUCAAAAGAAAAUGAACCCAAUACACAUUAGGGUUUCAUUCAACAAGCUAAACAAAAGCCAUUUACACUAGCUCAACUUGGCAAUCGACUAUCCAAUCCAAUCCCAAAAGUAAUUAUAUCCCUGUAAGGAAAACAAAUGGAACGGGAUGAGCUUAAGCCCAGUGAUGUACUACCACAUAAGCAACAAAGAUCACUUAAGCAUAUCCUUUCAUUUCAAGUACACAAUUAAGGAAUAAAACAAAUCAGUAAAAGGAUACGGACGGCUCUCAAGAGCCCAUUUCCACGCUUACAUUCUUGAUCCAACCUCAUUGACCCUCCGUCAAUGUUUAAGAAUACCAACCGUAGAACCCACUUCACUUCCAUUCCUUCUACCCAACAUACCCCAACCGGGCCCGCACUCCAGACAGUAGCUUUUGGUGAUACUCGAGUACACCGGAAACAAGGGUCUCAUUACCACAAGAUUCCCAUUUCAGUCCCCGUGGCUAGUCAAUUUUCACGACCAAACCCUCGCUGGCUCGAUUCAAUUGACUACCAACGAGGUCGAACUCAGUAAUACAGUAGGGCCGUUGGAUACUUGUCCAGCCGACACCCAAACAGUUUCCCAUGAAUGGCAUUCAAUAUCUCAUAUAGCAAGUGCAGUAUUACAGUGAAACGAUAAGCAGUCAUUAACAGGAUAAAAGGGAUGAGGGCGGUCAAGUACACCCUCACCUUAAUCAUAUCCAAUAGCCAAAUAAGCCUUCAAGGCAUCACAAUCACAUAUAGCAAAGCCACAUUAUAAACAUUCAAGUGAGUAGUAUACUCACCAAUCAAGUAAAUGAUGUUUCAUGCACCGUCGUCAAAGGUACGUCGUGAACCACCGUCACGCCCUAGAACACAUAAAUGAGUACAAUGAGACUCGAUAACGAGUCAUAAAGCAAUACCAAUCACAACCCCAAUAGGGUUUCAUAAGCAUAUAUAAGCAUUAUAAGAAACCAGAAAAUCAGGAAAUGGGACUAACUAGCCCUGAAUAAAACAGUGUUUGACCUCAUUUUUGCGGGAAUGGCACUAAGGUCACUACGGUUGUCGGAUGAAAGUGUAAGACCACCGUUUCGAAGCUAAGAAACAGGGCUACAACAAUGUAGAAGGUCACUCAGUCCAAUUCCUAGCAUAACUAGGUCAAAUACGCAAGAAACUAAACCAGAACCGCAAUAACAGGUUUGCAAACUACAUUCUGCUGUAAUCAGUACAACUCAGUAUAUACAGGUCCAAAUUCAGAAAUUCUAAAGGCAUAUGGUAGCUAGGACAUCCAGCUACAUUUCAUCAGAAGACCUCAACAACCAAAUCCAAAGCAAUUCCAGCCAAAACAACUAAUUUCAGACGCAGUUCUUACAUUCGGAUGAAUCCAGAACAUCAAUAGUAAUUUUGACUUUUCUCACUCUACACUACUCCGAUUGACUUGAAAUUUUACAAGCACCUCUAACACAUCAAUACCUACAACUUUCAUGUUUUAAGUUAAGGCCAAUUCAGCCUCUAACCAUGAGAUAUAAAACUGGUCAGAAAUGAGGGGUAUGAAACCCUAACUUUCCAAAUUUCCUUCCAAACCCAAAGUUGCUUGCAAUUAACAAUCAUUUACACCUACUAGCCUCAUUCUAGGCCAUUGCCAAUUAUCAUACAAGGCCACACCAUCACAUUCAUAUAUAAACAGAAAAAUCACCAAUAAAUGGAAAAGGUCACCAAUUCAUCCAAAAUCAGGAAAUAAACCACAAAAUUCAUCACUUUAACUAUCACUAGGCACAAAUUAAGCUUCAUUAAGUGAAGGAGGUAGUUCAAUCACCACUCACCUAGCAAACAAGAGAGGGAGAGUUGCUUGACACCUUAGCUUCCCCAAACACUUCACCAAACAACUUACUAACACCAAAUAAAGAGGUUUUAUGAAGUAGAAACAAGUUUAGAUGGUUGAGUUAUUGGAUUGGAGCAAGAGGAAUUCAAGAAGUUGAAGAGGUUUUCUUCCUUUCUUCCUUAAGGUUGGCCGGCCACAAGAGCUUGAAAAUGAAGCAAAUUUUGGUAAAUUUUGAGAUAUUUAAUCAAAUGGUAAAACAUAGAAUAGUAAGUCAAAAGUUACAUCCACUCACAAGGUGACACUUGUCUCUUCCAUAAAUGCAUCUCUAUCCUUUUAUUUCCUCUCACAUCAAUCACAUCUCAACCUCUACUUAUCUCUUAACACCAGAUAAAUUUCACACAUUAUCCGAAACUUAACCUAAUCGGCCGAAUUUUUUCGAACUUUUCGCACUAGCGGGUCUCACGUCCGUUAUUUAUUCUUAAUUUUUCAAAAACUAUCCAAUACUAGAAAAAUCAUCUGAAAACUAUAAUUACUCAUAAAAUUCACCAGGAAAAUUUUCUUAAGCAAGAAAAUACAGAAAACAUGCCAUUAAAGGAGAAAAAUCCUAGGAAAAUUAUUAUGAGGAAUUACGGGUUCUCACAAGAUAGAUAAGAGAAGAGAAGCUGUUGGGAGACAGGUGAACAAAAGAUAUGGGUGGCUGUGAUAAGAAAGACAAUUUUUUUUUAAAAAAAAGUCGAUAAAAUUUUGAAUGUUAAAAACACUCUCAAAUAUAUCUACUGUGAAAGUCUUUAACAUACAAAAUUACAUUAAAACUUAUGAAAAACACCUGUAAAAAUAUCUAGUGCAUACGAAUCUCAUAGUUUUAUUGCUUAUCUACUUGAAUAAUUAACUAUGUCAUUGUUUUCAAUAAUAAAAAACACACUAUUUUUUAUAUUAUUAGGAAUUUAUUCUGUUAUUGUGUAAAGUGUGAUCGUGUUUUCUAAUAAAAAUGAGAUUGUAUAAUUAGAUACUACCAUUUUUAGGUAUUUUUGUACAUACAAAAUGAGGUAUGAAUAUAGUUUGGAUGGCAAUAGGGCAGAGUACUCUUCGCGUCUCUGUCCCGCUUAAAAAAUUCAACUUCCAUCUAUCAUUCUCUCUCCUUAAAGCUUUUAAUGAAUAAAUUGUUCAUGAUUAGGUUCAAUUUUGAAAAAAGUUCAAUCAUAUAAUAAAUGAAUCGAGUUUGAACACAAGAUUAAACUCAUUUAAUAAUUGAGUCAAACAUGACCUAUACAUUAACUGCUCAAAUAGAUUCAUGAACACAUAUAUAAUUAUAAAGAAUAAAUAAAUAUGAGCGUAAAUGCCUUAUAUAUUAUUAAAUAUAGGGAAAUAUAUCUUGUAUUUUUUUCCUCAAAAAUAACUAUACAUGAAACUUGUGUAUUAUUUAUACUUCUAAAACAAAAUAAUUAAAUUAAAUUUAUUCUAAAUCAUGUAUUAUUUUAAAAAAUAUAAUUAUAUCAUUUUCAAACUCAAAUUUGAACUUGAACUCGAGCUGGAAUUCAGCUCGUUUAGUUUGAACUCAAAUAUUUAUACAAAUUAACGAAUUAAAUUCGAACACCACUUAUUGUAAUGCCCAAAACCCAUGAGUUGGCCCAAGUAACUUUUGAAUUGAAAUCACGAGAACAAAAUGGUUAAUCCAAGUUAUUAGUAACCUAAUGGAUCAAAGAUUAUAUUUCAUUCCUUUUCUUCCUUCAUUUCAGAUGUGGGACAUUUCACUCACCCCAUCUUUGGAACUUUACAUUCUUGCAAAGUUUGGUUGUAAUUCAAAUUGUCUAUUUAGUUGUGUAUGAACUCUAGAUGUGGCUCAUAUGGGUUAUAAAGAUAACCCCAUUGAACGUGACACUUAGCUGUAUGCCACACUUAAUUUCUUGCACUUCUUUACGUAAUCAAAACCAUAACAUAACACCACUUGGUCCCAAGUUCAUUAUAUACAGAGACCAUGCGAGUUUUACUCUGAUAUCAUUGGUGGUGCUCCACGCCUAUUGGUCCAAUAACUUUUUGAAGUGGUGAUUUUAGUUCAAAAAGUUAUUGAACCAUGCCAAUGGGCCCAAGACAUUACACUUGUAGUUCAUAUAAUAUUCAAUCAAAAUUGAUCCUUGUUUAUAUAAUAUACUAAUGGAGUGUAAACAUUAAAAUUUCGUCUUGAUUUGACUCGUUAAAAAUUUUAUUCCCACCUACUUAAUUCCCAUAUUUGCUAUGCUCUUAUUUGACAUGUCUUAUAUUAUGAUUGAGUGCUUGCUUUGGGUUUUUAUAUCUCAUAAAAUUCAUUUAUCAAUAGUAAGUAUUUUUUUAAAUGACAAAAUCCCUGCAUCUUCUCCCUCCUUCCCUACGAUUAGAUCUGAUUGUGAGGAGGGAGGGGAGGGAUGUGGAGAGGGAAAGGAAGAAGGAGAAGAAGGGUGCGGAGAAAAGAAUAAGGAGGGAGGUGAGGGAAAAAGGGAAGGGAAAGGGAGAUAAAGAAGAAAGAGAGAAGGAGAAGAGGGAGGGAAGGAGAAAUAUAUAUAAAGGAGAUAGGGAUAGAAGAGAAAGCUGCGGGAAAGGGGAGGGAGAAAGAAUAGGGGAGAAAAGAGGAAGCAAGAAGGGAGAGAAUGAAAAGGAGAGGGAGAGAGAGAGAGAGGAGAGAAGGAACUACUGAUGGCAUGGAUGAAAGACGAAUUUUUUUAAAAAUAUCUCAACAAAAUUUUAAAUUCGAAAACACUUCCAAAUAUAUCUACAGUGAAAGUUUUUAAGAUCCAAAGUUAUAAUAAAAAUUUUUCAAAAACACCUCUAAAAAUACCUAUUCCAUUCAAACCUUAUAGUUCUGUUACUUAUCUACCUUCAACAAUUACCUACAUAAUUGCUUUUAAUAAUAAAUAAGAUGGUAUUACCGAGGCAUUUAUUUUUCAUUUGAGUGAAGUGCAAUUGUGUUUCCUACUAAAACAUAAGAUGGUAGCAUCUACAUUGUUAGGUUUUCAUUGCAUACAAAUUGAGGCACAAAUCAUAGUUAUGAAUGGCAAUAAGGUGGGAUGCCCUUAGUGUCUCCGUCCCACCUAAAAAAUUCAACUUCCAUCUCUCAUUCUCUUCCCUUAAAGCUUUUAAUGAACAAAAUUUUUUGCAAUUAGGUUCGAGGUCGAAAAACUUUGAUUAUAUAAAAUAUGAAUCAAACUUGAACACAAGAUUAGGUUCAUUUAAUAAUUGAGUCGAACACGAAUUAGUUUGCAAACUGUUCAAAUAGGAUCACGAACACAUAUAUAGUUAAAAAGAAUAAGCAAAUACAAGCAUACGUACCUUGUAUAUUAUUAAAUAUAGGUAUAUAUAUAUCUUGUAUUUUCCUAAAAAAAUCAACUAUGCAAAAGUAUUCAAAAACUCAUUCAUGAAUAAUCCGAGUUGGGUGCUUGUUUGUCAUAAAAUCAUUCAUCCAUAGUAAGUAUUUUCAUUGAUGACAGUAACUAUUGACAUAACUUCAAACUCAUUCCAAAACUUGUUUAGAGUGGAUUACUGUAAUAUGUCAUAAGAUGUCAUAUGCAAAAGUAUUCACAAAAAAAAAAACAUAUCCUUGAUAAACAAAUAUUUUAACACCAUAUCGAUUAUUGAAAAUUUAUUAAACUUACCCUCUAGAUUUGGGAUUACAUUAGACUUUCCAAUCAUCAUGAGUACCUAUGUUGCCUAGGUUGUGUCUGUCCUUACUACAUCCACAUAGUUAUAUCAGUUUACAUCUCUCAUGUGGGAAGCUGGCUGUAUUACUACAUGCCAUUAGAUGUCAUGACCACUCCGGUUGACUGAAAGAAUUGCUGACCCAAGUUUGUCUGACUCCCAAAGGUCCAAAUUCUCCUAAAGUAAUUCCGGUGCUACUAAAACUACCCUCCAUCCACUAAUACGGCCUCGUUUACUUGUAUGUAGGAGUCCUUCCAAGUCGCAUCAUUCGGUCAUCCACACCUUGGCCCUUCCCUUGCAGUCCCUAUUCCUGUUCCCAUUCUCCACUCUCUUUCUUUUCACCUUAUCUGUCUGUGCCUUUCUCACCUCCUUAAUCCUUAAUCAUCCACAUUUUACACCACCAAGGAAACUGAUAUCAAUUCACAGUUCAGAAACACCCCAACCCCCACCCACAAAAAACCCCCCAGACAGGACACAACACAGCACCCUUUCCCCCAAAACACACACAACACGCACUAAAUUCCAUUUUUGCCCCCUGCCUACUUGAAAUUUACUUACCCUUUACCCUUCCCUUAAGUCCCCUUUACCCUUAAAACAAGAAAAAAAACCAAAAGGAGAAGAAACUACUGACAAAAAAUUCCAAUUGCCCUCUUCAAUUCUUUUCCACCCUUGCCUUUGCCUUGGGCCUUUGUCCUUCCCCCUUUUCCAAUUUUUCCUCUCUUUUCUUCUCUCUCUGAUAUAUAGACGCAACUCAGGAGAAAAGCCCCCCCUCCCCACCCACCUAGUAUUACAAAAAUUUAGUUUAUGCCCUUCCCCAAGUCCCUUAAUCCAUUCUCAUUAGUUUUUCUAUAUGCACUUUUAUGUCUGAUGGUCAUUAGUCCGUUUUAGCUUCUCCUCCGCCUUCUUCUUCAUCAACAUACAUCAACAGUGACUUGGUAUUAUCUUGGGAUUUAUUUCUUUCUUUUUUUACUGAUACAGAUAUCUUUCUUGAUGUUACAAUCUUUCUUUGAAAACCCCAAGUGUUUGGUUCAAUGCAAGUCCAUGAUCUCCCAUGUAACUCCUCCGUAGCUAAUCCCCUCUCCGAUCCCCACUUCUCCGCCACCGCCUCGGUCGUAGCCAUGGCCACCGACCCGCAACCCUCCUCCCCUUCUCCGAUCCAUUCCCCAAAGCACCACAAAAUUUCCCAAAAUAACGGCAAAAAAUCCCAAAGUAACAAGAGCCCACCUCCUCACCACAAUGAUACAGUUGUUAACUCUUCUGCAACUCCCAACGCCAGUAACAACAAUAAUACCAGUAAUACUAGUAACAACAAUAACGGUAAUAGUAAUAGUGUUGUAUUUAGGAGAGAGAGGCCCUCCAGGGCGUGUACGCAGCGCGCGGCCGCCAGGAUGCAGGCUGCGGCCGCUGCUGAGGCUGCUGCGGCCGAGGCAGAGAAGAAGCAGAAGAAGGCAGCUUUGAGGAAGGAGCGACUGGCAGCCCGGUUGCUGAGGGAGGAAGUGGAGGAGCAGGAGGAGGAGGUGGAGCAGCAUGGAGAGGAAGAGGAGGAAGGCGAUGAUUCCCCUCUGGGAUCAUCGAGGAAUCAGCAAUGUAGUAAAAUUGUGACCCCUUUAGUGGGGGAACCGGAGCCCUCGCAAUUGCCGCGGUGGAACAUUCGUGGGAUGUGGCAGUUGGCUUCUAUCUUGAAUUUUUUGAAUGUAUGUCAGCUUGCAUAAAGUUGAAGUUUUUCUGAAAGAAGAUUGGAAUUUUCUUUUUUCCAGAAGUGAAGCUUUCGUGCCUUCAAGGCUAAUGGGUUCUGGCUUCUCUUAGUGACAAUUGUCUGUUCUUUUUCUUUUUCUUGGCGUAGGUUUUUAGGCCUUUAUUGAAUAUUAAAGUGGAGUUUUCAGCAGAGGAGUUCGAAACAGCUCUCAUUACGCCGAAUAAUACUCUUGGAGAGAUUCAUAUUCCGUUAUUGAAGGUUGGUGCAUUUUGUUGUUUGGAUGAAAAGCUUGUGCCUUUUAUCCAACUUGAGUUUUUGCGUGAAUUUCUGGUAAUUCUGGCCCUUGUGGCGAACUUAUUUUGCAUAAAAAUUGCUAGCCUCUUUUUUUCGUUGGAACUCUGGUAACAUUUAAUAGUAUAAAUUCGUCCAGUGGUGUCUUUGGGAUACUUCAUUUAGUUUCAGAAAUGCAUUACCCUACCUGUAUUUUGGUCGAAUGAAAAUCUUUUCCUUGGUGGAAUGCAAUGUUGCAAGAUGGGUAGCAACUAGUCAAAUUGAUUGUAGGAGCUUUAUAUCUAUGGCUUAUAAGCAAUCAAGUCUCAGAAUUAUGUGUGGGCAUAAAUAAUGCGAGGUAUUUCAGUUGCUUCUUUAAGUACCACAAUUCCGGUAAAUCAUGCCAUCUGAAUAACAAAGUUUGUUGCUUUUUUUGAAGUUUUAAAUUUGUGGAGGUCAUAGGUAUGGUGAAGAGUUUCUUAGCAUGUAGCUGUAAUGUGGAGAAUCAGAUUGGAAUUACCUCUCAUGGUUAGGUCUACUAUGGGGCAAACUAAAAAAAAAAUUCCAGCCAGUUACACAGACAAUGGAAUGCACAUUUGAUAGGAAAGUUAGUUUUCUUUUAGGACAUUGUGGUGAAUAAUAUUGAGAAUCUGCUCCAUAACCUGUUACAGAGCUUAACAACAUAGGACGGAAAUCUACAGAAUACCUUUAUUGACUGGUAAAAAUGGAAAACAAUAACCUGAUAAAUUAUCAGCUCAUUACAAUUGGGGUGUGAACUAAAGGUGCUUUGUUCAUUUUCCUCCAGUUGUAGGUUUGGAUUCUUAGAAACUAAUUUAUUCCACUAGGAGUUGGAUACUUUUUAAUGCAGGAUAUUCCUACGUUUCAGUUAGAGCUUGAUUGUUUUACAUUUUAGCAGUGGACCUGGCUAUAUGUGUAUGCAGAAACCAGAGUCUAAAUAUAUAUAGUAUGGAACUAGUGUAGAGAUUGGAAGAGGAAGUCUAAGAAGGAGGAGAAUAGGAAGAGAAAGGGAGAAGAGAACCUUAGGUUUCUCAUGUAAUAUAGGGGAGUCGUUUUGAAACUCCGUGUUUCAAGAUGCUGUUACUUAUAGGGCAAUCCUGUGGCAAGUAGGUAGCUUUUUAAACACAUGGUGGCCAAGGUGGUCCACAGAGCAUCUUCUAUGGUGCCUGACCAUUGGACUUCCACCAAUUGCUGAUCAUUUGACUUCCUGCAUGGCUGUACCUUGAACUCUCAUGGCUGCCCCUUAAAAUCAUUUGCUUUCUUAGCCACCAGAUUCACUGUAUUUAAUUUAAAAAAAAAAAAAUCAUUUGGUGUCCAUUCAUGGCUGACCUGUGUUUUUCACCUUUGGUUGCUACUGUGGUGUACUUUUGAAAACUAGGCAGCGAAAAAUUUUCACCAACCAAGGCUGCUACAAACAGGCACGCAACUUGUGUGCUACCACUGCAAUCAGCAAACUACCAUGAAAUUAAAGUCCUAAAUCUUUUACAGGCUAAAAUGUAGGCAAACUUGAGUUUCUUUGUUAAGUUGUUUUUAUUGUUUUGCUGUCCUACCUCCUGCCUGAAAUAGUUGGUUGAUGUUUAUGCUCAUAAGAGAUUUAAAUGGGCUCAGUUGUCCUCAGAUUGAUUGGUUAUAGUUGACUUUUUGUCCUGCUUGCUAUUCAUUUUGACCGAACUUUUUGGUUUCUUUUGUGGUGUAUAGAUCUUUAGUAUUAUGGGCAUUGGAUCAUCUAUCUACUUCUAUCUUGUUUUUAACAACAGUUUGCCUGUUCUAAUUCAUCCUCCUGCAGCAUCAGGAUAAGAACUGCGAAUAUACCAUCUUUAAAUAUUUGUGUAGGAAGUAAGUGCCACUGGUUAGGAUAAGUAGUGGAUGACCUGGAUAAGUCUAUAUCUCAACUUAUUUAUAGAAUUCUAGAAUGUUAUUAUCAGAAUAAUUUCACUUGAAAGAAGCUAUGUAAGUCAUUGAUGAUUUGAGAAGCAAUAAGGGUAUUGCGAGGAUCAAAUAGCUAGCUAACAGAUGCAAAUACAAAACAAGGAAGUGAAUAAAGAAUUGGUGCUUUAAUUUGGACUUCAUUACCGGCUACUCACUUGUUUAUGUUCUCGUUGUUCAUUUGGUUUUUUUUCUUGAGCAGUAUGUAGAUUGUUAUUGCCCUUGUGGCAUUGAGAAUUUAUGUUGUUGAAGAUGAUUAUACCUAGAGAGACAUUAGAUUAAUGUCAUAUCUGCUGUGUCUUCUUAUAAUAUACUAGGAAUCUAGCAUCAGAACAUAGUUUAUCACAGCUUGAGAUGGAACUGUUGUUCAGUUUAAAUACUAACAAGUACAUAAUGCUACAAAUUGCUAAUAUCCCUAAAUGUUGUGGUGGUUUGUCUUUUGAGUAGUUGUUCUUGGUUAAAUAUCAAUGGCUUCUGACUCUUCUGGCAUGACUUUUCUUGUUAUUUUUGUUCUUUUUUAAUAUUAACUUGAUGAUUUUCUUCUUCCUUUUCCGGCGCAGCAUCCAGCCUUGACUCCUAAAGUGUCCUAAAAACCUCCAUGAUGUCAAAUGCAUUUAUUGUCCAAUAAGUAUUCAUGGGCGUGGAUAAAGUACUUUUCAAAGUCAAAAGUAUAUGUGGUCACAACAAAGUUUUACUUGUUAACAUGAAAUGCUUUGAUAAUCUUGGUGAAAUAAUGGCAUUAACUCAUAUAUUAUACUUUCUUAAUUUAUUUCCUCAGGCAAUUCCUCCUAUCACUCGAAUGGCCCUUGGACACAAUACAUGGGUUACAGUAUUGUGCAGAAAAUUACGUGAUUGGUGGCUUUGGGUAAUCUGGUUUUAGUUGCUUGAGCUGACUCAAAUACUGAAGUUGUUAAUUCCUCCCUUUUUCUGACAUCUUGGAGUGCAUUAUUUCAUCUCAGGUUGCAGAAGGAGAGCUACCUAUUGUUGCAUCUCAUGGGUAAGAAACUAUACAUCUGUAAAAAUCUUUGGUUAGAAGGAGUUUCUGCCUUUUUUUUUGUGGAAGAAGCACGAAUUUGCAUGUGUUUAGAUGUAAUCUUCACUGGUUUCAGGCUGAAGUUGAAGCAUAUAAUGCUCUAGAUCCUGCGGUUCGUGUAGUAAUAUUGAAAGCACUAUGUGAUAUUCGUGUUGAGGUAACAUUUAUGAUGGUUGACAUUCUAUUUCUUAUUUCUAUAGCUUCUGUUCCUGAGGUACUGGCUUUGAAAAAUUUACAGCAGGCUUUUUUUUCCCCUUUGUAAUUGAUGUACAUAUGCAUAAAAAUUCAGUCAUCCCUGUUACUGCUCCCUUGAGGGAGAAUGUUCUAGUGUUAAUUUUUUGGUCAACAUCUUGUGUUUCUAUAGCUAAUUGGCUGACAAUUUCAACCACACCCAUCAGACUGUAAGACUUAAAUUCUUAUGGUCUUUUAGAAAAGAAGAUAGAACAGUUAUGAACGGUAAGUUUGCAUAAGAAUUUUGGUGUUCGGAUGUCAUGGAGGCUGAUUGCUCCCUCAAAACCUAAGGAACAGUGCUGAGAUGCAAGAAGCACGUUAACACUUUGUCAUCUGCAUAUCUUUUUGUUCAAGUUUAAUGUUUUCUGUUAUGGAUAAUUGUAAGUAAUUGUUGUUUUAUUUUCAGCAAGAAGACAUCCGAAACCAUAUAGACAACUCUGUAAAGCAUGGUGUCCAUAUUUCAGCAUUUCGCAAAGAAAGAGUUGGUGGUGAUUCUCAUGGAAUCUCUUAUUGGUAAUGCAUCUUAUCUUUGCAUUUCCUGGUUACAUGUGCAUAACAGAGUACCACAAACUUUCUCUCAGUUUUAAGGAGUGAUACUUGGUUUUUUUUUUUUUGGUUGUACCUUUUGUUCAUUUCCUUGUAUCAGAGUCUUAUUAGCUGCACUUUUCUUAUAUAGGUAUGAAGAUGAUGCUAUGGUUGGUCAUCGACUAUAUCGAGAGAUUAGAAAAGUUGAGGUGAAGAAAGGAAAGGGAGAAACAUACCGCCCAUUCCUAAUUCAUCUUACCAGUGGGAGACAGUUGCAACUAAUUUUGAUGAAUUUCAAGAUGUGUCUGUGAGUUAUUUGUUACCGUUUAAUCUCGUCUAGUGUCUGCUAAAUAAAUUCCUAAGACCUGCACCUUGAUAUUAACAUUUUGGAUUAUAAUGCAGAAUAUUUUGCUCAUUUUAAGCACGUGUUUGUUGGUUCUUAUAUUGCUAGUUGUACAAAAGAAUACUUGCCCGUAUUUUAUUCUCUUUAUCUUUCUACAUUUGUUUUUGGGUUUAGAAGAGUCAUUUUGUGUACAGCUGAUUCCAAAAUGCAGAAUAUUUUGCUCAUUUUAAGGAUGUGUUUGUUGGUUCUUAUAUUGCUAGUUGUACAAAAGAAUACUUGCCCGUAAUUUAUUCUCUUUAUCUUUCUACAUUUGUUUUUGGGUUUAGAAGUCAUUUUGUGUGCAGCUGAUUCCAAAAUUCCAAGAGAAGAUUGAUAAUUUUUCAGUAACAAUAAUAAUAUGCUAGCUUGCUGUUCUGUUCUGUUAUUCAGUUUUUUACUUGUUUUCUUCUGUGCAAACUGUAAGGAAGAAGGUUGUAGAAUAUUUUUUUGGCCAUUUUAUCCCUUAGAAUAAGUUUCCAUCAGUUCUUAGGGAAUGCAUCUGCUGGUAGUUUAUAUAAAUGGGAUGGGCUUUUAGGGAGGUGAGGUCAAUAUCUGAAUUUAGAAGGGAGGUUUCUACAAUUAAGGUAAAUACCAGGAGGUCACUCUAAUCUCCACAUGAUUUACAAGUUAAAUGACAUAUGUAUCCUAAAUGAGCUACUUAGGCUAUUUAGUAUUAUGCUUCUUGUUUUAUCAUGGAAGGAGACUCCAAAUGAUAGAUGAAGGGAUGGAAUACUGAAAUAUAGCAUUCAUCACAUUAAUUGAAAAAGAGAAAAUAAUUGCUUCCACCAAAUUAAUUCAAAAAGAGAAAUGUGUGGAAAAAGAAAAUUGUACAGGCAUUGAAAAUAUAAUUAAAUAGAGUUAGAGAUGUAUCGGAGGUAAAUCCUAAGCUCGAGCGAGGGAUAUGAAGCAUUUUGGCGAUGAAUAAACUCAUUUCAAAAUUGUGAUUUGUGUAGGGUAUGCAUACGGUAAUCUAUUCAUGCAAGAAAGCUUUUAUUUUGGUUGGCCUUCUUAUUAUGCUAAUUCCGUUCUCAAUUAGAAACUCCUGAGAGGGUCCAGAGUUCCUGUCCUCUUACGAUUGCUUGAGUCUUCAAUAACUUCCAUACGGUCUUGGGACAAAGGGAAUGCAAAUAACUUUAAGAAGUGAUUAGAUGCAAGAACUUCUGAAAACCUUGCAGCCUUAAAAAAAUUUGUGCUUGUGUGUAUGUUUUUUCCUGUCCUAGGCUCAGAGCCAAGUUUGAUCUGGAAUCUUUUGGUUAAUUCUGUUUUAGGAAUUUGAUUAAUAGUCUGGUCAAGUUUUCAAAUAUGCAUUCAAUCAAUGGGCUUCUUCAGUAUUCUGGUAGUUAGGUUUCUAUUCUGGCACUUCAGGAGUAUGAUAUGCACCGGAUGGUGAAGCUUGUCUUACACACUACGCCUGUGGGAUAACAUCUUUCUUUAUUUAGAUCUUUAGCAAUUGCGGUGUGUGUUUUUUUGUUCUUUUAUUUAUUAUUUUUAAUUUUUUGGCAUAUAUAUAUAUAUAUAUAUAUAUAUAUAUAUAUAUGUGUUGUGGAUUGAACUUUUGUCUCUGGGAAUACUUGGGAUCUUGUAUAAGUCAAGAAGAGCACGCAACAUUUUGAUUGUUGAACUUCUAUCUUUUGAGGGGUUUGUAUAAUGAAGAAGAAGGAACAUUUGGGUUGACCAGUAGUAUCUUGGGAAGAUCUAUUGUGUUUUGUGGCAAACCAGUAUUCUCAUUGUUUUUGCAAGAUCUGUAUGGUAAUCUUAUAUGCUUUUGAAAAUGGUCACAAUGUAAAAAUCUGUUUCCUACAAAGCUGUAGAAGGGGGAGCAGAAGGGUAUGAGAUUGGAAAUAGCUAGAGAUGUCUAUGCACAUAUGUAGCAAUGUAAAAUGCAGAAAUAAGUUAGGAAAUAUGUAACUCAUACUUUCAUGGAUCCAUUGACCAUAAAUCACAGAAUUACAUGACAUGAAAAAACAACAAAGUUGUGUAUCAGAAUACGUACCAAAUUUCAUCCAAUUUAAUUGGGCAUGUUGACUUUGAAUCUGAUGGAUGCUAAUCUGGCUAAUUUAAUUGUGUGAUGACUUUGAGGAAGGGCUGCAAUGGAUUGUUUGAGAAAGGGAUCUGAUGGAUGCUAACAUGCCCAACAAAUUCUACCCCACAGAUGUUGAUGGUGAAGGGAGGAGAGGAAGAUGAGGAGGAGGGUUGGGUUCUUUGUGGUCCUUGCUUACUGAUUUUUGAGAAUAGAGUGAAACUUCAUAAAGGAAUGACGGUUUUGCAUCACUGGAGAAGAUUCCCAUGCAGCGAAUAGUCUAUGCGUCAAUGGUGUUUUGAACACAAAAAGAAUUAAAGAAAGGGAUGAGACAGGCUCCUGGUGUAGUGAGUGAGGUUAAAAGUGAAGAUUACACAAUUUAGAGGAGUAAAUAGACAGUGACUAAGGCUAGAUAAGCAUUUCAAACACUAGGGAUAAGGACAGUGUGUUUAGUCCAGUUAGACCACCUCUCCGUGAUAUUUAAAGCAUAACAAAAAUUGUUAAUGCUAUCAUAUAUGUGGACAAAUUUCUAUUUCUGAUUGUUACUCAGAGUCAUUUUGCAAGUCUAUCUUAGCAUCAAACUGAACUUGUUUCUAAUUCGUUGAGAAAAUAUAAAUGGAGUUCUGUGUACAAAGCCUUUGUUUAGAAAAUUUUGCAUUAUCUUCGCAAGAAUUUAGUAACUACAUUUUUGAUAAUUUAUGACCAAGAAUGCUGUUAAUAUAUACUCCGUCCGUCCCAAAAUUUUCAUCACUAUUGGGGACACUUGUUUUUUUUUUUUUCCCAAACAGCGAAGAAAUUUAUCUGUCUUUUUCCUUCAUUACCCUAUGUUUAUAGCUCUGAACAAGUGUGUGGGGCAAGGCUAUUAGUGUUUUAAAUUUUCAAAUCUGCAAAAGCUCAUGUUGUGGGGCCAAAGGAACUUUGCAUGUCAGUGGACAACCACUUGAAAACUAAAGUGUAAGUACACUCUCAGUUGUAUAUUACUAGUUGUGGGAUACAUGCACUUAUAUUAGAGUCCACUAGCAAUUGUCAUAAAUCAAGUUGGUGGGCUUGCAACAAAGGUUAGAUGGUGAAAGUGUAGGAAAAUUUUUUUCGAAUAUAGAAAGUGACACAAAUUUUGGUACAUAGCAAAAGGAAAGUAUGACACUUUUAAUGGGACGGAGGGAGUAUUAAAGAACUAAUAUAGCAAUGCACAUUUAUAUUAAAUUGCAUUUCCCUGUGCUGAAGUUCAAAUCUCCGGCAGGUUGCCUUAUCCUAAUUUUGAACAAUGAAUUAUGACAUUUAGACGCACAUCUGACUCUUGACUGGUUUGCAUAAUUAUAAAUUAGGAGAAUUGGUAGUCGUAAAGUGAACUUUUUAACAACCAUAAGGUAUCGCCCAAUUCUAGUUUUAGAAAAAUAUUAAUUUUUUACCCGAUUUUGUUGAACGCAUAUAAGUGGGAGACUUGCAUGAAUCUCUUUAAAACCAUAAGAAUGUCUUGGAUGCAUAUGAGACGGGAAAGUAUAAUAAACCCAGUUACAUAUUUGCAUGAUGGUUUGUACUCCCUCUGUCUUUCUUCUUUCUCAUGGUCAAAACUGUAAAAAGGGCUUAAGCAAAUUUAAAUUUGACCUAGAUCUUCAUUUUACAAUAUAAAGCUUCUUUCUUCCCUUGAUUGACUUAGUUAUAGCUUUAAUGGUUUGAUGUCCUUAAGGUUCUUUCUUUGGAAAUUCUGUAGGAGGGUUGGAAUGACGAUUAAUUUUUUACUUCUUUGACUAUAUAAAUCAUGGCAAAAACUUUGUGACAGAUACAAUAGUAAUCAUGACAUAGGAAAAAAGGGUACCGAACACUACCAUUUAAACUUUGGAAGAGUGCACUUGAAAAAAUAAAUGCACUAUGAUCUACCUUAUAACUCAUGCAUUAAUUGUGCUUUUGCUAAAAAAAUUUCAUUUUUAAUUGUGUUUCAUUCAUAUACGCGUCCAACAAAAGUAUUGAAAAAAUUACUCUGUAGAAGACUUCUCGAUGGACUUCAAUUUACCCUUUGUACUUUGGAAAUUUUUUCAUUUAGUUCACAUUGAAUCAUUUGUUAUCUUAAACAGUAGUGCAAUUUGUUGUCAGGUAGAGUAGUGUAGUUCUUAUCAAAUAUGGUUCAGACACAUGACAAAGCAAAUGGGCGAACACGAGUCCCAAAUUCAUAAAAGAGCCGCUCAAUGUAGCAUUUUUUAUUUGCCCUCUUUUUUUUUUUUGGGGGGGGGGGUUGCUGCUAGCCACAAAAACAUCCUGCUUUAGUACAUAUUAAAUCAACUGGCCAUUAAUGGUUAUACUGAUCAUAACUAAGGCAAAAAGAACAAGUGGGAAUUUUUCUUGGAAAAAAGUCUAUUAAAUAUUUUCUUUUCUUUACCACAUGGAAAUUUUCAAACAAACGUCCAUGAGGUAGUUGGAAAAAAUUCUCCGCAAAAACCCAGUCUUUGGAUAUUAACUAUAGCAUCUAUAUUAAGACUUAAGAGACAGGUUAAGGAGUUUACUUUUUGCUUGCUUUGCAGUCUUCUCUAUUCCAUAGACUUCCUAUGGCAAUUAAGCACAAUUAGAAUGGUCUAAGCGUGUAUACGUAUACAGUCUUCGCUUUUAGUGUUUGAAUGAUCAGGGUGGAAAAGUAACAGACACUAUCAUAUGAACUUGUGUUGCUUACAUUUGUAGUUGUGCUCAUGUUAAUAGCUGCCUUUCUUUUGGAUAUGAAAACUUGAAUGUUUCAAUGCAGGAAAAACUAUUUUCAAGUAAAAAUAGAACGGAGGCUUCUCUUGGAAAGAAGUUGAAAAACGAUAUGCUUCCUGAGAUUGAGAAAGUCCACAAGGUAUUGCCAUUUAUUGACUGAGCAGGACCUGCACUUAUUUUUUCAGACAUUUUCUGUAUCUGUUCAGAUGUUUUGCUUUUGUGAUUAUUUGUGUAUUUCCCCUCCAAAAAGCUGUAUCUUUCUUUCUGGUAAGAGAUAAAAUGGCAAACAAUGAUCAAGAAUGAUAUAGAUAGUCAUAAUAAUGAAGGCAAAUGCUGUCAGAUAGAUAUAGUGGCUAUUAAUACUUUGGAGGAUUGACGCUGAAAUUAUUUUCUGUGCAGAGAAAAGAGAAGCUGCUGAAGAAGCAACACAGACAAGCUCUUAUGCUUGAUAAUAUGAUGAAUAUGGAUGGCCUUGCUGCUGGACGUUCUCUUCGUGAUAGGAAACCUGUCACAUACACUUUUGGUAAAGUUUCCAUGGGGUGCCUUGCUUAUUAUCUAUUAUUUAUUUUGGCUCUAUGUGUUGUGGCUAAUACUACUGACAAGAUAUUACAGAGAGUGUCACGUCUUUCCCUUGGUAUUAGAAAAGGAAUCUGUUCCUUUUGACUUGAAAUGUGUCAAGUAUUGUCAUUCUGAUGGUUCUACAAGAAUGCAUUUUGUGUGUAUUGGGUUGGUAGUUGUGUGGAAAGAUUAUGUUGUGUCAUAAUAAAUUUGAAAAGUCUGUUUUUGGGUGGGUAAUCUAGUUAUCUUUGGGGCAGAAUCAAAAUGGUUACAAAAACUGACUGUCCUGGAUAGACUUGGAAAUCCUUUCGUCCUGAAGAAGUUUGCUCAAUUUUCUACUCUUGGAUUUAUGAUAAUGUAGCAUAAGUCCCAAGUGCAAGGUACUUUCCAGGUGAGGAUAAUGAUUUCAAGAAGUAUGUAUAGCCAAGAGUCAAGAACGUAAUUAUGGGACUUUUUGGCUUUACUCCCCAUUUUGCAUGGGGGGAAUAUCCAAAUUUUCUUUCACAACUUUGUACAAGCAUUUGUUGUCAAAUCAUGAAUCUGAACUUGUAAUUGUCUAGUAUUUUGGUGGUCAAUUUUGAAAAUUUCCUGCACAAAUAUGAUCUUAACUUAAUACGGCUCUAAUUUCAUUGAUAAAUAGCCGAUAUUAGAUGCUUUGCCUGCUUUCUGUAGGUUAUAUUCUCAAGAUGUACUUGACGCCUGAAGUGAUUUCUAAACUGUUGAUGCGUUAGAUUCCUAGGCUAAGUAUCUUGGUUAUUCAAUGAUCCCCAAGUGGUCAACUUCAGAAGACAUGUAACAGUCCUUGAAGGACAUGUAAGAUGGUCUUUACCUUGGUUUAGUUUAUGUAUGUAUGCGUAGAAAGCUACUGUUGGUAGAGAUUGAAUAGGCAGUAGAGAGACAGUAGACAUCUUUCCCCUGCAGUGUCCCCCCCCUUCUCCUUCCCCUCUCUUUUGUUUCUUUUUCAUUUUCUUUUAUGCUUGUGAUUUGCCUCUUUUUCGUACUCCUUACUCUCAAGAAAAGAUACUUCAUACUUUCUCCCCUGCCCUGUGAAAUGCAAGAUGCAUAAUAAAGCUCUGCCUGAGCAAUCCUUUGAAGGAAAGUAAAACAUGGAUGACAAAUAGUUUAGGAAGGUAGAUUCUGUAUGUAUGCAGCUAGAAUGGAAUCAGGGAGAUGCAAUAUGUCAUGGAAGGUAAAAGGAAGGGCAGACUGAUACAGAACCAAACAAUCAGAUCUUAGACCUGUUUACCUGAGUAGGAAUAAAAUCCUCCAAUUGCUUUCUAUCAUUAGAAUUUCGGAUGUGUAACAGCCCCACUUUCCCCUAAGGCGAACCAAAGAGGUUAGCGGACUGCCUGCCCAGCUCUCGCCAGGACUACGGAUCGGUUUACAUCGAUCUAUUACGUUCCGGAGCAUACCGAAGCACGCAAACAAGUCAAAAUCGCAAAAUAAAAAAAACGAAAAAAUCAAAGCCGAAGAUGAACAGUAACGGACACGUCAGAAUCCGGCCGGAAUCUGGCCGGAUUUUCGGCCGGAUUCUCGGCCGGAUACAAGGCCGAGAGCAAUCCAAAAUUUUUCCAAAAUCCUUCCCAAUCCGGCCGGCAAUCCGGCCAGUUUCUUGCCGGAUUCCUAGCCGGAUUCGGUCCUGUUCAUUCCCGCCAAAUUUUUUUCCUUCUCCGUUUGAAAUGCGUCUAGAUCCGAAAUCCAUCCAAUCAUCAACCAAUCAUAUAUAUACAUUGAAAUUCAACUUUUACAACCAUAGUGUCAUGCCAAAAACCAUCUAUCAUGAAUAUACAUACUCGGUUUGCCAAUCAAAGAAAAUGAACCCAAUACACAAUAGAGUUUCAUUCGAUAAGCUAAACAAAAGCCAUUUACACUAGCUCAACUUGGCAAUCGACUAUCCAAAUCAGCCCCAAAAGUAAUUAUAUCCCUGUAAGGAAAACAAAUGGAACGGGAUGAGCUAAAGCCCAGUGAGUUACUACCACAUAAGCAACUAAGAGCAUAUAGCAUAACCUUUCAUUUCAAGUACACAAUUAAGGAAUGAAACACAUCGAUAAAAGGAUACGGACGGCUCUCAAGAGCCCAUUUCCACGCUUCCAUUCUUGAUCCAACCUCAUUGACCCUCCGUCAAUGUUGAAGAGUAACCAACCGUAGACUCAUCUUCUCUCCCAUUCCUUCCACCAAACAUCCCCCUACCGGGCCCGCACUCCAAACACUUACACUGUGGUAUUACUCGAGUAUACCGGAAUCAAGAGUCUCUCAUACUACAAGAUUCCUUAUAACUUUACCCAAGGCUCAUUAAUUGUCACGACCAAACCCUUGUCGGCUCGAUUCAAUCAACUACCAAUGGGGUUGAGCUCAAUGAUAACAUUUGUAGUCGUUGGAUACUUGUCCAAUCGAUACUAAGUCAUGUAUUUCAUUUCAUAUAACAGUCCAUAUAACUUUCCAAUAACUUUUCAAUAACAUAUGAAACAAUAAGUGAGAGUGAUAAAGUACACUCCCACAUCAAUCCAUUAACAUACAACAUCUCGAGUUCAAAUAUCAAAGCCAUAUAAUAGCACACAAGUGAGUAGUACACUCACCAAUCAAUUAAGUGCUAUUUCAUGCACUUCCGUCAGGAGAAUGUCGUGAACCACCGUCACGCCCUAGAACACGUAAACAAAUGCAAUGAGACUCGAUAGCGAGUCACAAAACAAUGCCAAUCACAACCCCAAUAGGGUUUUGCAAACAUAUAUAAACAUCAUAGGAAACCAGAAAUUAGGAAAAAGGCUUUAACUUAGGCCUUGAUAAGAAAACCGGUUUUGACGUCAUAAUGCGGUAAUGGCACAACUCUCACUACAAUUAUCGGAUGGGGCUGUAAGACCCACCGUUUCGAAGCUAUGGAACAGGGCUACAAUAAUGUAGAAGACCACUCAAUCCAGUUCCUAGCUUAACUAGGUCGAAAAUGCCAAAUACUAACCCAGAAUUCCUAAAACAGGUUCACAAAACACAAAAAACUGUAAUCGGUAUAUCUCAGUCCAUACAAGUCCAAAUGCCGAAAUUCCAAAGGCAUAAGUUAGCUAAGUCAUCCAACUACAUUUCAUCAGAAGACACCAACUUCAAAAUCCAAACCAAUUCCAGUCAAAAUGGCCAAUUACUAUCGCAGUUUUCGCAUUCUGAUCAAAGCAGAACAGCUACAGUAAAAACGGUAUAACUCACUCUACACUCAUCCAAAUGACCUGAAAUUUUGCAGGCAUCCCAAUCACAUCAAUACCUACAACUUUCAUGUUUUGAGCAAAGUCAAAUUCGGCCUCUAACCCUAUGAUCCAAAACCGGACAGAAUUGGGGAUUUAAGAACCCUAACUUUUCAAAUUUCACACCAAAUCCAAAAUUGAUUGCAUUUCACCACAAUUCACACUCACUAGAGUCAUUUCCAACCAUUGCAAUUCAUCAUACAAGCCCCCAACAUCAAGAUCAUAUUAAACCAGAAAAAUUCCCAAUAAAAUAAAAACUCCACCAAAACUCUUCAAAUCAAGAAACAAAUCAUAUAUUUCAACACUCAUGCCACCAUUAAGCACAAAAUAACCAUCAUUAGGUGUAGUAGAAAGGUUGAAGCAUCACUCACCUAACAACAAGAGAGAGGAAGAUGAUGGACACCUUAGCUCUUCCAAACAAAUCCACAAAACAACUCACAACCACCACUUGAAGAUGUUUUAUGGAGCAAAAUCAAGGUUGGAUGGUUGGUUUGAUGAUUUGGAACAAGAUUGAAGUGUUUCUUCUUUGUACUUGGAGCAAGAGAGAGAGAAAGAGAGAGAGGAGAGAGCCGGCCAUAUGAGGAGAAGAAAAUGGUGAUUUUUGGUGAAUUUUGGAUAUUUAAUCCUUUGGUCAAAAAAGUCAAAAUUGUGAAUAGUGUUUCUUAAAAGUUCAACCAAUGAAAAGGUGACAUGUGUCACUCUAUUAAAUGCAUCCUUAUCAUUCUUUUCUCUCUCACAUCAAUCACUUCACACACCCUACUUAUCUCUUAAUACCCGAUAAACUUUUAACAGUAUCCGAAACUUAACCUUAUUGGCCGAAUUUUUCCGAACUUAUCGCACUAGUGGGUCCCACAUCCAAUAUAUAUUCUUAAUUUUCUAAAAAUUCACCAAUGCUAGAAAAAUCAUCUUAAAACUAUAAUUGCUCAUAAAAUUCAUUAAGAAAAUAUUUUUAAGCCAGAAAAUGCAGAAAAUAUGCUAUUAAGGGGAAAUAAACCCUAGGAAUAUAAUUAGGGUUUUACGGGUUCUCACAGUGAAGCACAAAAAUAGAAAGCUAAGAACAACGAAAGAGGACGAGAGAGGAAUAAGUUAGUUACAAGUGGUGGGAACCAACCUAAAGAAUAUUUCACAUCCCAAUGAGAGUCCUAGAAUGGAAUUGUUAAGGUAUCUCUUAACAAUUCCCCAACUUAAUGAAGUGCAUUCACUUCAUUACUCAAAUUGAAAUUUCUUAUAUGAAACAAGUAAGCAAAAAUAAAUAUAAUAUGGGGAUAACUAGAUCCUCAAAUGAGAAGAAUUAAGAUGGAAGAGAAAAAAAAAAGAGUGGACUGUUAGAGACUUUAUAGAGUAUAUUAACUCAAACAACCUGAUAGACCAAGCAUAUGAUGAUAGACUUACAAGUUUAAUGGAAUUACAAGUUUCACUUUUUGGCAAAAGAAUAGUGAAAGAUGUUACAGUUCAACAGGAUUUGGCAAAAGCGUUAAAUGGUAAGAACAAGAAGCCAAAGAGAAUGAAGGAUACUGAGUCUGAAGAGUUGGACGAAAGGUAUGCGAGCACAAUUCGACUCUAUGUUCCGGACAACAUCAUAAACAAUGUAAUAGACGAGGAAGAUUCUACGGGAUAAUUGCAGAAACCUCCCCUGACUUUUAUAGUAAUAGCAUUGACCUCCCCUAUCAAUUUUGAAAUAGCACUGACCUCUCCUAUCAAAAGUUGGAGGCAAUUUAAUGGGCAAAAGUGGGUCAAUUUACUAAAGUACCCCUGAUAUGAUUUAAUUUUACCAAAUGAAUGUGAUGAGUACUUUCAUCAAACCCAACAAAACAUUUGUUAAUAAAAAUUACACUAAAUUAACUAUUUUUGCAUAGUUUAACUAAUUAACUAAAUAACUAAUAAUCUAAUUAAUUAAUAACUAAUUAUCUAAUUAACUAUUAACUGAUUAUCUAAUUGUUAAUAGUUAUUAACUAAUCAAACUAUUUCUAUAUAGUUAAACUAAUUAAAUAUUAACUAAUUAUCUAAUUAACUAUUAACUAAUUAACUAAUUAUCUAAGUAACUAAAGCUGUUGUCUGUCCGAAACUAACAAACUAUUUGUAUGUUAAAUUAAUUAACUAAUUAAUUGCUUAACUAAUUAACUACCUAAUUAUCUAAUUAAUUAAUUAACUAAUUAACUAAUUUUUGUUUAUCUAAUUAACUAAUUAUCUAAUUAACUAAAGUUGUUGUCUAUCCAAAACUAACAAACUAUUUGCAUGUUAAACUAAUUAAUUGCUUAACUAAUUAACUAAUUAAUUAAAACUAUUGUCUAUUCGAAACAAACAAACUAUUUGCAUGUUAAACUACUUAACUAAUUAACUGCUUAACUAAUUAACUAACUAAUUAUCUAAUUAAUUAAUUAACUAAUUAACUAAUUUCUAUUUAUCUAAUUAACUAAUUAACUAAAGCUAUUGUCUAUCCGAAACUAACAAACUAUUUGCAUGUUAAACUAAUUAACUAAUUAACUAACUAACUAAUUAAAAACUAUUUGCAUGUUAAACUAUAUGCAGUACGCAUUAUCUAUUUAAAGUAUCGGUUCUUUAUGGGUAUUUUACUUUCAAACAUUUAAUUUAUGAUAAAAACAUCAAUGUUUGUAAGUAAAAUUCAAAAAGUGUUACAGUAAUAUCAAUAUUCUUACUUUAGAUAAUUAGUUAAUUAGUUAAUUAAUUAAUUAGAUAAUUAGGAAGUUAAUUAGUUAAGCAGUUAAUUAGUUAAUUAGUUUAACAUGCAAAUAGUUUGUUAGUUUUGGAUUAGGGCUGCAAAUGAGUCGAGUCGAGUCGAGUUUUGAGCUAAUCGAGCCGAAUCUCGACUAAAUUUUACCAAGCUCGAGCUCGACGAGCCGGCAAUUUUCAAGCUCAAGCUUGACUCGAAUCAAGUCGAGCCUAGCUCGAGCUCGAAAAAAAUAAAAAAUAAUUAUUUUAUUUUUAAAAAAUAAAUAAAAUAAUAUUUUUUUCUUAAUAAAUAAUAAAAUAUUAAGGAUAUAUACGUAAUUUUACUAUGAAAAUAAAAAAUAAAAAAUAUAUAUAAUAUACAUAAUUUUAUUAUUAAAUAAAAAUAAAAAAAAAAAAUAUAUAUAUAUACUCAAACUCGCGAGCUAACGAGCUUAAUAUUUUGAACUCGAUUAAUAUCGAGUUCGACUCAAACUUGACUCGAGUCGCUCGCGAGCGGUUUGAUUCGUUUGCAGCCCUAUUUUGGACAGACAACAAUUUUAGUUAAUUAGUUAAUUAGACAAUUAGUUAAUUAGAUAAAUAGAAAUUAGUUAAUUAGGUAAUGCAUACUACAUAUAGUUUAACAUGCAAAGAGUUUGUUAAUUAGUUGGUUAGUUAAUUAGUUAAGCAGUUAAUUAGUUUAACAUGCAAAUAAUUUUUUAGUUUCGGACAGACAACAGCUUUAGUUAAUUAGUUAAUUAAAUAAUUAGUCAAUUGAUUAAUUAGAUAAUUAGUUAAUUAAUUAAUUAGUUAAUUGUUAAUUAGAUAAUUAGUUAAUAGUUAAUUAGUUUAACUAUUAACUAAUUAGAUAAUUAGUUAAGCAAUUGUCAUGCAAAUAAUUGUCAAGCAAGUAAGGGCAAUAUUGGAAGAAAAUUCUUAUCUCACUUCUACAAAAGCUGUCAAGGAGGUCUCUGCAACAAAUUGUUACUGUUCAGGGGAGGUGAAUGCAAUUUCUAAACCUAGAGGGGAGGUCAGUGCAAAUGUCAGAAAUCUCAGGGGAGGUUUCUGUAAUUAUCCCAAGAUUCUGCAGCAGACCUUUGAAAAAAAUUGAAAAAGCUUUAUCUAAACAAAAGUUUAUCGAAUAAAUUGCAUUUGAAGCAGCAACUUUAUAGGUUAAAGAUGGAGGAGGAUGGUAGCCUCAUGUAUCACAUGAAUAUGUUCAAAGAAAUUUUGGAUCAAUUCCAAAAAAUUGGCAUAGAAAUUGAGGAAGAAAAUAAGACUCUUUUACUUCUUAUCUCAGCAUUUGAUUCUUACAAAUGUGUUGUGAUGACCCUAUUGUACGGGAAGAACACUUUAGAGUUCAAGAAUGUGCAGUCAUCUUUGUUGGAUCAUAAAACAAAAGAAGACAAAUCAGGAUGUGACACAAAAAACUACAUUAAUUGUUUGAGAUAAGAAUAAAAAAUGAAAAAAUUUGGUGAUAAAUCUAAGGUAAAUGAUUCAAAAGUCAAAAGAAAGGAUGGAAUCUAGUGUUUUGAUUGUCAUAAGUUUGGUCAUAUCAAAAAAUAUUGUCCUCAUCGAAAGAAAAAUGAUGAGAAGGAGCAUGAUGAUAGUGAUAAAUAUGUAUCAAAUGAAAAUAUUCCCACAAUCUCUAAAAGUAAUAAUAUUUUUUCCCGUGAUGGUUGGAUUUUAUAUUAUGGAUGUGUUUCACAUGUUUGCUUCACAUUAGAUUAUUUUGAUACUUUCCAAAGAAAGAAGUCAGGUUUUGUAUUUUUCGGUGAUGGAUCUACUUGUGCUUUGGAGUAAUGAAAAUCAAAAUGCUAAAUGGAGAUAUUCAUUCUUUGGGUAGUGUGUCUUAUGUGCUAAAGUUAUGAAGGAAUAUAAUUUUUUUAAGUCAGUUAGACUCCGAGAGUUAUCACUUUUCGAUUGCAAGUGGAGUUUUGAAAAAUCACAUAUGGCAAGACUAUCUUGUUGAUGAGAAAAAAUAUGGUAAUUUGUACCAUUUGAUUACUUUAAUAGGUUGGGAGCGUAAUGCAAAAAAGGGGAUCCAAUAAUAUUUCCAAAUUGCAAAUACCCGUGAGAAGAAAAAUCCUAGUAUUGGAGAGGGUGAAUUAGGCCCCUCUUGUGAAUCAACUGAAUGUUGGACUCGAUUAGUUACAUACGUUUAUCUGCUGACUGAAUCAAUUGAAAAUAAGACCAUAUUAAUAUGAGCGUGUAGUUAAGCACUAAGGCUCCGUUUGGAUUAGUCUAUUUUUCAAAAUCUAGUUUUUCAAAUAUAAUGGCUGCGUUUGGAUUCCUUGUUUUUUGAGGUAUUUUUCAAAUACUUCACUGAAGCAAUUUUUGAAAAACUACUAUUGUCGUUUGGAUUGUCAUUUUUGAAAAACUCGCAUUUUUUCAAAACAAAUGCGUUUGGAUUGAACAGUUUUUGAAAAAUACCUACACAAUAAUUCUUAGUACGGUCCAAAUGUGCAAUUGGCCAAUAACUUCAGGUCAUUGCAAAUGUGCCACAGCUUAAAAAUGUCAUAUCCGCAAUUGCAAAAAAUUAGUAGCACACUAUGACCGUAACCCUUGUCAACGCUGUGCAAUAUCGUAACUGGUUAAUGAUUUUUUUGUACACUAGCAUUCACAAACACAUAAACUAAAUCGAUGAACUGAAUAUACAAGGGGGUAGAGCAAAGUACUAGUCAGCAAAUAUAAUAUAAAGGUGCAAACCCGUAGUCGACAUAAUACAUUAACUGUUCCCAAAUUCAAAUUAUUUGUUAAAUCACAACAGGUGAACCAAAUAUAAAGUAAGAAACUGUUGCCAUUUUGGACCUAUCGGUCCAAGGCCAUGCACUGGAGUCUAGUUAUGCGCAUUCCAAUACAUGUGCGCCGCUAUUGUCCACUGAUUUUAGUUCCAGUUAUGUAUGUCCUGCUGCGACAUAUCGAUGGAUUGACCUAUUUGCACUUGCUCCCCUACUAUUUGUGCAUCUGCAAAAGCUCCAUUUGCAGCUUCUUCGUUGAAAUACUCGUUAUUUGGUACAUAAUCGUGCAUAAAUUGUGCAAAGCAUUGCUAUCAGGUACAAGCGAGAUCACGCAUAAAUGACGAAGAAGUUUCUUGGCCUAACGAGAUCAUGACCUAACCGAACCAAAGCCUUGGACAAUACGUGAGCAAUGCAUUGUUCAUGAGUAUCAUCGAGAUCACGACCUAGUCGAACCAAGAAACUUCGUUAACGGCAUGAGCAAUGCAUUGUUCAAAAUCCUUGAUCAAAAAUGAAACCUAAUAGUUCGACCGCCAUAAAAAUGUUGUCGAGAUCAAUAUCAUUCAGUUCGUCAUCCAGUUGUCCUCCUUGAACGUGCCCUUAGUUAUCCAUCUUCAGUCAACUACUCUGAACUCUGCAAAUACCCAAGCGAUCAAAGAACAUUAAGGACCAGAAUAGGUAAACACUAACUAAAGAAAAACAAAAUGCAUUUUAGACAAAAUUAACAUAGAUAGUUAACAAAUUUGUCUCUAAAGUACAAGUUUAUCAGCCGAGAAAUGAGGAAAGUGCAAGCAAUAGAGAAAAGAAACACCUCUCGAAAAAAAAUAACAAGUUUAUCAUGGCUCAAUUACGCAUAUCAUAAACUGCAGUAAAGUACUUAAAUGGGGAGGACAUUAAUGAUACGUAUGCAACACAACCCCUAUUAGCCAGUAAAAAUAGGACAAGUGCCGAAGUAGUACGGCAAAAGGAAUUUAAUUUGGCGAACUGGGGCGGUAGCAAUAGCAUACAACUAAAAAUUCAAAAUAUCCGCUGUCAAAACAAAAAUUGAUCGCUUCCCUAUCAAUACAAUUACAUUUAAAGGCAACUCCACAAAAAAUAAUAACCAUGGGACACAUCCCUAAUUCAAAUCCGGAGUAAAUAAGUUCAUCCAAUAUUCAUAAACAUACACAAUAAAAUCUCAAGAAAUAUCCUCAAUAAAAAAAAUGCUGGUCCAGGGUGACAGUGGAAAAAUCACUGUACACAGCCUUUAGUCAACUCAUACUACAUAAUCCAAACCAACAGCUGAAAUUUUAACUCAGGGGGAAAAAAAUUGUAGCAGGCUGCGACAAUCGCAAUUCGGGAUACAACGAGGUGCUAUGCGGGGGGAACGAACCCCCGAUGUCUCACAAAGGCAAGUCGGUCAUCGUCGUUCAGGCAGGUAAACCAAAUGAGACGCUCUGCUGGAUUCUGCAGGAGAUCGGCCAUCUUCAGACGCACAUUUAUAUCCAGGUGAAGAGCGCAGAGGUCGGCUAAGGCAGCCUUUAGGUUCUCCUCAUCAUCUACUGGGGGUUUUUUACUCUUAGCGGGUGAAGAGACUUAACUGGUCAUGCCAAAGCUCUUCUUACAGCUCAAAUGUGUCUCAAUACUGUCUAAAAUUCGGACGUAUUUCUGCAAUUGAGGAGAUGACGGCGAAAAGAAUGACUCAAUUGACAUGUCCCCCGACUUGCUCUUUCCUUUACCCUUCUUCACCUUCUUUUUCCAUUUCUUAGUCACAUGAACGGCAUCUUCUUCGUCUGCUGAAUCGAUGUCCACAACCCUCUUACACCUAGAACGUCUAGCAACGUUUUCCAUUUCUAAUUUGUCGGCCGAAUUGGGGGCAAUACUCCAAAUCCAGAGCUAAAAUCGCCCGUAGCCCCCUGAUUCAUGAAAACUUUUUCAAGCAAAUGGAAGACCAGACAUGUGCGAUCGUAAAAUCUAUUGUACCCCUGGUUCACCUACAGAAGACCAAAAUAGCUUUUAAAAAUAAGGGAAAUAAUUAAAUAAGGGCAAAACAGUUUUUAGAACUAAACAGCUUUUACAAAUAAAUAAGGGCAAAAUAGCGUUACAGUAUUUACAAUUAAUAAGGGCAAAACUGUAUUUACAAUAAAUAAACAACUUUUACAAAAAGAUUAAAUUAAACAGAAAAAAAAGUAUCGGACCUGAAGUAGAUGAUUCCAGCGCUCAUCGUCCAUCAUGAAGGUGUAGUUGGUUGAGUCUCAACCCAUACCAGUGCCACGCUUCUUGAACAAAAUGUAAAGCCUAGUUAGGUUCUGAAGGGUACAAUACUUCGACCAAAUAGUGCCGCUGGGAAAAACUACUCCGAAAGUCUCAGUGAGCAUCCUAGUAAUUUGGGGAAUAACAUGGCUCCCGAUGGUAUAUGAUAAUAUUUUUCUAUUCCUAUGCAUGUUCACAAGCUGUUGUGCAAUAGUAAUUUCCAUAUCCGGCGUGAAAGUGUUUCGUUCCUUAUACGUUGCUUUUGGUUUAGGCAUCUUUGUUUUCUUAAGGAAUGUCAAAACCCAAAAAAACAGUUUAGGGUGACCUCACAUGGGAAAUUAGACACAUUCUAAGGGAAUAUUGGUACACGUGUAAGACAAUUUGAGCCUAGUCAAUUAUAACUCACCUUGAAGUAGUUAGUUAUACAAAGAUGCAAAUCGUUUUCUCCCUGAGCUGACUUCGAAGAACAAUUGUUAAAUCCCUAGUCGUUUGCAAAGCUAUGAAUAAGCAUGUUAAAAAUACGACUCUUACAGUUCUUAAGGAUAAAAAACUGAACAGAAUUCAUGAACCACAAUAGUUGCUCUUUACCUUUCGAAGCACUUUGAGUCACAAGGGGCAUCACAAUCCUAAAAAUAUGUACAAGGUACCACUAAAAUGCUAUUAGCAAGUCAAACGCAUAAAAUGUUAACAAAAUAUCAUCCAUUUUUAUGUACCAAGCAAAUAAAACAGUUCCAGCCAAGAAAUCAAAGUUCAUGUCAGGUUAUAAUAUGCGGGGAAACACUGUCACAGAUCCAAAACAACUUCACAUAAGAACUAGAGCAAAGUUUCAACCAUAUACAACUUAUCUUGCAUUCAAAACGAAACAAUUGCAGCUAAAAUAUCCUCAAUUUUCAACCGCAGGGUAGGACUAAUUAAAAUUUCAUGAGCCCACCCGAUAAAACUUCACUAAUUAAGAAAGGCAUUGGCUCAAGUACAACAACGACAGCAGAAGAUAAUAGGUACUCCAAUAGCAAGAACCAAAUAAAAAAAUCCAGUUUCGAGUCGCAGGGACAAAUAUUUCAAUAAUCCAAUUGCAAUAACCCAAGAAAAAUAGCAGUGGUGCUUAAUGUGUACAACCAAUUGAUCAAAUUUCUUAUCCAAAAUAAAAGUGUAGGAACAACACCCCAAUUAACAGAUAAUUGGCAUUAAUAUACGUAUCAAUUUAAGCUUACAACAAUAGGAAUUUAUCAACUAUCUAAUACACAAAAUAACAUUGAUAUUCACCCAGUUAACAGGGGUAGACAUAUACCAUGAGCUUCUAAAAAAAAUCUCCUAUGCACGCCAAACAAGCAAAAGCAGCAAAGCUAAUUAUUUGCCAAUAUGGUGGUAUGUGUACCCUGUGUCCAAACUACUAAUUGGGCCAUGCUCAUCACAUAUGCGGGGAAGAGAACAAAAGCAAAUAAAUGGUGAAGUUGCCAGUGUGAAUUGCAAAAAUUGAGGUGCCAAACCAGAACUUAAGAAAAUCAAAAGUGCCCUCACCACAGAAUUUCAAGUUUAAAUGAAGAAGCAUGAAUGCUAUCUACAGCUCUAAAAUGUAAUUCCCAAUAUGUCAUACGACCAUUUCAAAAUCGAUCCUCUGUCUCUACCAUAUACUAUCAGCACAAUAAUUUUCAGAGGCUUUGAUAAUACAUUAAGAACUUCUUCAAAUUACUGUAACCCUAAUUCAUACGAAUUAGGCCCCAAUUAAGUGAACAAUACAACGAACCUCAACGACGCAACAGCUGAGCAGCGGUGGAACAACUCUCCUUCGCUGAGCAAGUAGACGCGCGGUCGAAAUGGCACUUCCAAGCUGACUAUGCUUCCCCAAGUUCUGAUAGUGGCUCCUGCCGCUUCUCUUUGGUGGUCCCAAGCGGAUACUCAGCUCAUUCUUCACAGUUUUGCAAAGCCGAAGAUAAGUUGCAAAUGCUUUUGGAGAAGCUAAGAUUGAACUUGUUCUAGACGCACGCCACCGAACAUCCAAGGAUUAGAAAUACAUGAGCUGAAAUGACCGGUGAUUUGUAGAGCUUUCUUGAACCUCAGUUGUUGCUGCUUAGGAGAGGAAAGUGAAGAGGGAUACGUUUUAGGUGAGGAAAUUGAAGGAACGGGAAGUACAAGAAAGCUUUGUGAAAAACUUGUUUUCCAUUUUGGGCUGCUAAACAGUACCGUAUAGAAGGAGCGAGACUGUAGCAUUUUAAAUACAUCCAGUUGACUAUAAUUUGUAUUUUGACUACAAAAACAGUGGAUCCAAACACAACAAAUUUUAAAAAUAUUUUACAAUAUAUCAUAUAUAUAAAAAAUAAAAGCAUCUCAUUCAUAAAAUAUAUCAAAAAUAACUCACAAAUAUACAACAAAUUUUAAAAAAAAUUUACAACAUUUUCUAUCUAUCACCACCACCACUACCCCUACCCAUCACUGCUACCACCCUUUUUCUUUUUCCCCCUCUUCCUUCUCUCUCUCCUUCCUUCCCUUCCCUUCUUCUCCCUUCAAUCUAGCUUCAACUAGAUCGUGAUAAGAAGGUCGUGAACUAGUCGAAGCCAGAUCGAGGAAGAGUGAAGGCUGGCGAGAAAGAGAAGGGGAGAAGAAAGAGGAAAGAAGAGGGAGAAGGAAAAGAGGGGAGGAGAAGAAGAAACAGGAAGAGAGAAAGGGAGAAUAAAGGAAGAGGAAAUGGAUGGUGGUAGUGGUGGGCGGUGGUUGUGGGUAGCAGUGUUAAUUUUUAAAAUGUAUUCUAAAAUUUUUUUAAAUUUUAAAAGUAUUCCAAAAUAUAUUCUAAAAACCCUCCCUACACAUCACACAAAAUAUUUACAGUAAAAGGUUUUCAUCAGGGACGGAGCCAGAAAUUUAUUUUUGGGGGGGCUGAAGUGUAUUAAAAUUUUUUUUUUGUGACGAAAUAAAUAUAUUUAAUAAGUAAAAUUUAGAAUCAAUAAUUAUAAAAAUAAUAAAAACAUAUAAUUAUACAUACCCAAAAAUUUGUUAUUGAUUAACACUUGAAGUAUUGGUAGUUGUUGCACUCGAAUAACGAAGAGGAGGCAAUUGCAUUCUGCGAGUCUUCAACGCUGCAAUAUUUGCUCAUUUUCAAUUGUUGCAAAAAUAUCCUUCUCGAUGUAUACAACCAGACAGUCAUUCAUCCACUCGUCUCCCAUUUUGUUGCGCAAAUCAGUCUUGACAAUAUUCAUUGCAGAAAAUACUCUUUCAACAGAAGUAGUCGCAACUGGUAGAACUAAUGCCAACUGGAUCAGACGAUAAACCAAUGGAAAAACUGUAUUUUUACCAGUUUUAACCAUUUGUUGAGCAAGACUUCCCAAAUCUCCAACUUCUGAAAAUUGAGGAUCGCGUUGCACAUUAUAAAUAUAAUUUCGAAGUUGAGACUCAAGAUAUAAAUAAUCGUUACUUGAGAAGUCUUCAGGAUAUAAAUCAGCAAGACGGAGUAGUUUCUGCACAUUGAAUUAAGAGAAAGAACUUUUUGGAUCAAGACAUGCUAUGCAACUAAGCAAUUCCGUGCUAACUUCCGAGAAACGAUUAUUCAUCUCUUGUAUAAUUAAAUCAACAACCUGACAUCACAACAAUAAUAAAAUUAAUAACUAAGAAAAUCUGCUAACAAGUAACAAAUGUAAUGAAAUAAUAAUUUCAAAAAUAAUACCUCACAAAAAAUUUCCACGCGAUAAUGAUGAAAAUUAGUGAUGGUUUGACCUCUGCGACUGCGCCUGGCAUUGCCACGGAUUGCUAUACUGUCUUCCAUAUCAAUCACGGGAAUCAUAUUCAACUCACAAAAAUUGUUGACUUCAUCUAAAAUUAUUUGCCAUCCCUCUUCCCUAAAGUCUUGCAAUUGAGAUUUCAUAGUAUCAAUCAAACUCAUGGCUUGGACAAUAUUUUGAUCCCUUUGUUGCAAAACAAGUGACAAGUCAUUUGUGAUUCCCAAUAAAUACUUCAUCAGGUGCAAUGCAAAAACAAACUCAUAAUCAUUCAUUCUAUCAAUCAAACCCCUGGCCAUACCUCUAUUGUCAGAAGUGGUGGCAUCAUCUUGUAUAUUUCCCAAUAUUCCAAUCACCGAAGCCCACAUAGAGGAUAGACGAAGUAAUGUUAGAUAGUGUGAUCCCCAACGAGUAUCCCCUGGUCUUGCUAAACUAGUUUCUUGAUUUUUGCCUUUUCCACUAAUAAUAUCUCCACUGUCUAAAAGUGUAACAAUCUUAUCAUGUUCUAUUUGUCUUAAUUGAUCUCUCCUUUUACAUGAUGCUCCAGUUAAAUUGACAAUCAUAGAGACAUAGACAAAGAAUUCACUGACAAUGAUAUUUCCCUUAGCAACAGCAACAAUAACUAACUGGAGUUGGUGAGCAAAACAGUGAAUAUACAUCGCAUAGGGAUUUUCUUGUAAUAUAAGGGCCUUCAAACCAUUGAACUCACCUCGCAUAUUUGAAGCUCCAUCAUAUCCUUGACCUCUCAAUUUGGAUAAUGAUAAUCCGUGUUGCGCGAAUAAAGAAUCAAUUGCAUCUUUCAAACAAAGAGAUGUGGUGUCAGACACAUGUACAAUUGCAAGGAAACGUUCAAUCACACGCCCUUCUUUGUUCACAUAUCUCAAAACAACUCCCAUUUGCUCUUUCACUGAACUGUCUCGAGACUCAUCAACUAUUAGGGAAAAAUAAUUGUCUCCAAUAUCAUUGAUUAUAACACUUGUGAUCUCUGAGGCACAAGCAUGUGCCAGAUCUUUUUGAAUCAUUGGAGAAGUUAGUUGAUUAUUUGCAGGAGCAUUUUGAUUUACAACCUCAAAAAUCUCAGUAUUUCGCUGGCUAUACCACUCAAACAAUUCAAGAAAAUUGCCUCUAUUUGAAGAACUAGUUGACUCAUCAUUUCCACGAAAAGCCAAUCCUUGCUUCAAAAGAAAGCGGGUCACAUCCAGAGCAGCAGUUAAACGGGUGCGAUAUGCAAUAUCUAUUUCGCGCCCACAAGAUCGUAGCACAUUUGACACACUAUGCCUUUGAUCUUGAAAACUUUCAAACUGUAUUCUAGCAUCAUUAUGGCAACUAUUCACAGCUCCAAUAUGUUCAUUAAAUCUUUCCAUUGCCUUUUUCCAAUUAUUGAAUCCCGUUUUUGUAAAGGCAUCCUCUGCAUAUCGACCUCCCUUAUUUUGUGUUUUGAAAAGAAAGCACCAAAAGCAAAACGCCGCAUCUUUCGAUAUGCUAUACUCUAACCAUACAAACUUUUGAUACCAACUAUCUUGGAAACUUCUAUGUUGUUUACCAAAUGAUGUUUUUGGAUACAUAUGGCCAAUCGGUUGGCAAGGUCCCCUAGUCAAAUACUCUCUUCGGACAUGGUCUCGAAGAGAAAUAUCAAAUUUCUCAACUGAUUUUCGUAAUCCCGGAUCACUAACAAUAUCAUUUAAAUUCAAUUCCACACAAGAUUGAUUUUGAACUGGUUCACUAAUAUUAGGCUCAUUUGAAGAUUCACCACUACGGACUCGUUUAGGUUUAAAGAAUCUCUCCAUUUUCUGUCACAAUUAAAUAAUUGUGGUUAAAUUCAAUAAAAUUAUGCAAUUCAAUAAUCAAUUAAUUUAAAAUUCAUAUAAAUAAUUCUUUAAUUUAAUAAUAAAUUCAUAUUACUUAUAUUUCUCAAUUUAUAAAAUUCAUUAUAUAAAAUUAUCAAAAAGUUAAAAUAAGGUACAACUAAAUACCCAUAUAAUCUCUAAUUCAAUCUCAUAAAAUUUUGAAUUUAUAUUUACAUUCAAAAUUUCUAAUUCACAUAAUUAAUUCUUAAAAUUUCAAAUAUAAAACUAACAAAAUUUUAAAAACUAAAUACAACCUAAAAUCUAUACAAUUUCUAAACUAAUUUCUAAUUUAAAUUUAAUAUCAUUAAAUUUUUUAAUGUAAUCUUUCAAAUUCUUAAAUUACAUUAACAUAAACUAAAUAAAAAUUAAUCUUAAUCAAAUUAAUAUCAAGAUACUCAAAAUUCAAAAAUAAUUUAAACAUAUAAUUAACAAAAAUAUAAAGAUGAAUAUUGUAAUUUAAACCAAAAAACUAACCUAAAAGAUUUAUGUGAAUGGAAUGGUGGAGGGUUGGAGUCUUGGAGCCUUGAAUUGAAGGCUUGAAGCAGGAUGGUAGAAUCUCAACUGAAGCUUCUUGGAGUUUUUGGAGCCUGGCGUCUUCUUCUUGGAGUUGGAGUCUUGUUUGCCCUUUGGCACUGGCGGCGUAUUUUUUUUUCCCCUCAUUAUACAAAACGAUGUCGUUCCACUAAAAGUGAAACGACGUCGUUUUGUAUUUAGAGGGCAAAAAAAAAAAAAUUCAAAAUGAAAUGGGUCAUCUUCUUCCUCAGCAGUCAGCACGGCAGCGGCUUUCCAGCUCUUCUUCACUUCCUCUGCAGCAUUCAUGGAGCCAUGGAGGAUGGUAGAUCUGGAUCACCGUGGGGGGCUGGGCUGGGCUGGGCUGGCCGCCGGAAUCCCCUAUAUAUAGGGGGUUUUCCGGCGGCUUGGGGGGGGGCUUAAGCCCCCACCAGCCCCCCUUAAAUCCGUGGCUGGUUUUCAUAUACACUGUUAUAGUAAAAAAUUUCAAAAGCACCCCCAAAAAUAGGUAAAUUUUGAAACAAUCUAGUUACUUUUCAUCUAAUCACAACACGCUCAACAUAGCAAAUUAGUCUUAAUUCGUCAAUUGCAAGAACAAGGCAUAGCCAUUAGGUUAGCUUUGAUCAAAGCAAGGGAGCUACAUGACUCAUUAAGCGCUCAUUUAGUUGUAUAUUUAUUCCUUUGGCAAUGUAAUUAGCCAUUAUAUAGGAAAAUUUACUUGUAAACUUAUGAAAAUUAGCAAAGGUUGAGAGAGAUCGAUGCUCGUAAUACCCUAACGCGGAAAUUUUUUUGAGAAGUACUAAUACAAAUUUGAUGAAUGAGAUUUAUUGUGAAACGCAACUGAAAAGCGCUCAUUUGUUUUUGUUUUUGUUUUUUGGAUAGGGGUGGGGAUGGGUUUUGGUUGACGCGGGAAACCUGAAAAGCCCAAAGACCAUCAAGAAGCCGAAGGGAAGGGCGGGCGGGGGAGGCAGAGGCACAACAAGUUAACAAGUAAUUGAAGGCGCUAUGCAAGGGCAGUUGCGUCAAACAAGUUUCAACACUAAGGAAGGGGGAAAAGAAAAAGGCCGCAUAAUUCAUAACAGACAGACACGGACAGGACAGCUACUACUUAGUAGUAGCAGCAGUUACUGGCUUACUGCUCCUACCCCGACCACCUUCCUCCCACCCUCUUCACUUUGGUCUGAAGAACCCAAAACAAACAACUAACCAUUCGCUUCGCUGCUUUUAAGGAUUCUUCUUCCCCAAUGGCUGCCGAUGAGGUAAUGCUAAUACAAAUCAACAUCACCGCUUUCACGCCUCUCGACCACCCCCACCACCACAACCACUUGCCCCACUUCCAAACCCCCACCAACUACCUAUCUCAACUGAUUCUUUAACCGUUUUUUCCCCUUUCAAGACGGGCUUCUUCUUUUUCUUUUUUUUUUUUAAGUUACUUGUGUUUUUUCUUGGCUUUUACCCUCAAAAUGGAAUCUUUGUUCUUUUGAUUCAAUAUAUUUUAUUAUGUAGAAACUGGGGGCUUUGAAGAAGGCAUAUGCGGAUAUCAUACUGAACACGGCGAAGGAGGCGGCGGCCAGAAUAAUGGCGUCCGAAAGAAAGGCGCAGCGGUUUCAGCGGGAGCUUCAGAUGGCCAAAGAGGAGGCCUUGCGGAUGCUCCUGCGCCUCAAGCAGAUGAUGGAUUCUAAGGUUUUUCCUCUCAAUAUUUUCAUCAUCUGCGCCUCAAGCAGAUGAUGGGUUUUUUUUUGUUUUUUGUUUUCCCUUUGGUGCUUCGAUUCUGUUCGUUUUCUGGAUGAUGUUUGAUUUCUAGAUCAUUUUGCCGGUGAUGAUGACGGGAAAAAUACUGUCUUUCCUUCUAGAUUGCAAAGGUUGAUUCCAUUUACAUUCUUUCUGGACCAUUCCUUUCAGAAUUUAGUUUCAUCUCACUCGCUGUCUCUUUUUCUUUUUAAGUGCUUCAGAAAUUGAAUUUCUUGAUACUUAAUCCAGCACAGUUGGUCUUUUACUGGCUUCUGUCAGUUUCCUUUGAUGCUUUCCCGUGGAUCAUAUCAAUUCCCUCCUUGCUAAAGUUGACUAGUUUGCUAGGAGGGAAAAAUACUGAAAUUGGUUGUCACUUUGUAUACUAUACAGCAUGUAAUGAGGCUCAAGAAACCAAUUCCUUUCAUUGGUUCUCCUGGUGUUUAAAUGGGAACCUUGAAUUUGGAUGUCACCUAUUAUUGUGGAGCUUCUGACCGAUGAGAAUUUCAGGUUGAACCCGGCAGCUAUUGCCUAGUUAAUCCCAAACAAACUUGAAAAGCUUUGAGGCUAUAUGGUGUUGGAUAAAAUGGAUAUGCUGUAAUUUCAUUUCUUGGACAUUCAAGUGCAGGACAUAUACAGAUAUCCAUAUAAUCAAAUCAUCAAGUGGGACUGGUAUUCCUACCUAAAAGAGCAGGCUUCUUGUGGGCUAAUCAGGGCAUCUACCCCACAAAGAAGCAUUAAUAAUCCUCAAUUGUGUUGAGAAUUCACUAUUGGAAUGCCUAUUCUGCCGCAAAUUUCUUUCUUUUUUUUAUUUUAAGAAUAUCUUUUUACCUUGCAUUACAAAAUUGAACAUUGAUAUGGGCUUCAGGCAAUAGCAACUUUAGUGCUGUUAGUCAAAGUGGAGUCACCAGAAAGUUUAGAUAAGUUAUUACUGAUGUGCUUGACUUUUUGGGCCUGAUUCUUCUGGAUGAAGUUAGUGUAGAUUGUUUGACAAGUAUAUGCUUUUCAUUCCAUAUUUUCUUUUUCCUACUUGUGGCAAAAUCAGUAAUAAGAUUAGAUUGCAAGAGUCACUUUUAAAUUCAUCUAUUUUAAUGAAAAUGUAUACAUUGUUCUCCUUGGAUUUACAUUUUAGCCCCCUUUGUAGAUUUCUGAUGCAGAGUUGACAUCACUGAGUCAACAGAAAAAGAUUGAUGAACUUGAAGCUCAACUCCAAGAAGCUGAGGAUAUUGUUAAAGAUCUCAGAGAGGAACUGAGAGAAGUGAACAUUGAACUGGAGAGGGUCAGAAACAGUAAAGAGAAGCUCCUGGAUGAUUGGCAUGCUGUGGCACAAAGAGGAAUAUCUGAAGAGAAUGAAUCCCACUAUUCCCAGUCUAAUGCACUCCCUCCCAAUCAAUCAGAUCUCGGACAUGUUGCAGCUGCUGAAUUGAGAAGCAUGCAUGAGUUUCAGAAAAAUGAGAGUUUUAAAUUCUAUUCUGGCAUACCUCAUGUGGGGAAUUUAUACCUUGGAUGUCCAGAUUUGCCCUCUAUCAUUUUGAGAAGCAAAGAGCCUGAGCUGUACAGAAAUGGGUGCACUCAGAGAAUACGUGCAUCAGAAGGAAACUUUUCGAAUAUGCUUUCUGGGAAAGUACAUAAAAGGAAAGAUGAGAUCUCUACUCUAGAAGAUUUAGGUGGUAAACAAAUCUUUUCAGUACCUAACUGUAGCUUAGGGAAUUUGAGUAAUGUUGAGAAGAAACUAGAGGCAGAUAGCCAACUUGGUAGAUGGAACCCCGCCCCAAUUUUUUGUGUCAAGAAGAAGAGAGCUACUAGAUAUAGGAAAAGGGCGAUUACCUCAUCUGGAUGUUUUCCUGAUCAAUUUCCUAGACCUAAUCAAGUUCCUGAUGUUUCUUGUGCGGCAACUCAUCUGAUUUCUGUGAGAAGUGAUGUUCAUUUUGAGGAAAAUAAAUCCAAGAUGGUGUCAAGAUUAUCUUCAGAUGAACCUGAACCAGGGUUGGAGGAGGAUUGUGCUGAAACUUCUGAAAAUGAUAUUGAGCUUGGCAACUCUGCUGCUGUUCAUAGACCCGUGAAUGAAAAUGAAGGUACAGAAAAGUUGGUCCUUAAGGAUUCUGCCGGGAGUUCGGUGGCUACAGAUGGUGAAACAGAUCUUCAAAAAUCAAAUAUUACAUUGCCGAUAUAUGAGCCAAAUGUACCUACUGUAGUGGAUAGGGUUGGUAAUCAACCUAUCCAAGAAAGAAUAAUCAAGUAUACAUUCCAAAGGAAGCGAAAGAGAGAUUCUUUGAGCAAAUCCAAUGGGGUUGUUUCUUUUGAAAGUGAUACUUCUAAGAGGCGAACUUUGGGGGAAGAAAGUGAUCCUGUGGAGCAGGAGAAGUCAAACUUAGUAACAGAAUCCUCUCGACAUUGUGGGCGGUUAGCACACAUUGCUCAUCAGGUUGGUAUUUUUUGUUGGCUACAGCAUAUGCGUAUUUGGCAUAUCUGUAGCAAUGCAUGAUUCAGUUUCUUUUGUUCUCAGACAUAAGGUUGUAUUGUGUAAUUUUAAAGCGUCUCUACUUGACUUGGUGAUUCUACAUCAUUGGUGCUUAUCAGCUGGAAAUUGUAUCUCUUAUUUCCAUGUUUUUGAUUUAUUUGAAAUUCAGGCACACGAGUCCCAUAGUGUUAAAAUCAGGGUUUCCUGUAUGAUUUCUGACUGACUGUUAUCGUAAAAAACUCUUCUCGUAAAUCACUUUUGAUUACCAAUUGUCAAUUCAUGCAUUAAUCCUGGUAUUACAGAAUUUAGACAACAAACUUUUUCUUAACAAUCGCUGUUGAGAAGUUACCUUUAUUUUUGUGGCAUAAGCAUAUAUUCAUUUUUCUGCUUUCCUGACACCGGACCUGCAUGGCGCUUGCUUUUGCCAUUUUUUUGUGGGGGUGGGGUUGGGGGGGGGGUGAAGCAACUGAAUUUACUCCCUUUUCUUCAUCUGUUGCCUCUGUUCAAUUUGUUGACUGAUUGUUGCAUUUGAAGUUCUGUUAAACCGUUUGGGUUGAAAAACUUUUUCUUCUUCAUGGUGGUUAUUAGAAAGUUGAGGUGGCUUGGUUUCUUCUAUUUACUAUCAACUAUGUAGUUUGUGGCCAGCUAGAGAUUAAAGUUUUCUGACAAGAUGUACUCUUAUUACCUUGAAGUACAUUAAAAUGUUUGAAGCACAAGGUAUUUGAUCCAGUUUUCUCAGUGAAUUAUGGUAAUCAUGGUUUAUUGUCUUCAAAGAAUCAUGUCUAUACUUCUCUUGUGACAGUCUUUAUAAAUUGUAGCAUGUUCUCAAUUGUUUUGGCUCUUCCACUCAUCAAACUCUAUGACUAUCCAGGAAAGAGACCUAUAGGAUGAUUAUUAAGAUUUAGCAGAAAAUUAUUGGCUGCUGUUGGGCAAUAUGCCUGCAACUGAAUAACAUUGACCUCUUCACUUACAGUAGUACUUCAUGGGUCCUGUUUCUAAAUUCACUUUUUUGGGGAUUAAUCCUUUUUUUCAGAAGUACAAGAAACGUGGAAGUUUGCGCUUGAGUUUCCAAUUUUAGCCUGUCUAAUGAGUAUUUUGGCUAGAAACUACUGAAGCAAGUUAAAGUUUGCGGUGCCAACUCCUUAUUAUCUCUAAGUGACUAGGCUACUUGUGAUUUGCAUGUUCCUGAACUUCAUUUCCUUUGUUUCAGCAUUGUCUUGCAUGACUGCCAUUUGUGGUUCGUGGAAAUGUUGAUUAGCAUGCCACCACCCGAGUCUUUUUUUAGUCUUCACUUCAUGCUUCUGCUAUCUAUAUGUUUCUUUGUUGAACCCGCUGCAGCUCUCCUCUUGCUAUCUAUGUGAUGAUUGACUUUGUAGCUCUCCUCUUGCUGGCAGCUUAUAUCUCUGUCGGAGAGCAAAUGGUAGCUGUGAAACACUCAGUUCCAUGGUUGAUUGGAUUUUAAGCUUAAAGACAUUGAGUGAGAGGGUGAAGAAGAAACCAGCCGGUGUCGUGCAAUCUAUCAAAUUCUCCUUGGUUGGUCUAACAUGUGGGCAAUCUCUUUUGAUCAAGAAACGGGUUUUGAAAUUUCUUUUUAUUGAAAAUAAUUUAUGGAUGACUCGUACUAGUAGUAUAUGAUGUAUGACUCACUAUUGUAGCACUACUAUCGUUUGUUAUAUCUCGUUUUUAUUAUUUUCUUUUUCCCCUUUUAUUUGCCACAGCUCCAAAAUUACUUUUGCGGAAAGGGGAUGUUUCACUUUCACCAUGUGUCUGUGGAUUGGGUUCUUUUGAAUAAAAUGCAUGGUUAUCUGGGAGUGAGUAGUAGUGAAACAGCGGGUUUGUGUCAGGCUUCAACUGUCAUAACCCUAAAUUGGAGAUAGGAAGAAGCUCGGAUGAGCUUAGUAAGGAAGAAGAGGAAGAAAGUACAGAGAGUAUGAUGAAUAGAGAGAGAAAAUAGAGAAGAGGGAAAUUGCAAAUGUUAUUUCUCUGAUGCUUUUCCUACCAAUCUUGCUGUUACAAAUAGGAUAGGCUAACUACCUCUAACUAAUUUCUGUUACAACUCACGCGCCUGAUGCCAACUGAAGAAAUCACUCAUACGGCACCGUUCUACUUAUUCUUCCUUAUUACUAACAUUUCCCCAAACGACAUCGUUACAAUCAUUUGUUAACUUUUGGCUUAGCUCCUCUAUCCUGACAUUACCUCCUGCUCAAAAAUUUGUCUUGUCCUCAAGACUGGAAAUGAGGAAAUUGAGAGUGUAUGAAAUCUUGGUCUUCCCACGACGCUUCCUCAGGUUCCAGCUGAUACCAUUUGAUUAAGAACUGAAUAACUGGUUGACCAUUGCGCAUGAUGGCUCUCCUCUGCAGCACAGACUCUGGUUGCAAGGGACACUGAUCUGCAUUGUCAAACUCCGGCAAUGCCCCAGACACCUGUUGCACUGGCCCAAUCUUUUUCUUCAGUAGGGAUACAUGGAAAACUGGGUGAAUUCUGGCUCCUGCAGGUAACCUGAGACGAUAUGCUACUGAUCCUACUUUGGCUUCCACCUGGAAGGGUCCAUAGAAUCUGGCAGCCAGUUUAAGGCAUUUUCUGAUAGCAACUGUCUGCUGCCUAUAGGGUUGUAAUUUGAGAAAGACCCAGUCUCCUACUGCAAAAGAUCGCUCAGUACGCUGUUGGUCAGCAAAGAACUUCAUUCUUUGCUGUGCCUUAGUUAAGUGAUCCUUGAGACUACCAGAAAUUCUCAUUCGUUCCUGAAGAAGCUGAGCUGCUGCAGGUAUGAUAGUAUCCACAUAGGGACCCAGUGGCAAGGGAACAGGCUUGUAACCGUACAAAGCCUCAAAUGGGGUCAGCUGCAAACUGGAGUGGUAAGAAGAAUUGUACCACCAUUCUGCCAUUGCUAGCCAACUGCUCCAACGUGUUGGAAAUUCCCCAGUCAUACACCUGAGAUAAGACUCAACACACUGGUUCAAUCUUUCACUUUGCCCAUCGGAUUGGGGGUGGUAGGCUGAGCUAUAAUGCAAGUCAGUUCCCACCAAUCUAAACAGUUCCUGCCAAAAGGUGCUGGUGAAGAUCCUGUCUCUGUCUGUGACAAUAGACUCUGGUAGCCCAUGCAAUCUGAAAAUGCUAUCUAAAAAGAGUUGAGCCACUUUCUUAGCAGAAAAUGGAUGGGAUAGUGCUAUGAAAUGUCCUACCUUGGUCAGUCUGUCAAUGACCACCAUGAUAGUAUCAUAACCCUGAGAGUUGGGUAAACUCUCUAUGAAAUCCAUUGUUACAUGUGUCCAUGCCAAACGAGGAAUAGGCAAGGGUUGUAACAGGCCUGGCAGGUGUACAUGUUCAGCUUUGUAUCUCUGGCAGACAUCACAAGCCUGUAUAAACUGAAUAACCUCCUGCCUCAUUGUUGGCCAAUAGAAGAGGGAUUUAAUCCUUUGCCAACACCCCCUUUGACCUGAGUGGCCACCUACAGCAGAGGAAUGUAAUGCCUGUAUAAUCCUGGCUCUCAGACCAUUAGUUGACCCCACAUAGAUUCUCCCAUUGUAUUUCAGCAAAUCACUGUUCCAUUCAUACCCUGGAUGUGAGCUAGGAUCCAAGAGCAACUGGGAGAUGAUAUCCUUGCAGUGAUCAUCUGAGAGGUAACUUCCCUGCAGUUCCAGUAACCAAUUUGGCUUAACUGUUGUCAAGGCUAGACAUGACCCUGUGGUAGUGAUGUGAGGCUGCCCCCUUUCGUACAAUCGAGACAAAGCAUCUGCUACCUUAUUUUCCACUCCUUUUUUGUAUUGGAUUUCAUAAUCUAGGCCCAGAAGCUUAGUGAACCACUUGUGUUGUAGAGCAGUUGUAAGCUUCUGAUCUAACAGAUACCUUAGUGACUGAUGAUCAGUUUUGAUAAUGAAGUGAUAUCCAACAAGGUAAUGGCGCCACUUAGUCACUGCCAUUACCAAAGCCAGCAACUCCUUUUCAUAGGCUGAGAGUCCCAGGUUUUUAGGUGACAAUGCCUUGCUAAGGAAAGCCAAGGGAUGUCCUUCCUGCAUUAAUACUGCGCCAAUUCCUCCUCCACUGGCAUCAGUCUCAAUGGUGAAUGGUUUCUGAAAGUCGGGUAGUCUAAGAACAGGUGCAGUACACAUGAUGUUUUUCAGUGCAAGGAAAGCCUCUUCAGCCUCUGGAUUCCAUGCAAAGCUAUCCUUCCUUAGCAAUUCAGUCAGGGGUUUACAAAUGAUGCCAUAGUGCUUGAUAAACCUUCUAUAAUACCCAGUCAACCCCAAGAAUCCCCUCAAUUCCUUCACUGUCCUUGGACUUGGCCAUUUCAGAAUACUAUCUAUCUUGGAACUAUCCAUUGACACUCCUUCUUCUGUUAUAGUGUGGCCCAGGUAGUCUACUGUCAGUUGUGCAAACGAGCACUUAGAACGUUUUGCAAACAGGUUAUGCUCCCUUAAUAUUGAUAAAACUGUCCUCAGAUGUUGCUGAUGUAGCUCUAAUGUUGGACUAUAGAUAAGUAUAUCAUCAAAGAAAACCAGAACAAAUUUUCUCAGGUAAGGCUGGAAGAUCUGAUUCAUAAGAGCCUGAAAUGUGGCCGGGGCGUUUGUUAGCCCAAAAGGCAUUACUAGGAACUCGUAGUGACCACAGUGUGUUUGGAAGGCAGUUUUGUAUGUGUCUUUAGGCUUGACCCUGAUUUGGUGGUAACCUGAAGUGAGGUCCAACUUGGAUUUAUACUUAGAUCCUGCUAGCUCAUUGAUUAGUUCAUCUACAUUGGGUAUGGGGUAUCUGUCCUUGAUAGUCAUUUCAUUCAGCCUCCUGUAGUCUACACAGAAACGCCAGGUCCCCUCUUUCUUCUUGACAAGUAGAACUGGAGAAGCAAAGGGACUGUUACUGUGAAUUAUGAUUCCAUGUUGCAACAUAUCCUUAACCUGCUGCUCAAUUUCUCCUUUUUGUGAGUGAGGGUAUCUGUAAGGCUUCAUUUUGAAGGGCUGAGAAUCAGGUUUUAGUGGUAUCUCAUGAUCUAAACUCCUGACUGGAGGUAACUCAGUUGGUGCUGCAAAUACAUCUACAAAUUCUUCAAUAAUACCCUGGACCCCUGUAGGGAUGUCAUUUCCCUGCUCUUGAUCACUUUGUCCCAAUCUCAUGGACAUGCAUAACUGUCUCUUAUAUUCAAUGAAUGUUCUCAGAUCACCUCCCCUAAUUAAAUCUAAAUCACAGUCUUCAGCCUGGCCAUGCAAGUGUACCGCUUCCCCUUGAUGUUGUAGGGAAAUGGUCAGCUUGUGAAAAUCAAAAGUGAUAGGGCUGAACUGAGUCAUCCAAUCCACCCCAAGUAUUAUGUCCCAUCCACUUAGAUCCAUUACUUUGAGAUCAUAGCAGAACCUAUGCUGAUUAAUUCCCCAGACCACCUUAGGACAUAUCGCCUUACUAGUUACACAGGCCCCGUUCCCCACAACCACAGAAAAAGGAUUGACUAAUUUAUAAGGAAUAUCAAAUGCGAUUACCUUCUCACUGCUAAUGUAGCUAUCAGAACUGCCAGUGUCCACCAGUAUCAGCAUUUCCUCUCCAUCCAGUACGCCUACCAGGGUGAUUGUUUUCCUCUUAAGUGCCUCUGACAAUGUGUGUAGGGACAUCUCCAUAACCUCCCCUGGAUUCCCUGUGGUUUCGUCUUGCUCUCCCAGUGCAUCCUCAAAUUCAGUAUCCUCCUCCUCAUCAUUGACCAGAAAGUUCAAAUGACCAAGUUUGCACUGGUGUCCCUGCCCAAAUUUCUCUCCACAUUUGAAGCAUAGGCCAUGACUUCUUCUGUACUGUAUUUCUUGUGCUGAGAUUUUUCUUGGUUCUGCUUCAGUAUUAGCAACAGGUUUGCCUUUGAAAUGAGUAUUCCUGAAUGAACCAAUAGGAGGUACUCUGUAAUGUGAACUGUGACUCGUCUGCUGAGAUGCACUUUUUGAGAUCCCAAACCUAUUCUCUGAGUUAGGCCUUACGUUCUCUUUAAGACUCCUGGACUGCAAGUGCAGUGCAUUCUCCUGCAGUACUGCCAACUCGAAAGUUUCAAAUAGAGAUGUAGGCCUCAACAGUCGGAUCAUAGUCUUAAUUUCGUCCUUCAAGCCACUGAUGAAGCUUGAUACGAAAUAUUCUUCACUCAAAUGUGGAUUUUUCACUGCCAUGAGAGUCUUGAGUUCUUCGAACUUUUCCUGGUACUCCUCGACCUUCCCUGUUUGAUGUAAUUUGUUGAAUUCCUCCACGACAUCUUUUCCUGUCCUGUUAUCGAACCUUCUACACAAUAAGUCUUCAAACAUUGGCCAUGUGAUCUCAGGUUUCUCCACCUUAACACCCUGGAACCACCUGUCUGCCUUCCCUUCCAGAUACAUCUCAAUCACUUCGACCUUCUGUUCCUCAGGAAUUUGGUAGUUUACGCAGUACUUGUUGCACUUCCGAAUCCAUUCUCUUGGAUUUUCCCCAGAGAAUAAGGGCAAAUCAAUUUUGGGUGGAUUCGGAAUCAGAAGCUUGUUUGCCUCCCUCCUUCCCGUUCUGCCGCCUUCGAAUCCUAUGUGCAGCCUCUGAUUAGGUGGUGGUGUUGGCAAUAGUGGCGGUUGAUCGCUCAUGGUCCUUCCAGGUUCAAAAUUCAGCUUCUCCUUGUCCAGCAACAUCUUCAUGAGAGCGCUGAAUUCUUGUUUGAUUCCUGUGACCAGACCUUCCAUUCUCUUGUUGUUUUCCUCCAACUCUGUCCUCAGCUCCUCGCGAAGCUGCUGUUGUUGAUGGUGUGAAGCCUGUAGUCCUUCGAUCACCUCCUGAAGCUUGGAAUCUUGUUUCUUAAUUUGUUCCUCCAAGGUCUUGAAUCUGGUACUCUCCGCCAUUGUUACUAAUUUCCGAGGAAUCGACAAGCUCUGUUUUGCCUGGUGGAAGGAACAUGAGCGUGUGUGUCUCAUGUAAUUUCUGCAGUGCAGGUGGCCGAUAAUAGCACAACAACUUCCUGGGAGAACCGAUAAUGAUGUGAAGAACGUCUGGAACACUAAGCUGAAGAAGAAGCUCUCUGCAAUAGGAAUUGAUCCAGUAACUCAUAGGCCCUUCUCCCAAAUUCUUGCAGACUAUGGAAACAUCGGCGGCUUCCCAAAAGCUAGAAAUCGAUCUGGCUGUCUCAGCAGAGACAUAAAGAAUGCAUUUGUGCUAAAAUCUGAACAAUCUCGUGGCCUUCCAGAGAGGUCUUCGCACUUUGACAGCCAUUUUGGAACAACAAUUUCACCACUCGCAGUGGAACCAUCCAAACAGCAUUUUAUGAGCAACUGCAACCAUAUCUCUGCUGCCCGCAGUCAGUCCCUUGAACUUCUUUCUCAGCUUCAGGCCAUAACAAUGGUUACAGAAGCCUCAACUUACACCAAUACUGCAGCCCAAAUCCCUGCCGAAUGCUACUCAUCAUCUGCAUCAUCAUCACCGGAAUCUCCGCCCUCAGCUACCAACCAAGCCGCUGCAUCUCCAAGCUUCAGUUGGUGUGAUUUUCUUCUUGAGGACGCUUUUGUACCCACCACAUAUAUUGAGGAGAAAGAAAACGAAAUGAAGCUUCCACCAACUUAUGAUCCGAAGUCAAAAGAAAUGAAACUUUCUGUUGCAGCAGAAGAAGAAGAAGUGGAUAUAUCAGCCAAGACAGUUGAAGCUUCAUCAAUCUCCUGCGGUUCAUUUGUUGAAGCAAUGCUUGAAGGUGAAAAUGGAAUGCUAUCAGAUUUCCACGGCCUCUUGGAAGAUCCAUUUUUCUACUAGCUCAAUGAUACGUCGUACCAUAUUAUAUGUGCCUUGCAAAUUUCCAAGGAGUAGCAUGAAUCGUGUUAGGAUGAUUGAUUUCAAACCCCUUGCUUGCUUUUGAUGAGUCCAUAAGGGGCUAAUAAUAUGAUCUUUCAAUAAUUCUUGGUGACAUCUUUUGAUUUUGAUAUAUAUAUAUAUAUAUAUAUAUAUAUUUUGGAAGGAUCCUGAAAAGCUUUAACAUGAUGUAUAGUUGAGCGUCCCCACCGGGUAGUUCGAGCGGUCCGCUCCCCCUCUUUAGAGUAUGGCGACCUUCCUGGCAACUAGGAUUUGAGUUUCGCUGUUAACGCGUUCGGGGGAUGGGACCUCUCCAUCCGAAUCGAAGUGAAAUUAGUCGGGUCUCGUAAGGAUUGACUCGAACACUCACUCCAUUAGAAAAAAAAAAAAGAAGUAUAGUUGAGCAAGUCAUCAACUGCCAUGCACCUAAUUUAAUACAAAUACUAAACAAUUUUCAUAUUUUGAGCAUUUCUACAUUAACCCCCACAAAAAAAAAAAAAAUCACAAAAACCAAUAGUACAUAUUACUAUCAAUCUUUGAAAAGAAGGAAAAACAAUUGCCAAAGGUGUUUCAACAAUUUUUUUUUUUAAAAAUAAAUUGGGGAAUAGAAUUAGUCUCUAUAAUACUAUCAACAUAUAUUGUAUAUGCUACUUUUACAAUAAUAAUAAUAUGUCAAUUAUUUCAUGUUUAGUAGUAGUGAUAAAUAAUUGCCACCAAUUCUUGAAAACCAAUUAGUAUUUAGUUCUAGUAACUUUUUAACUGCUACAAACACCUGAUGACCUGAAGAAGAAAGAAAGAAACAAAGAGAGAGUCCGUCGCGAGGGGAAGAAGAAAGAAAUGGUGGCGAUAUCGGCGGUGUACAAAGGGAACCUCCACAAGGUUCCCACCGACGUCCCUCGCAAAUGGCUCAUGCCUUCCCGCCAAAUCUCCCUUAAAGACUUCAAAACCCUUCUCCGACGUCGUUCCCGCGCCGCCCUCUCCCGCCUCCCCCAAUUGUCUCCGACCCCUAACCCUAACCCUGACCCUAAUUUCAGA